Molecule: long non-coding RNA, 94807 nt
Filed under: Capsicum annuum
Lineage: Eukaryota; Viridiplantae; Streptophyta; Magnoliopsida; Solanales; Solanaceae
Description: long non-coding RNA (CANN_LNC005038)
Source: RNAcentral
UGCUCUUCCCUACUUCUUUAAUAUAUGCCAUUAAUGAAAACUAUCAUAAAAAAGCCUAAGUACGACCUAAAAACGCAGUUCAUCAAAUCCAUAAAUGUUAUUGGGGUAUUAGUCAACCCAAAAGAUGUCACCAGAAACUUGUAAUUACUAUAAUGGGUCUUAUAGGUUGUCUUAGGUAUGCCCUAUAACUCCCCAAAGAUACCCCCUGGAUGUCAUAGGGUACUUAAGACUAUGAAUAGCCCCAAGCUAACCUAUGAUAUCUACUCAGAACUGAAAUCUCAUAAAUGUAAACUUAAAACAUGAGCAAAAACUUAAAAAACAUAUAACUGAGUUCAAAUAUAUGAAUAAUCUCAAACAAAACUCUGUAACUCAAUAACUUUCAAAUUUAUGAAAAACUAAAAGAAAUAUAUAGUCUGACUAGCUUGACAAACCUUUAAUUAGAACUGAAGAGCCACUAGGACAAACUUAAGAUGAACCAAAAUAAAAACCGAAUAACUAAAAUAACUGCAAUAAAUAUCUUGAACCAUCAUAAACUUGGCCCUCAAACUAUGAGGAUUCACCAACUAUCUAAAUGUAGGAAGUGGUACCUGCGGUUAAUCGUGUUGUUGGGACGAACACCAGAACCUACAUUAUGAAACAAUGUAGCCACACAGACAUAUAUGUGGUCAGUACGUCUAGAAUGUAUUAAGUUGUAACACCCCGAAUCUUAUUCCCAGAGCGCUACACGGUGCUCAUGACCCCGAAGGACCACAAGCUAACCCAUGACUGAUAUCUGUACCUGAACACUGCAUAAUAUAUGGUAUAAAUGCAAAAAUAAAGGCUAAAAGGCCAUAAGGUUCAAAACUGAUAAAACAUAACAUCUAAAAGUAUGGUAUAUUAAUACCAAAACAAACUGAAACAAAACUGUCUAAACAUACUGUAGUCUGAAAAACCUCUAAAAUUGAAUUGUCUGAAUAAGGAGUUGAUGGGAAAUAUCCCCAACUAACUCCAACUACUGAAAUACACUAAGUAAUAAAGAAAUAAAGUAAUGACCAUGUCCUCAAAGAAUGAGGACUCACUGCUAACUCUGACUGCUAAAACUGGAAUGCUACUGAUGCUCUGGAGCUCGUGCUUCUAGACCUAUAGUAUAGAAUAAAAUACCAUAGCAUAAAUGCGUCAGUAUAAUUGAAUGUAAUGGUAUGCAUGUGAGGUAGGCGGAAUGAAAAGGGUUCAAAUGCAUGAACAAUGCAAACUGACUGUAUAGCAUGAACAUGAGAAUACAUGCAUGAAUAAGUAACUGUAACUAAACUCGUGAUGGUACCGACUACUGAGUCUGAUUACUGAUAACAUGAGUUACUGAUAAUUGAUAUAACUAAUACUGAGCAACUGUCUUUGACAGUUUAGGUUCUGAUGGAACUAGCUGAGUUUUGUACUGUGCUGAGUUGAUCGUAUCUUACAGUCCUAAAAUUUAAAGAACUAUCUACGUUCUUUUACUAAGACUGAGACUGUGGGAAAUAGUCAUCUAACCGAUAUGCCCCAAAUAAUGCAUUAUAUCUGAGUUUGGGUCUAAUCUGUAACCCCAAUUAGAAGGGUGUCAAUACCGCACCACUGGUAAAGACAAGUUGUGGGUGACCCUCAUCUGGCAGUGUCCCCAAAAAAGAAUGGUGGGACCCUCAUCUGACAGUGCUUAUCUACCUCAUUAACCCUCAUCUGUCAGUGUUGAUGUCUCAACCUAUUUUGGCUACAUAUUUAUGGAAUGUAAGGAUUGCUUUUAAGGAUCACACCCUCAACUUUCAGUGUGUGUCCUUAUCCUUAGGUUCACUCGGUGCUAAAUCCUACUCCCAUUUGAAUAGACACUAAACAUGAUUAACUGAACUUAACUGGAUUGAGUUCAUUCAGUUCCGUUGACUGAUAGAAUACAACUGAGAUUAUUAAAUUUCUGAGCUUUCUAAGAUUACUGGGAUUACUGAGUUUACUUAGUUUUCCUGAGUCACGUAACUGAUUGAAUUCUACUAAUCAUGGCUUGACUGAGGAUAUCAUGAAAACAUAACACUAGCUCUAGGCACAUAGCUAAAUUAUCGGGCACAAGUACCCCUAUGACUCUAUAGGAGAAAACUGAUAAGGCAUGAUAUUCUUGAAUACAUUAUCAACAUCAACAAUUCAUAAUACAAUAAGUUGGGGAUUUUAUGAAGUACAUGGUUAUCAUAAUCUUGUACAUGGUAGGAAUGCAUAUACUCAAUGUCAUAAUUUCAUACUCCAACAUCAUGAGCAUUCCAAUAAACAACUACAUUGCACAUCAAUAGCAUGAGAGUCAUUUGAAUAUAAGGAUAAAACAUGCACUUAUCAUAUGGAUCACAAUUGAGCUAUAAUACACAAUUUCUAUCCUCUUAGGCAUUUUAUCAAACACCUUACAUGCACAACUUAGGGCAUAAGUGUAAUCAUCAAAUUACAAAUCAUAAACAACUCAAUUCAUGGAUUUCAACUUGCAUGCUAACGUAAUUUCAUGAAAAACGCAUAAAGAUUCCAACUUGGGAAUCAUACCACAACAACCACAUGAACAUAAUCAACCCAUAGCAUGAAUAUCAUAAUCCAUAGUUUAAAACUUGAUUCUUGGGCUUCAUGGACAAAAGGAAUCUAUGAAUGAACAGUAUGCAUACCUUAGUUCUUGAUUUUGCAAAGAUUUACGAUGGAAUGUUCUUGAAUUUGAAUCCCCAAUUGAGAACCCUAACUUGUUCUUGAUUGAAUUUUGAGAGAAGUGACUAUAUUUUGGUUGAAUUGGGGAUAAAUCCCGUGUUAUAGGCUUAUAUAGGGGUGGGAAAUACCCAUUCUGCCUUUAAAAUAACUCAAAAAUGGGGUGUUUAUGUCAUUUGGGCCAUAAGAUAUGCGUCGCACAACUUAUUGCGUAAGCUAGGUUGUGCGUCGCACAACUUAUAGCUUAAAUUAGGUUGAGCGCCGCACAACUUAUGGCUUAAGUUACGUUGUGCAUCACACAACUUAUGGCUUAAGUUACGUUGUGCAUCACACAAAUUAUGGCAUAAUUUAGGUUGUGCGUCGCACAAAUUAUGGCAUAACCAUUCCAGUAGCCUUAGGAGAUUUGUUAGGCGACGCAUUCUACUUUGCAAAGCCAUAACUUCUUGCUCGGGUGUCAGAUUUUGGUAAAAUUAGUAUCAUUGGAAAGCUGAUUCGAUCCUCUAUAAGUUUUUGGGUCUAAAUAUGGCAAAAUACCACAUAUACAUAAAUUUAUGCUCAUUCAAAGAUGACUCUUGCAAAAUCAAAUACUAAAACUUGAUGGAUUCAAAAGUUCUUAGCUUGCCUUACUCUAAGUGACUCUUAUGAACACGCUUAACACAUCAUAAGCUCUCUUCUCAAUAGUAUACUCAUUGUAAGUCAUGUUCUCAAAUAUGAAUCACAAGAUAGGAGGUUUCAUACGUAGGAACAAUGGUUCAUUUUCUAGCUUAGAAAUAUAUGAGGUAUUACAUAAGUUUGUGGGGGUGAGUGUAAUAAGUAAAACUAAAGCUGAGCAUAAUUUCAAAUCAUGAAUGCUAAGUGUAAAAAGACUCACCUUGAUCAUAAGUAAGACUGAAAGCUGAAAUCUCUUAAAGAAUGACUCAUAAAACAAUAUCUAAACGGCAACUAAGAGUCAUUAUACUUCAUUUCUGAAAUACUCUUUUCUUUGGGAGAUUCUCAUAACUGACAUAAAUCAUACGAGCAACACGGAGUCAGAUAACUUAAGCCCUCAUCAAAAGAUUAUGAUAAUCUCAAACUUGCAAUAGCCUAAUAUACCUUAACAGGGUAUAAAGUCUAACUAUGGUACAAUAACAACAAUAGACCCAUUAUAUUCCCACCAAGUGGGGUUUUGAGAUGGUAAGUGUAUGCGGUUGUAAUACCCCAUACUUUUCCUAGCUUGAAAAACUUCUCAAGAAUGUUAGAAGCUUUCUUUGAAAGAUAAAUCCACUUUUUUACACGUGGUAUUUUUAAGAUUUUGACUUUUUAUCAUGUGGGGAAUCGAAUAAGCUUUCCAUCGAUACCAAAUUAACCAAAAUCCAAUAGCCGGGUAAAGAGUUAGAGCCUUUUUAGUAAGACAGUGUAUCACCUGAGCCUUCAGCGCAUCGCAGAGAUAGCUCAAAUGAAAAUUGUCAAUUUCCAGUAUUGCUCCGCGAUAGUGGCGCAUCACGCAAAACUUCCAGUUCAUAGACAAGGUGGCAACUCAAUAGCUCUGCAUCGUACCACCGUGCAAUUUCCCAUUUGUACUUUCCAGUGACUUGGUGUGAUAGUGGCGUGUCGCGCCAAGGAUGAAAAUCAGGAAAUUUUCUCAAAAAUUAAAGACGCAUCCAAGGGUUAAAAGGGUCAAUUUUCUACCCCUAUUUAAACCCAAUAACAUGUGAUUUAUCCAUUCUUCACCCAAAAUAUACUAGUUUCUCUCAAGUUUCUUUCAAGAACAAGUUAGGGUUUCUAUGGAGGGUUCAAAUUCAAGAAGGUUUCACCGUCAGUCUUCACGUAAUCACAAACUAAGGUAUGCAUAGUGUUCAUUCAUGGACUCCUUUCAUCCAUGAAGCUCGAGAAUCUCUUUUCUAAGUCUAAGUUUAUGGAUUUCUUUAUGAAUUUCAUGUUGGUUUAGUUUUUUUUAUGUUGAGAAUGAUCAAUUGAAUUCAAAUCCAUGUUGGGUGAUCAAUUUUAUAUGGAAUUGAUUUGUAUAGAUGUAUAUUCAUGUGAACCUAUAAAUAAACCCUAGGAUGAUGAAAUUAAAGAUGAAUCGUGAUGAUUAAUUGUUGUAUAAUGUUGUCUACAUUUGCGAUGCCUACCAUCUGUAUGAUUAAAUGCCUAGAUGAAGGAAUAAUGCCCAACUAGUAUGAUAUCAUGAAAUCCCCAUAUAUGUACAAGCUUAUGCAAAUCACAUGUUUGAUGAAGUUCUUUAAUAUAUGAAUUAUGAAUUGUGUUGUUGGUCAUGUGUUCAAGUAAGCCAUGCUAUGUCAGUUUCUUCUCAUCGAGUCUUGGGGGUACUUGUACCUGAACAUUUAGUUGUGCGCCUAGAGCCAUGUCAUGUUUUCAUGAUCUUCUCAGACAAGCUAAGAUCCAUAGAACUCAGUCAAUCAUGUGACUAAAGAAAUCUCAAAAAUCUCAGUAAUUUCAGUAGCUCAGUAAUCUUAGUAAUUUCAGUAUUCUCAGUCAGUCCUCAGAACUCAGUACAUUUUGUCAGUCAAUGAAACUCAGUAAAUUCAAUUUAGCUCUACUAGACAAUACCACUAGUAUCAGUUCAGUUCAGUUAAUCAGCUCAGUUUAGUUAAUUAGUUCAGUGUCUUUCAGAUGGGAGUACAAUUCAGCACCGAGCGAGCCUAGGGAUGGGGACUCACCCUCUAGAUAGGACUGGAAACCUAGAAGCAAUCCCUAAGUUCUAGAACUACUUAGCUUGUGUAGGUACGAGAUGUCAACUGUUAGAUAGGACUGACAUACUCAAGGAUCACCCGUUAGCGCAUUUAAAUAUAUAGGACUGAUCCCAGGGGUCACCUGCUAUAUUAGGACUGACUCCACAGCAGUUGUCUUCACCAGUGGCAUCAUACUGACACCUUUCCAGCUGGGGUUACAGGUUAGACCCCAGUUAGCUUAGUAUGGGGCAUGUCGGUUAGAUGAAUACAUCCCACAGUUUUAGUUACAGAAUCAGGACUGUCACACACAGUCAAUUUAGCUCAGUAGUAGAGAUUUAGGAAUGUCAGAUACAGUCAAUCCUUAUCAUUAUAAAUAGACCCCAGGGUUACCUACCAGACAGGACUGAUCUCAAUUAUGGUCAAUCAAUACCCGUAUUAUCAGAUGUAGAGAUCACCCAAUAGAUGGGACUAAUCUCAGAUACAGUACAGAAAUCAGCUAGUUCUAUCAAAUUCAAGACUGUCAGAUACAGACACUCAUGUUAUCAAUUAUAUCAGUUAUCAGAACUGAUAUUAUUAGCAUUCAGCUUUAGAACUGUCAGAUACAGUCAACCAAACCAGUUUUUUUUAAUCAGAACUGUCAGAAAUAGUUAUUCACGUAUCAGUAAUAUAGUAUCAGUCUCUUAGAUAUCAGCAACCUGUUAUUAGUAAACUCAGUAUUUAGAACUUAGCAUUUAGUCCUAUCACGAUGUCAGUUACAGUUACGUAUGCAUGCAUAUAUUCUCACGUUCAUGUUAGUCAGUCAGUUAGUAUUGUUCAUGCGUAUGAACCUAUUGCAUUCAACCUACCUCACUUGCAUACCAGUAUAUUUAAAGUACUGAUGCAUUUGCGCUAUGGUGUCUUAUACCAUAGGUUUAGAAGCACGAUCUCCAGAGCAUCAGUAACAUCCCAAUUUAGCAGUCAGAGUCAGAUGUGAGUCCUCAUUCUUCGAGGACAUGUUGAUUACAUUAAUAUUUCAGUUUUCAGUUUAUUUCAGUAGAUAGAGUUAGUCAGGGACAUGUCUCAUCAACUUCUUAUUCAAUUUAGUUUAGAGGCUUUCAGAUUAUAGCAUGUCAGAUAGUUAUUUCAGAUUUGCUUUGGUAUUGUUAUACCAUUUUCAGACAUUAUUUUAUCAGAUGUUUAUCAAGUUUGAACCUUAUGGCCUUUCAGUACAUGUUUCUGCAUUUAUACAGUUUAUUAUGCAAUGAUUAAGUACAGAUAUCAGUCAUGGGUUAGCUUGUGGUCCCUCGGGAUCAUGGGUACCGUGUGGUAUUCCAGGUACCAGAUUUGGGGUGUUACAGCGGUUUAUACCACUACCUCAAAUGUGAGAUAGAGAGGUUGUUUCUGAUAAACUCCCAGCUCUAAAAAAAAUAAUCUAUACAAGGAAUAGUAAAAGGACAAGAUAUAAUAUGAAUCAACACAUCCAAUAAUACCAUAUACAAGAUACACCAACUAAUGUAACAAAAGAUACAACAUCCUAAACUCACACUAACCUUCUACCCUAAUCUGUCUCCUCUACAACUUCCUAUCUAGGGUCGUGUCCUCAAUAAGUUGUAGCUACUCCAUGUCAUGUAUAAUCACCUCCCUUUAAUUAUUAUUUGGUCUACCUCUACCUCACUUGAAUCCAUCCCUAUCCAACCUCUCACAACUCUUUACUAGGGAAUCCGUUCCCUUUCUCAUAUCAUGACUUAACCAUCUCAACCUCGCUUCCCUCAUCUUGGCUUCCACUAAAGCCACUCCCACCUUAUCUUGAAUAUCUUUACUUCUAAUCCUAUCUUUCCUAGUAUAUCGACAAAUACACAGAAGCAUUCUCAUCUCUAUCACCUUCAUCUUUUAGGAGUGGGCCUUCUUAACAGGCCAAAACUCCACUCCAGACAACAAAGCCGAUCUAACCACCACUCUGUAAAACUUGCCUUUAACCUUAGGAUUUACCUUAUUAUUGUAAAAGAUUUUUUAGGCAAGCCUCUAUUUCAUCCACCCUAUCCCAAUUUGAUGAGUGACAUCCUCGUCAAUCUGUUCAUUCUCCUGAAUCAUAAACCUUAGGUGUUAAAACUAUCUCUCUUAUUAAUAGAAUGAGUAUCAAGCUUAAAAAACACAUCGAGAUCAUGGGACACCUCGCUAAACUUACACUCCAAAUAUUCUUUCUUGGACCUACUCAACAUAAACCCUUUAGACACAAGGGUUUGCCUUCAAGCCUCAAAUUUAGCAUUAACUUCACUACAUAUCUCAUCAAUCAAAACCACAUCAUCUGCAAAAAUCAAGCAAUAAGACACCUCACCUUGAAUUUUACGCAUUAAAAAAUCCAUCACCAAGGCUAAAAGAAAUGGACUGAGCAUUAAUCCUUGAUAUAACCCUAUUAAGAUAGGAAAGUGCUCUGAGUCCCCUCUCCCGAUCCUAACCCGAUUCUUGGCUUUAUCGUACAUAUCCUUAAUCACCCUAACAUAUACCAUAGGUACACCUCUAGCCUCCAAACAUGUCCAAAUAACCUCCAUGGGAACUCUAUAAUAGGCCUUCUCUAAGUCGAUAAACACCAUGUGCGAAUCCUUCUUCCUUUUCCUAUACUACUCUAACAGUCUCCUAAAUAGAUGAAUGGCUUCAGUAAUCGAGCAUCCUUGAAUAAAUCCAAACUGGUUUUCAAAAAUAGUCACAAUCCUCUGCAACCUCAACUCUAACGCCCUCUCCCAAACCUUCAUAGUGUAACUCAACAACUUGAUACCCCUAUAAUUAUUACAGUCCUGAAUGUCAUCUUUAUUAAUAUACAACGUAAUCAUCGUACUCUACUUCCAAGACUCAAACAUCCUCACCAUCUUGAAAAUAGUGUUAAAUAUUUGAGUCAGCUACUUCAUACCUUCCCCUCUUGUGCACUUCUAAAAAUCCACCAAAAUAUUAUUUGGCUCGUCACUCUACCUCUACAUAUUCUAUGAAUAGCCUCCGUAACCUUCUCAACCUUAAUGUGCCUACAAUUACCAUAAUCGCAAAACCUCCAACACAAUGCUAGUAUCCCUUUCUUCAUUUAAGUUCUUAUAGAAGUACGAUUACUAUCCCUUUCUAAUACGACCCUCCUCCACUAAAACUUUGUCGUCCAUAUCCUUAAUAUACUUCACCUGAUCAAGGUCUUGACUCUUCUGUUCCCUAACCUUGGCUAGCCUGUAAAACUUUUUAUCCCACCUUAACUAUAGAAUAUUGUGUAUAAACUUUAGAAAGCUGCUUCCUUAUCCCUUAUGUCUGCUAACUUUGUCUCUCGCGUAGCAAUAUUAUAUGUCUCCCUAUUCUUCUAUUUAUCCUCUUCAUCCUUACUCUUUGCCAACUUUGCGUAUGUUUUCUUCUUAGCCUCCACAUUCUACGUUACCUCUUUGUUCCAAUACCAAUCCACUUGGUGCUUACCAGAGUGGCCUCAAGAAACAUCCAACACCUAUCUAGUUGUCUCUCUGAUGCAACUGGCAGUCUAUCCUACAUACUAUCAGCAUCCCCUCCAAUCUCUCAAUCUUUCCUCGCCAUCAAGUUAUCCGCUAUAUCAAGUUGAUACAAGAUGAAACUACAUAAAUGAAAAUGACAUAAAAACAAAGGAAACACACUAAAUAUGAAAUCACAAAAAUAAGAAAAUAAGGAAAUGGAACAAUAAAGUAAAAGAUAGAUAGAUUGACAUAAAUCGAUAAUGAGUAGACAACCAAAGGUAUAUUAAACCCUAAGACCUACCUAUCAAUUAUCGAUAACACCAACCUCUUACGAGGACACAAAUGGAAAUGGAUUCUUCAAUACCCACAUUUCUCAACAACUAAAGAAACUCCCAAUAAGUUUCAAUAAUAACACUCUCAAGUGUCAACUUACAUUCAAAAUCAUCUUCCUAAAAAUGAAGAAGGUCCUAGCUAUUUAAAGGUCAAAAGGCCUUCAUUAUAACUUGGGCCCAAAAGUCACCCUAAAUGCAACUUAGGCCUAAAAGUGACCCAAGAGCCAAACCAAUGCAAUGGGCACCCAUACUCUCCCAAAGCCCAAGACAUCAUCCAAAUGUGUGUCGCCCAUUUCUUCCUCAAAGGAUAUCACCAAAUAUAGCUUCUUUCCAAGCUAUCCACCAUUCACGUAUUUGAUCCCCUAAAAUGACCAAGUCUUGGAUCUGUAGAUGUGAUCCUUAAAGCAUCGAUCCCAAUAGAGUGGAGACCAUUGAUCUUGUAUCAUCCUUCCUUUCUUGAAGAGGAUUCGUCUUUGAAUCCAACUCCUUUAUCAACCUGUCGUUGCACCUUUCAAGUUUGGAAUCCUUUGGUAAGAAUUUUGUUAAGCCUUUAAGCUCAUUUUCAUAAGGCAUUCUCCUUGCAUCCUCCUUUUAGAUUGUUUGUUCAUGAACCUACAUAAAUAAAGGAGUAAUACUAGGUAAAAUGCUAGCAUUAUGGUUAGCAAGCAACAAAGGAUCCAUGUUGGAAUUGUCUUUUUCAAUUUGGGAAGACUCAUUGCUUAAUUGGACUUUGAUUAGUUAAACAAUGUCAUGUUGAGCUUGGCUUGUCUUUUUUUGGGUUGAGGAAACAUGUUCUUAAGGUCUUGGGGUACAAUUUUGAAGGUUAAGCCCCGGUGUUAGGUUAAUGAGUCGUUUCUCCAUGUUUCCCAAUGUAUCUUCAAUUUGUGUCAGGGAUCCAUUUAUUUUAUCCACAGUUCGCUACAUCCCUAUGAGAACUUCCAUAAGGGAAUCAAUGGUUGCUCCACCCGUAUCCUCUUAGAAUAUAUUGUAGAAAAGAGAGGAAGUAACUAUUGAUGAUGCAUUUAAAAAGUAAGGACUUGACUCAAUGACAUUGACAAAGAAAGAAACGAUAAGAACUCAACGAAAGAAUAAAAGACAAAACAAAGACUUGAAGGACUUGAAAUCAAAGUUAAACUAAGAAAACAAUAGAUAAAAGAGAGAAAACACAAGAAUUAAGACACGAAAGAAUAAUGAAUCAAGAACUAAUUGAACAACUAAGUAGAUUACGGUUUAGUUAUUAAUUAGUUUUAAGAAUCAAAGAAAUGAAAGGAGGAAUUAAGUGAUGAAAUUAAUGGUUUGAACCUAAUUUAAUGGAGUUUUUGAAGUGUUGAUAUGUGCUUUAGAGCUUGAACUGGUGUUGGAGAAGUGUUGAAAUGCGUUUGGGUGCGUUUAGGGGUUGUUUUGCAUUAGAACAUGCUAAAGUGGAUGUAGGGCAGACCGGGUGCACAUGGGAAGCACCACCAAUGUAGGAGCUACUGUUUUGGGCUUCCUUGGACCUACUUUAGUAGGUCAGGCGCAUCUCCAUGGUAGAUGCAAGGCAGAUGGGCUGAAAUCAGCUUGUACAAGGCCAAAAAUGCCCUCUUGUGGUUCCCCUUUGUUCUCUUCUUUAGAAUAUUCUCUUGGAUCUUCAGAAAGGUGCUUCUACAAACACUUUUGUACAGAUUUUUCUUCACUUUUGAUGAUCAAACAAACACUUUUUGAAUACAAUUCCUCUUGAAGAUUUGAAUUUCUCCAAGAGCACUUAAGAACACAAAAAACUUCAAAAAUCUCCAACUCUUAAAUCGUUGAUUGGAACGAGAUGAAAUUUUGAACCAAGGCUAUUUUCAACCUUCUAAACACAUUCCAAGCAUAAUUUUGUUCAAAUUCUCAAACAAAAAUUCCAUAUUUUAACUCCACUUUCAACCGUAAAACUUGAGUUUCUCAAUAAUGGUAGACCCUCCUAUUCACCUCCGAUUGAGCUGAAAUUCAAGGUUUAGACUCUAGUAGUAUUAGAGAACAAGAAUCUAACACCAAAACACAAGAAAAACAACAAAAUCAAUGACUUAAAAUUUGAAAUAAAGAUAAAAACAUAAAAGUGAAAUUUUUUUAGGAUUUUUUAUUUUCCAACAUGACACACAAGAUUGACUUUAUGGGAAUGAAAUAAAUCUAGGCUCUGAUACCAAAUGAUACAAGACGAAAGUACAAAAAUGGAAAUGACAUGAAACAAAUGGAACACACUAAAUAUGAAAUCACAAAAACAAGGAAACAUGGAAAUGGAAUGAUAAAGUAAAAGAUAGAUACAAAAAAAAAAAAUCCAGUGUAUUCCCACAUAGUGAGGUCUGGGGAGGGUAAGAUGUACGCAGUCCAUACCUCUACCUCUAAAGAAGUAGAAAGGUUGUUUCCGAUAGACCCCCGNNNNNNNNNNNNNNNNNNNNNNNNNNNNNNNNNNNNNNNNNNNNNNNNNNNNNNNNNNNNNNNNNNNNNNNNNNNNNNNNNNNNNNNNNNNNNNNNNNNNNNNNNNNNNNNNNNNNNNNNNNNNNNNNNNNNNNNNNNNNNNNNNNNNNNNNNNNNNNNNNNNNNNNNNNNNNNNNNNNNAAACUACCCGUAGCCUUCUGCCCUAAUUCGCGUCCUCCAGAUCUUCCUAUCUAGGGUCAUGUCCUUAGUGAGCUGUAACUGCUCCAUGUCCCUCCUAAUCACCUCUCCCUAAUACUUCUUCGGCCUACCCCUACCCUGCCUAAAACCAUCCAAAGUUAGCCUCUCACACCUACGAAUGGGGGCAUCCAUGCCCCUCCUCAUCACGUGUCCAAACCAUCUCAAUCGGACUUUCUGCAUCUUAUUCUCCACUGGAGUUACCCCAACCUUCUUCCUGAUAGUCUCAUUCCGAACUCUAUCCUCCCUAGUCAGCCCACACAUCUAACGCAACAUCCGUAUUUUCGCCACCUUCAUUUUUUGAAUAUGGGAGUUCUUAACUGUCCAACACUCCGCUUCAUACAACAUGGCCGAGCGGACUACCACCCUGUAGAAUUUGCCUUUAAGCUUGGGCGGCACCUUCUUAUCACACAAAACCCCUAAAGCGAGCUUCCACUUCAUCCAUCCCGCCCCAAUAUGGUGUGAGACAUCCUCAUCAAUCUCACCGUUACCCUGAAUCACAGACCCGAGAUACUUGAAACUAUCCCUCUUACAUACCACCUGUGAUUCUAACUUCACUACCACCUCAUUCUCCAGCCUCACGUCAUUAAACUUGCAUUUCAAAUACUUUAUCUUGCUCCUACUCAACCGAAACCCUUUAAGCUUAAGGUUUUGUCUCCACACCUCUAAUUUAUCAUUCACACCCCCCCACGUAUCAUCAAUCAAAACUACAUCACUUGCAAAAAUCAUACACCAAGGAAUUUCUCCUUGAAUACGCCAGGUCAAUACAUCUAUCACCAAAGCAAACAAAAAGGGACUAAGAGUAGAUCCCUAAUGCAAUCCUGUCAUGAUAGUGAAAUGCUCUGAGUCUCCUUCCGUCGUCCUCACCUGAGUUUUAGCUCCAUCAUACAUGUCCUUAAUUGCUCUGAUAUAUGCCACCGGGACUCCACUCAUCUCCAAGCAUCUCCAAAGCACUUCCCUGGGGAAUUUGUCGUAUGCCUUCUCCAAGUCGAUAAACACCAUGUGCAGGUCUUUCUUCCUUUCCCUAUACUAUUCCACCAGCCUCCGUAAUAGGUGAAUUGCCUCCGUCGUCGAGCGGCUAGGUAUAAAUCCAAACUGGUUCUCCAAAAUAGACACUAUCCAUCUCAGCCUCACCUUGACCACUCUCUCCCAAAUCUUUAUAGAGUGACUUAAUAACUUAAUACCCAUAUACUUAUUGCAACUCUGAAUGUCCCCCUUGUUCUUAUAAAGAGGAAUCAUAGUACUCCACCUCCAAGCCUCAAGCAUUUUCUCCAUCUUGAAAAUUUCAUUAAAUAAUCCAGUCAACCACCUUAAACCAGCCUCGCCAGAAAACUUCUAAAAAUCCAUCGGUAUCUCAUCGGGCCCCGUCGCCCUACCCCUUCGCAUCCUGUGAAUAGCCUCUCUAACCUCCUCUACCUUAAAAUGUCUAUAAUAACUAAAAUCUCGACACUCCUCUGAGUGCUCCAGCUCCCCUAACACAAUAGCUCUAUUCCCUUCGUUAUUCAAGAGCCUUUGAAAAUACGACUGCCAUUUAUUCUUAAUGUGGCCGUCCUCCACCAACACUGUACCGUCCUCCAACUUAAUGCACUUCACCUGGUCAAGGUCAUGACCCUUCCUCUCCCUAGCCUUAGCGAGUCUAAAUAAUUUUUUUCCCCUCCUUUCUCCUGUAACCCCACAUACAAGCUCUCAAAAGUUGUCGUCUUAGCCACCGUAACUGCUAACUUAGCCUCCUUCCUAGCUAAUUUGUACUCUUUCUUGUUUACCCGCUUCUCUUAUUUAUCCUUACUCUCAACCAACUUAGCAUACGCCCCUUUCUUGGUUUCCACUUUCUUCUUAACCUCUUCAUUCCACUACAAAUCCCCCCAAUGAUGCCCGGACAAGCCCCUAGAAAUACCCAACACCUCACUAGCAUUCUCCCUGAUGCACCUAGCCACCCUAUACCACAUACUAUCCACAUGCCCACUACACUCCCAUACCUCCAUUCUCGCUAACUUCUCCCCUAUCUCCUACGUAUUCACUGGCGUUAAGCCGCCUCACUUAGAUCUAGGUCUACACUCCUUACUCCUUCUCUUCCUAUCCUUCUUUAUACCCAAAUCCAUAACCAAGAGCCUAUGCUGGGUCGAAAGAUUCUCACUCGGAAUGACCUUACAAUCCUUAUACAACACCCUAUCCCCUUUCUUAAGCAAUAAAAAGUCAAUUUGAGUCUUGGCUAUUGCACUUCAGAAGGUGAUCAGGUGAUCGUCCUUCUUUGGGAAGCCCGAGUUCACCACCACCAGCCCAAAGGACCUCACAAAAUCCAGUAGAGUGGACCCCUCUUCAUUUCUUUCCCCAAAACCAAAACCACCAUGCACAUCACUAAAGUCUCCCGGUAAAGCCCCUAUGUGCCCAUUGAAAGCUCCUGCUACAACAAUCUUCUUCGAGCUAGGCACGCCUCUCACCACCUCAUCCAAAGCCUCCCAAAACUGCAUCUUCUCCUCCCCAUCCAAGCUCACUUAUGGUGCAUAAGCACUACGUUCAGGGUAAACCCCCCAAUGACUAACUUAAUAGUCAUCAACCUAUCGCUGAUCCUCUUUACCUCUACUACCUAACCUCUAAGCUCUUCAUCUACUAAGAUGCCAACUCUAUUUCUACGCCUCUCACUCCCAAAGUACCAAAGCUUGUAACCAUCCAUAUCCCUAGCCUUAGACCCUACCCACUUUGUCUCUUGAACAAACGCAAUAUUAAUCCGCCUUUUUCUAAGAAUCUUCACAAGCUCUAUGGACUUACCCUGAAGAGUCCCUAUAUUCUAAGACCCGACUCUCAGCCUACCAUCUCUAUCAACACGUCUUCCUCUAUCGCCCCUGAGGCCAAACCUUGGCCUCCCUCCCACUCCCCUUUUUUUCUCUUCCCCCGCCCCCACAAUAGCCCCCUGCCCCAACCCCCUCGGACAUAACCCUAUCCAACCAUCAACGCCCACAGCCACUACUACAAGAAAAUAUAAGAAAAUAUAAACAAUGGUAGUAACAAAGUAGUAGCAGGAAAUACAAGGCUCACACAAAUUAAAAGAAAUAAUCAAGAAAUAAAACUAAACUCAAAUAGGGAGAAAAAACAAAACCGAGGUAAGGACAAAACAAACAAUAAGAAAAAUAGAGCACACUAAUGGCCUGGCACCAAGGAAAAGACAAGGAUAUGAAGAAAUCAAACUAUAUAAAGUUACAAAAGAACCAAAGUUCGGAUGUCAGAUGCCUCCGUGCUACUGAUCCGGCAAGGUUAGUGUUAAAAAGUGUUUGUCGGAAUAAGGUCGACGGGAAAGAAGCCGCUAGUUAUAUCACCGAAAUAUCCCCAGAUAUUUGCCGAAGCUUCUUCAAAGACAUUAGAAUCUGGAUAUCAUCGAACAUCGGCCUACCUGUUAGGCCACUGAUGAGUACCUCCCCCGUUACCUGAGUCGAACCGGCAGGAACCCUAGCCCACCAGCGAUAGCUGCAAUGGGAUAAGAAAGGGGGUGGGGGUGGGGGAGAUGAGAAUAAGAAACUGGGAGAGAGAGAUUUGAAGAGUGAGAGAGAAAGAGGGAGAUAGGGUAGAUCUUGUACGCUUCUGGAACUUCUGCGUCGUCGCCGGCGUUAGAGUUUGCCUAUCAGUCGAGGUGGUAACAUUAAAUUAAACGUUAGAGAGAGAAGAAAGAGGUUAGAGAGAGAAAGUUAGGUCCUCAACCAAAGGGUAUAUUAAACCCUAAGACCUUCCUAUCAAUUACCAAUAAAACCAACCUCUUACGAGGACACAAAUAGAAAUAGAUUUUCGAGCACCCACAUUUCUCAACAACUAAAUAAACUCCCAACAAGUUUCAGUAAAAACAAUCUUAAGUUUCUUUGUUUUGAUCCUCUUAACCUCUACCACUUGCUUUCUAAGCUCAUCAUCUACUAGGAUACUUACACCAUUCCUGUUCCUCACGCUUCCUGAGUCCCACAACUUAUAACCAUCCACUACCCUCGUAUUAGUACCUACCCAAUUGGUUUCUUGGAGACAAGCUAUAUUAAUAUGCCUUUUACUAAGAAUUUUCACUAGCUAUAUUGACUUCUCUGAUAAAAACCCUAUGUUCCACAACCCUACUCUCAACCUAAAGUUACACUUAUCCCUUUUACCCUUCCUACCCCCUUAUUCUGCCCCAGCCCCUGCCCUGGCCUACAACCCCAACCCAAGCCUUGUCCGAAGACAUGACCCUAAGAUAACACCAUCUACCACAGCCAUCAGAAACUGCACCAACCAAUAACACUAAGAACACACAGCCUAGAUAAUAAUUCAAACCAUAAAAAGGUACUAUCAAGCCCACGCUAUAGAACUAUUAGGAACAACAUAAAUGACUAAAACACUAGUAGAAUUAACAACACCCUAAAUAAUAGCCACUACUAUGAAAUAUAGAACUAAACAAAUAAAUUGCCACCUAUAAGCAAGAUAGUCAUCCAAGGCACAAUGAAAAAUGGGAUCAAAAUAAGAAUAAUACAUAAGAUAAACAAUAACAGCUGCUACAACCAAAAAAUCUAUACAUAAGACACUAGAAGAGAUAGAGCAAGUGCACCUGAUCGAAGCUACGACAAAAAUUGGUCACCAAUUUACUUGGUUGAGUCUAUGGAUUCUGACAAGUGUUGACAAAAAUUAGUCACCGGAAUCGUGUUGUUGCUAUCGAAGAAGGAAUCCCAGAUCUAGAAUUGUAGUACCUAUAAGAGGGUAAAAAAAAGAAAGAGAGAAAAGAGAGAUGCUUGGAAAUGGGUUGCUGGGAAUGAGGCACUGGAAAAUGCACCUAUAUUAACACUGAUAUGAAGAAGUCACCAGUAGAGAUAAGGUCGCUGGUAGAGAAGAAGUCACCGACAGCGAGAGUCACCAAUAAAGAGAAGAAAGAUUUCAAAGAGAGUCGACGGCAGAAAGUAUGACGUUUAUCAAUUAGACAAGUUGGAUAUUAUAACUGACAUGCCUUUUUGUAAAAGUUAAAAUAACCUACAAUGGCAAGUAGUUUCAAGGGUAUAGGAUGCGUUAAACCCAUAUUCCCCUUUUAGUGCUAGAUACUACUCCAAAAAUUAUAGUCACGACCUGAUUUAUGAUUCAUGAUGGUCCUACUAAAUCCAGCCAGUAGGUAAGCCAAUACCUUAACCCAAAGUUAACAUAAUGGGUUAAUUUGAUAGGGAAAUACCCUGCAUAGGCCAAAUUUAAUGAACACAAGUCAUAAAUAAACAAAGUGUUUUAAAUUGACAAAUAGUCAUCAUAAGAUACCAAUUCUAUGACUUGGUAGAGCCACUACAAGAGCAUCUAAUGUCAAUAAUACAACCCAAAAGACUUAUAAUAUUGUCAAUACAUCUAUCUUGAUACUAAAUACUGAAUAACAAUAAGAUAGAUGGAAAUAGGUGACUCAAAACUCCAAGAUCUCACCCUAUCUCCAAAAGAUCAACUCUAUACGAACAAUACUCAACAGGUAUAGCUAGUACUCAAAUUUACACCAAAAGGUACAAAAGUAUAGUAUGAGUACUGAAACAAUAGGUAUUCAGUAAGCAUCAUUGGCCAAUUGAGCUAAGUCAUGGUAUAAAAAUAAUAUAAUGGAAGAUAAAAUAACUAGGUCAAGGUACAGAAUCAAACCCGAAUCUUCUCCAUUAUCAUUGUGCACAAUUAGUACAUAACUAAAACAAUAAUAAUAAUAAUAAUAAUAAUAUAAUGUAAAGAAUCAAGAUCAUGCAAACAUAACUAUAAAAUUGGCUCCCAUAUGCCAAUUGGUGCAAAAAGUAAAGAACUUAUCACAACAUCCCAUACUACUGGAGAGUACACUCAAGAGAAAAUAAAGCAAACAUUCAACAUUAUAUUUAACCUGCAUCAUCAUUCAACCAUCACUCCAACUUUUAUCAUUAUACGGCAUUGUACCACCACUUGGCAAUUUACCAAUAUUAUACCUACUAUAUGUAGUUUUGAUGAUGACCAGCUAACUGCAAGGGACCAGGUCCCUCGAUGUACAAGUUACAAUACAACUGGCACGUGUUGUAUGCACAGUUUUGUCCUUUUGAGUAUUAAACUUGCAGGUGCUAUUUUGUACUGAUUAGGAAAGAUGGUCCAAUGAUUUUUCAUCCCUAUCAUCACUCAGCUAUAUAAGUAAAGAGACACCUCUUCAUUAAAUGAGGUUUUGCACAAAUCUAAAACGUGAAGUAAAACAAAAAACUCCAUUUUCAAGAUUGCUCAAGCAUUGCUCAUGUUCUUUUCUUUGUAAUAUGCUUAAAGAAUGAGUAAGUAUUCUUGAGUGAUGAUUUGUAACUAAACUACUCAUGCUAUAAGAGUAGUAUUUUUCACUUUGAGUAGAAAGUGCUUAGGCAGAGUUGCUUAAGUGUGAGGCUGAUUAGAGUCAAUCAGUGAAGAAAUCCUUAGUAGAGUUACCAAGAUGAGUUUGUAGUAGAGUUAUUACAAGAGAAGGAAGCCAAGAGGUAGGAUGAAAUCUAGACUGUAAUCAAGAGGUUGAUUAUAGUGGAUUUCUUUGGGGUUUGUGAGGGUAAGCUGUGGUUUUUCCCUUCCAGGGUUUCCACGUAAAAAUUUAUGUGUUUUUACUCUUUCUGCAUUAUUUGUUACUUUCUAGUUAUUUUUGUGUAUUUUGCCUGUGAUUACUUUUUAGGGGUCUGGUCCCUCACUAUGUGGUGCAACCCUAAGAGUCCCUACAAUAACAUAAUCCACUAUUCAACUACAACUUAUUUAUUAUCACAACCUUAGAUAUCAAUUGACUCCACUUAUCUACUAAGCAUAAAUUACUUACGAGGUCUUUCUUCAUGAUUACUCAACACUUAAACAUUUCAUCAUGUCAUAGUGUAUACCCAAACAUGAACAAAAAAAAAAUAUUUAGUCAUCAAUAGCAUAAUAAACAAGGUAAUCAUGUCUCAUAUUUACCAACAAUAUCAUCAAGUACAAAGAUUUUUCACCAUCACCUCAAUAACACUUUUCAAGAGUCUAAUAGGCAUAAAUAUUCACCAAAGCUAACAUGUUUCAUAGCCUAAGGUGGGUUAGGAGUCCACUUUAAUCCUCGAGUUCCAAUUUUUUCUAUUUCUACUUGUACUAGGCUUAUGAUAUUGAAUUAUAAUUUUAAGAUGUCAACAAGCCUUAAUAUUCCCUAAGAUAGGGAGUUUUCCUAAAAGGUGAGGAACUAGGUUAAUUAUGCCUAAUAUGAUUAACUUAAGUCAUUCAUCUACUAAGCAUGAAGGAUAAAGUCUAAUUCACCUAAAUCUCAAGGGAACAAGCUAAAGGAUUCAAGCUUAUGGUGUCAAAAGAGCCUAAACAGCUCAACUAACCCCAAGACUAGUAAUUCAUCAAACCAAGACCUAAAACCCAUCCCAAUCAAACAUAAUAUCAUAAUUAUACUAUGAAAUAGUUUAAUCUAACAAGGGUUAAACCUAGCCUACCUCAACCCAAAAGAAUGCUCAACAAUUCUCUAAACCAUCGCAUUUCCCUUUUUAUAAGCCUCUUCAAGAUGCCAAGCUAUCAAAAACGCAUUUCACUCAUCAAUAUAAGAAUAUCGAUACCAAUAUUGCACCAUUAUGCUUUGGGUCCAAAAAUCAUGCCAAAACCCUAUGUGGGUCCCACUCAUAAAAAUCAUGUUUUAGAGACUAGCCCAACAUGAUAUCAAGCUCAUGGAAUCAAAACCCUCAAAAAUAGGUGAAAACCAAGCUAAUUUGGGCUAAAAUAAAGCCCUAAAGGAUUUGGGGCUUUGGUCAAAAAUUCCAAAAAUUCAAGCAUGAUUUUGAAGGAUUCUUACCUUAAAUCUAAAGAUAUUUGCGAAAAUAUAUGUUAAUCAAGCUCCUAAGUCAUACCCAAGACACAAUUCUAAGUUAUCACACUCUUUUAGGGUUCUUGGCUCUCAAGGAUGAGUGGAAAAUGACCAAAACGUGGCCUAAGGGGUCAUUUUAUACCCAUGCCAGGUGUUUAGGAAUGACUAUCGCACAAAAGGGUAUGAAAUCACACUACUUGAGUGUAGGAGCAGGCAUGUCAUUGCCAUCCUCCCUUGUACAAUCUCAGUACUUGCUGUCAGCACAGCUGACAGUUAAAACUUGGAGAUUUUCCAACUUUUCACUAAUGCCUCAGGAUUCAUUCAGAAUCUGAUUUAUGCAAACGAACUAUGUUACCACACUAAAUUCGAUGUUCCAUACACAAUGGCAAAGUUGGAUUUUCCAUUUGAGGUAAUUUCAACCAACUAUUGGUCCCACACCCAUAAUUUAAAUUUUCCAACUUUUCGACCAAUAGGUCAAAAUGAGCUUAGGUGCAUCGGGACCCAAACCAAAGGUCUACCUAUCCUAAAAUUGAUUUUUUGAGUUGUUGGUAAAGUCAAAAUUUGUAUCCAAGAUUGUUUUACUAAAGUUUUCACUUGGUGGCCAUUUGGAACCAGCGAAUACUUCUAAACAAAUAAUUGGAUUUAAAAAACAAAUGAACUACUCAGUAACUGAACUGUCAGCUCCAACAAGUCAUAAAUGACAGAGGUAGCUAUGGAAAAGCUCUAACAACAAUAAUAAGAGGAAAUAAAGAAAAUGACCUAAAGGGUCAUUAUAAUAUCCACUACUAAAGGAACUUUUGUCCCUGAAAGUGAAAGAUUAAUAAAUACCUGAAGUCUCAAACAGGUGAGGAUACUAGGACCACAUCUCGCUCUCGAUCUCCCAAGUGGCCUUCUCCAUUUGGGCAAUGUCUCCACUGAACCUUAACUAUAGAAAUCUCCCUUGUGUGCAACCGCCUCACAUCACUCACCAAAAUAAACAAUGGCUCCUCUUUAAAGGUCAAACGCUCAUCCAACUAAACUAAGUCCCAUCUAAGCACAUAAGACGAAUCGAGAAAUAUCACCUCAACAUAGAGACAUGGAAAGCCAAAUAAACUGUGGAAUAAUCUUGAGGCAAAGAUAACUCAUAGGUGACCUUACUAAGUAUGUGAAAAAUGUCAAAAGGUACAACAUAUAUCGGACUGAUCUUACCUUUCUCCUAAAACUUAUCAUACCCUUCAUAGGUGAUAGGCAGAGGAAUACAUUUUUACGAACCUCAAAUCUCAAGCCACGAAGCCUACGGUCUGCAUAUGCCUUAUACCUACUCUGAGCCACUCUAUACCUAUCCUAAAUCACCCUAACUCUAUCCAAUAACUCUAGAAGCAUACCCAUACUACAGGGCCUAACCUCAGAGGUCUCAAGCCAUCCAAUCAGACAAUGACAUCUCCUACCUUACAAAGCCUUAGAAGGCUCCAUCUUAAUACUCAAACAAUAGUUAUUAAUAUACAUGAACUCUGCCAAGUCUAAGUAUUAUUCCCACUGGCAUUCAAAAUCCAUAACGCAGUCUUGGAGCAUAUUCUAAGUCACCUGAAUAGUCUAUGCAGAAUGAGAUGAAAGAUUAUACUCAAAUCCACCUGACUGCCCAGCUCCUCCUAAAAUGCUCUCCAAAACCUCAAAGUGAACACAAAACCAUGAUUUGAAAUAAUAAAAUGGGUCCCCCAUGCAAACAAACUAUCUCUCGAACAUAGAUUUGGCCUAAUCUCUCAACAUUGAAAGUCAUCUAAAUUGGAAUGAAAUAUGCUAACUUGGUAAAAUGACCCACAAUAAUCCAUAUACUAAUGAAACCACUGGAAGAACGAGGCAAACCGCUAAUGAAGUCCAUACUAAUUUGUUCCCAUUUCUACUAAUUAAUGGGAAACCUUUGAGUCAAACCACCUGGUCGCUGAUGCUUGGCCUUGACUUGCUGAUAAUAGAGGAAAUAAGCUAUAAAGUCUACCACAUUUCCACUAAUAGUGUUGUCUCAAAUCUCUAAACAGCUUGGCUGUGAUAGGGUGGAUAAAAUAUCUAGAACUAUGAGUCUUAAUUAAAAUUAACUGAAUCAAGUUUAAAUCUGAGAAAUAUAAAUACGGCAAUCAAAUCUCAAAACACCCUCAGAACAAUGGUGUGUCUCUCAGACUCGCCACUCAAUACUUGAUCUCGAAGAAAGCAAAGCUUACCAUCCUCAAACUGAUGAUCUCAAAUCUGCUCAAAGAGUGAGGACCUUAACUCCACACUAGCCAAAAUCCUCCUAGGAUCUAAAAUAUUAAGGUAAACCAUCAAGUUAACCAAGGAUUGAAUAUCUCGUGCUAAUGGCCUUGAAAUGCUGAAAUACAAGCUAAACUGUCCAUACUCACUGCCUUACGACUCAAGGCAUCUGCUACCAUAUUUGUCUUGCCUUGCUGAUAUAAGAUGGAUAUAUCAUAGUCCUUAAGCAACUCCAUCCAUCUAUGUUGUCGAGCAUUAAGCUCUCUCUGGGUUAUUAGUUAUUGAAUACUAUGAUGAUUAGUGAAAAUCUCAUAAUGCAUACCAUACAAAUAAUGCCUCCAAAUCUUAAGCAUGAAAACUAUCGUCGCCAACUCUAAAUCAUGUGUGAGGUAGUUGCACUUAUGUACCUUAAGCUGUCUAGAAGCAUAAGCAAUAACAACUCUGUUGUAUUAAUACACAACCUAGCCUAACACCAAACAUCUCACAAAACCCGAUGAAUCCCCUACCUCAAUAGGAAGAGAUAACACAGAAGUUGAAGUAAAAAAGUCCAUGAUCUUUCCAAAGCUCAACUCACACUCCUCGAACCAUCAGAAAGGAACCUCCUUUCGAGUUAAUCGGGUCAUAGAGAUUGAAAUAGUAGCAACACCCUCAAUGAAGCAUCUAUAAUAACCGGCCAAACUAAUGAAGCUAUGAACCUUAAUAGGAGAUUUAGAUCUAGCCCAAUCAUUCAUUGCCUUAAUCUUGGCAGGGUCUACUAUAAUUCCUUUUUUAGACACCACAUGUCUAAGAAAUGUCACUGACUCAAGCCAAAACUCACACUUGGAGAAGUUGGAAAAAAGAAAAUAAUCCUUCAAAGUCUGGAGCACGAUUCUUAAAUAUUGAACAUUUUCCACUCUACUACUUGGAUAUACAAGGAUGUCGUCGAUGAACACAAUCAUAAAAAAAUACAAAUAAGGGCUUAACUAGUGACUACAUCAAGGGAUCUUUCCUACUCCUAGCGAGAUGAUGUAGCAUAAAACUAGUUCUAAUACUGAUUUUCACUAGUAUUGGAAGUUAUGCUCUACAACAGAAGUAGGUGGCCCGACUGAGCUACUAAAGUAGUGGGCUGAGCCUAAUCGCGAACAUCUCUGUUGCCCCUAUUUGUGAAGAUCCAGUCCCUCAUAUGGUCCAUCUUUCCACAUAUAUAGCACCCUAUUCUACCAGCCAAAUACUCACCUCAAUAAUUUCCACCAUAUUUCUUGCAGAGUGGAUAACUAGAUCCCUCAAUGCUAUCCUAGGAUUUAGAAGUCGGUGCUCUACCACCAUACUCAUACUUAUUUCUAGGUGUAGGGGCACUGGCUGCGGACAGUGAAGUGCUAAAGAAUGGCCCUAAAAUUAAGAAUAAUUUUCCCUCCUAAUCUCUACUGCCUAUACUCAAACUAAUCGAUCCUAACCCUUUUAUUCUCAUUCUUUACUUCAUUUAAGCAUGAGUCAAAUAAGCAAUAUCCAUAUCCUCAAUCAACAUGGCAUUCCCAUACUUCUUGACUACCAAAUCAGACACACUAGUGAUAAUAUUACUCAUACGAGCUCUAAAAUCUGGAAACAAUGCUAGUACAAACUUACCUAGCUGAGUGAACUUAGGAGAAUACUCAUUCAUCAACAUAGAGCCUUGUCUCGAGUUUAUAAACUCAUCUACCUUAGACUCUCUCAUAUCCCUAGUAAAGAACCUAUCUAGAAAGUCAUUUGAAAUGCAUCUCAACUUAUAGAAGCUUUAUUCUUACCCCUACUUUUCUUUCAUAUAGUAACCCAGUCAUAAGCAGCAUCUUUCAAUUGAUAAGAACCCAAUUCAACACUAUUCUCUAUAGUAACAUGCAUAAUCUGGGUAAUAUUUUUUAUCUCAUCAAUGAAAAACUAAGGAUCUUCAUUCAGCUUUGACCCAAAGAACUUAGGUAGGUUUAUUUUCUCAAAAUCCUGAACAAUAGUUGCAACUAAGUUACUAUUCUUCUGAAGUGAGAUUGAUGAUGGUUGAUUACCUUGAGCAUUUGUAUUCACAUCUUGAGAAAACACUUGGAAAGAAUCCUGAAACUCAGCUUGAGAGAUAUUUUAGUUCUAAAGGUCUUUAGGUGUGGUUGGGACUCGUUGAUCCUCAUUUUUAUGUGCAUAAGCUUGAUGUGCUAUGAAUUUAUAGCACAAACGAUGCUUAAAAUUAGAUAAUAUGCAUGUAAUUAAGGCUAUUUUGUUGGUUUUUAUGUGUUUGUAGAGUGAUUUUGCAAGAAACUAGGUUUUGGAUGCUAAAUGAAAGAAAAGGAAGAACAUUUGAGUUUUUAGAUACUUACCGAGGCAUUUUGGGGCAUAAGUGCCACUUACUGAGUGUAGGUGAAAAAAAUAGGUGCCAGAACUUGAAGUCCAGAGGAUCAGAAGUAGGAAAAAAAUAUGUUGUCACUUACCAAGGGCACCUAUGGUCUGUAUAUACUAUAUACAAUCCAUAGGUGACCUAAGUAAGUGUCAAAGGGUCAAAUCUAAAGAGUUUCAUGAUAGAGAAGGAGGUAUAGCACAUAUCAAGGACCAUAUGUGGUUCGUAUGUAGUACAUAUGAUCUGUAGGUGGCCUUUGUAAGUGUCCACUGACCUCAACUUUUUUUGGAUCAUUUCAAUAUUGUUACCUACGAUUUCCAAUGUAACAUAAACCUACUUCGAUGAUGUUUUUAGUCCUUAUUAAGCAUGUUUAGUUAAGUUUUCCUAUUUUGGUUAGGAUUUGAAUUCUAGGGUUUCUUGUAAUCUAUAAAUACCCUUUACACUUUGUUUAGUAAGAGGAUGCUAAUUUAGGCCCUUUGUGGCAAAGUUCACAUUUUUUACUAACAUCUUAUUGUUCUUAGUAUGUUCUUGGUUUGUUAUUCAAUUUAAGACUUUGGGAUUUCUUCUUUCAUUACUAUGAGAUUGAUUCUAUAAGUUUGUCUGUAGAUUCCAUGAUUGAUCUCACAACUAUGAGCGGCUAAUUUUCUUAGCUAGGGUUGUGGGAACCCUGGUGGAUUAAUGAAGUAGAGAAAGUUCUAAGUUGUUAUAUGUAAAGAUUCUUGCAUGUAUUAGAUUUUCUUUGUUCUUAAUGAUAUCGUAACGGGAGCACAUAUUAAGAUCCCACCUAGAAUAUCACUACUUACUCUAUAAGAGGAAUAGUGACUAGGAAAAAGAGAUCACAAUGGUGAUUUAAGGUUAACUGGUGAAAUAAGCUUACAUGUACUAUUUUCUUAAGAUGGUGAACUUUUAUCUAAUAUCUUGAGACUUAAAAGGUAAAAGUUAAACUGAAUCUAAGAUAAGGGUUAGUAAGGUGACACCCUGAGACUCAAAAGGUAAAGAGUGAGAUCCGACAAUAAGUCCACAAGAUAGUUGAUGGUACAUAACUUAUCAGAUUCUAUAUGCAAGAUCGAAAUAGUUUGAUAGUGCAUGAUAACUCUGCAAAGUUGAGAAGCCAGGUGGAAUAUAAGCCUAGUCUUUAUCUUAGAUUAUUUACAAUAAAAAACAACCAAUUCUCGCCCCUUUUACUAUUUCAGCAAAUCCUUUCUUUUUACUUUUCUGCACUGCCCAGUGAUUUAAACAAGUUUGAGAAUGAUUUCUAACGUAUUCUUUAUGGCAUCGACCCCAACCUAGUUGGGUUACUAUAUUUUGAUAGCGAGUGCUUUGUCCUUCUAAGGAGGGGUAGUUUGGGCAUUACCAAGUUUUAGCAUCGUUACAAGGUAAUACGAUUGUAGAUUGACUGAUUGGAGUUAUUGACAUUGUUAGGGUUUUCUUUUCUAUUCUUCUUCAGGCAUACACUACAAUGUGCCUACUCUUCUUGAUAUGACAAUUUGGCCAAAUGAAGUAUUGAGUGAUGAAGACUUCUUGAUUAUUAAUCCCUAUCUUUUUGAUAUGGUAUGUUAUUACAGGAGUAUGGUAGAUAUAGUUUGUAAGCACAAAGAUAGCCUAUUGGAAACACUAACACAUAUUUAAAAAGUUGAUAGGUUUGGCAUAAAUAUUUAUCAGUUACCACUUACUAGUAGAUUUGGAUGUAAAAGUUGUUACAUCUAACACCCAACAACUUAGUUAUAGCUGGUGUGAGACUGGAAAAUUCUGAGAAGCCAACUUGAAGAGCUAAAAUUAGAGGAGCCUAAGAUUUCUCAUACUCUUAUGGAUAGUAUCACUCCUAAGGAGAGCAUACUAGAGUUAUGUAGGGAUGUAAAUAAGACUUUGGUUCCUGAAGUGGGGCAUAUUGGACCUCAUUCAAAAUAUUUCUCCACAUUAUGUUUGGAUAUUCAAAUCUGGUUCGGUCCAUCUAAACUUGAAGAGGAGUGCAAUAAGGAGGAAAUAUAUGUCUACAUUCUUGAAUUUAUUGAGCUAUAAUCAUAAAACUAUAUUCCUCAUGUAAGGGCCAAGAAGUAUAAUAUGUCAUAUCUAUUUAUUUGGUCUUUUAUUUUUAUACCUCUGCCCCAUGAGAAUAAUGAGAUACCAGAAAAAUAAUUAAGGGUGUAAUUUAUAAGUUCAAAGUAGAAAGAGAAAAACUAGAAGCCAACUCUUGGGCUACCUUAAUGAAUGAGUAAUCAAGGUACCCAUGGACUUGUUGGGGAAGUCAGAGUACCCAACCAAGCCCCAUCAUGAUGCGACAUUAAAACAGGCACUGCUUGGGAGGCAACCCAAGGUAUUUUGUUGUUUGUAUUUGUGAUAUUAUGAUUAACGUUGAAUCUGCGCACCUAUGGUGCCACAGGUAUGUUUCUAACUCUCUUACUUUGUAGUGUCCCAAUGCAUUAGGGACAGUACAUGAUUUUAGGUUGAGGGUGGGAUUGUUUAUGGGUCUUGAUAUCCUCUUAGGGUUUUGUUGUCGUGCCUCUUUUCCUUGGAGUCCUAUUCCAAGUAGAGUCGCCAUGUUUAGGUGUGUUGUGUUUUGUUUUAUGAUGUUCUAUGUUUAACUAGCAGAGAAAUUAGUAUUCAAGGAAGUUGAUAUAAAGUGUUGAAACUGAUACCACUUAACUAUGUGAUAUGUAUAUAUAUGUGUGAAUAUUGUGAAUCUAGUUAUGGCAUUAGGAUUAGGGAUAUUAUAAUCACUGCUAAUAAUUGCAUGAACCGGACAAGUAGUAGCUUAUGAUGUAACCCUAUGCCAUGUGUGUGAGAGAUACUACUUAGUUCUCUUUGUGUGUUCAAUCUAGAACUUGCUCAGUUAGUCUUGGCUAAUUUGAAAGAUAGUCGGUUAGGAAAAGAUCAUAGGCCAUUUUUUAAAUUAGUCUAUUUUAGCCAAAAUAACCUUCCAUGUGUGAAUUAGUAUCCCUUGAUCCUGAUUUUUAAGCCAUGUAUACACCUUUCACCUUUUCAUUUGUGUUACAAUGAACCUAUGUUGGCUCUGGUCCUCCUUGGACAUUAUGCACCUUAACUCAGGAAAAUUGCCUAAGUUAAGGGUCGUCAUCAUAGGGGUACAUAAUGUAAAAUGGGUAGAAUAAGAGAAAAAGAUAGUAAGGCUGGGUGUGGUAGAAAAAAGAAAAGAAAAGACAAAUGAGAAAAAAUAAAAAGAAAGGAACAAGAGAAAAUAAUAAAGAAACCACACCCAACCUGAAUAUGCAAUAAAAGAAUAAAAAGGGAGAAAUAAGGGUGGAAUAAAAAGAUAUUGGUAGAUAAGUGGACCCCAAAGUUAGUGUAGUGCCAAGGAAGCUUAGUCACUUGAUAGAUCCAUAUGUACCAUACCAACCCUCAAGCCUACAUUACAAGUGGAAUAAAGUCCUAUAGUGAUCCUAACUAAUGUAAAAAAAAUAAAGGCAAGCCUAUGAUAUUUGAUGCGAAUUAGUGGGACUUCUCUUGUGAGAGUGAGUGUCUCUUGACUGUCCUUGAAUUAACAUGUAUGAUUUCAUAUGAGUGAGUGGGACUUCUUUGUUGUGAGGGCACAUGGGUUGUAUUGCUAGCUGCUUACUUGUUUGGGUAGUGUAACUUGUAUAUAUGCAUGAUUGUAUGGUGUUAAUGUAAUACCAGCUUGGUUAUAUUGUGUCACAGUGUUGUGUUUCAUGAAUACGCACAAUUGGUUUUAAAGUAUUGAACUUGUAGAGGGUAAUGAUCUUGAGCUUAAAUUUGAUAAUUGAUUUCCAUAGAUAUCUUAGGUUUCUCUUGGUUAAGCAUCAUCUUAUUGUUUUGUUAUGUUUUGUUGCCUGAGGACAUGCAACGUUCCAAGUUGAGGGUCUUUAUGUGCUAUGAAUUUAUAGCACUUACAAUGCAUACACUUUUAGAAUAUGCAUUUACUUAAGGUUAUCUUGUUGGAUUUUAUGUGAUUUUAGAGUGAUUUUGCAGGAAACUAGGUUUUGGAGGCUAAAUGGAAGAAAAGGAAGAAAAUUAGAGUUUUUGGCUACUUAUCAAGCCAUUUCUGGGAAAAGUGCCACUUACCAAGCAUAGGUGACCAAAGUAGGUGCCAGAAAUUGAAUUCUAGAGGCUCGGAAGCAAGAAAAAAAAGACUCAAUCAUUUACCUAGGGCACCUAUGGUUUGUAUGCGCUACAUACGGUUAUAGGUGACCUAAGUAAGUGUCAGAGGGUCAAAUCCAGAGAGUUCCAAGAUAGAGCAGGAGGUAUGGAACUUACCAGGGACCACAUAUGGUCCGUAUGUAGUACAUAUGAUUCGUAGGUGGCCUUUCUAAGUGGCCACCGACCUCAACUUUUCUGGAUCAUUUUGAAAUUGUUCCCUAUGGUUCCCAUGUAACCUAAAACUACUCCUAUGAUUCUUUUAGUCCUUAUUAAGUGCAUUUAGUCAAGUUUUCCUAUUUUAGUUAGGAUUUGAAUUCUAGGGUUUCUUGUAAUCUAUAAAUACCCAUUAUACUUGGUUUAGUAAGGGGAUGCUAGUUUAGGCCCUUAAAUUAUUCACAAACAUUUUAUUGUUCUUAGUUUGUUCUUGGUUUGUUAUUCAAUUUAAGACUUUGGGAUUUCUUCUUUCAUUAAUAUGAGAUUGAUUGUAUAAUUUUGUAUAUGGAUUCUAUGAUUGAUCUCAUAACUAUGAGCGGCUAAUUUCCUUAGCUAGGGUUGUGGGAACCCUAGUGGAUUAAGAAGUAGAGGAAGUGCCAAGUCGUUCUAAAUAAAGACUCUUGCAUGUAUAGUGUUUUCUUCGUUCUUAUAGAUGGAUGGAUGGAUGGAUGAAUGGAUAGAUGGAUGGAUGGAUGGAUGGACGGAUAGAUAGAUGGAUAGAUAGAGAGAGAGAGAGAGAAAGAAAGAGAGAGAGAUACAUAUACAUAUAGAUAUAUAGAUAUAUACAUUUGUACAAAUAUGUAUAGAUAUAGAUAUAUAGAUAUAUACAUUUAUACAUAUUUAUACAUAUAUAUCGAUAUACAUAUAUAUAUAUAUAUAUACAUGUACAUAUAUAUACAUAUAUACAUGUAUACAUGUAUACAUAUAUACAUAUAUACAUAUACAUAAACAUAUACAUAUACAUAUACAUAUAUGUGUAUUAAUUUAAAUAGAAAUUGUAUAUUUAUUAUGUCUACAUAUUAAUUAAUUAUACACAAUCAAAUAUUCAAAAUACAAAUAAUCUUAAUCAUCUAGCAUUUAUAUUUAGCAACAUCUUAAUCAUUUAGAUGUGCAUUCAGAUUCAGACAUCUUUGAACAUGUUUGACUAAGCUUAUUUUUUUCCUAAAUUACUUUUUUCUAGAAGUGUUCAAACUUUUGAGAGAAAUAAGUGCUUUUAGGGAUAAACAAAAGCUAUUUGCAGAAACUGAUAAAGUAGUUUCUUUCUAAAAGCAUUUAUUUGAAAAACACUUUUAAGAAAGAUACACUUAAAAGCACUUUCAUAAAGUCUGGUCAAACAUCAAUUAUUACUUUUGAAAAUAAAUUAUUGGCGAAACACAAACUAUUUCUCUCUAAAAAGCACUUUUAGAAUAAACACACUUUUAAAAAAUAAAAAAGACUCAAAUAUGCCAUCAAAUUAUUAGAAAUGACUCAUCUAUGCUAUUCAUUAGACGUUUGCCUUAUUGUCAAGAUCCAAUUUUUCAAGUCAUGAUGGCACCUUAUAAUGCCCAAAAUACCCCUCCUUAGAAGGAUAAGGUGAUUGAUGUCAAAAUAUAGUAGCCCAACUAGGUUGGGGUUGAUCCCACAGGGAAUACGUCAAAAAUUCUUUUCGAACUUGUUGAAAUCACCAGGCAGUGUUGAAAAGUAAAAGAGGGGAUUUGUUGAAAUAGUAAAAAGGACAAGAAUUGGUUAUUUUUGGUUGUAAACAAUCUAAGACGAACACUAGGCUUGUGUUCCCUUGGCUUCUCAAUUUCAUAUAUUUAUCAUACAUUGUCAAACUAUUUUGAUACCUUACAUGCAGAAUCUGAUAAGUUAUGUACCAUCAACUAUCUUGUCGACUUAUUGACAAAUUUCACCUUUUAUCUUUUGAGUCUCAGGGUGUCGCCUUAAUAACCCUUAUCUUGGAUCACAGUUUAACUAUUACCUUUUUGGUCUCAAGUUAUUAGAUAAAAAUUAACCGUCUUUAGAAGAUAGUACAGGUAAGAUUAUUUUGGCAGUUAACCCCAAAUCACUGUUGUGGUCUUCUAUUCCUAGUCACUACUUCUCUUGUGGAGUAACUAAUGAUAUAAUAGGAGGAAUCCUAAUGUGUACACCCAUUAAGGAAUCAAUAAGAAUGAAGAAAACCCAAUACAUGCAAGAAUCUUUGUUUAGAACGACUUGGCACUUCCUCUACUUUGUUAAUUCGUCAGGGUUCCCACAACCCUAGCUAAGAAAAUUAGCCACUCAUAGUUAUGAGAUUAAUCAUGGAAUUCACAGAUAAAAUUACAAAAUCAAUCUCAAAAUAAGGAAAGAAGAAAUCCCAAAGUCUUAAAUUGAAUAACAAAACUAAUAACAAACUAAGAAUAAUAAGAUCCCAAGAUUACAAGUCAAUCUUGAAAUCAAAAGAUGUUUGUAACCUUAGCCCCAAAGGUCCUAUGCUAUAAAACCCUCUCAAUAUGAGAAUUAAUAAACUAAACAAAUCUUAAAAGGUAUUUAUAUAUUAUAAGAACCCCAAGAACUCAAAUCCUAGAUAAAAUAGGAAAACUUGAUUAACCGUACAUAAUAAGGACUAAAAAUAUCAUAGGAGUGUAUUUAGGUUACAUGGAAACCCUAGGAAUCAAAGCCCAAACGAAAAAAGGAAAAACAAGAUUGGUGUACACUUACUUAGGCCACAUAUGGACCGUAUGUACUACAUACGGUCCGCAUGUAGACCUAGGUAAGUGCCAGAAAUUUGUCUUCAGCUUCUGCACUUUUUAGAUCUUAGAUUCUGUCACAUGCCUUUGUAAUAUACAGACUGUAUAUGGACAUAGGUAAGUGUAAUUUCCCCUCCAUCAGAUAGAUAAUUGAAUUAACUUUCCAAUGAGACCAAUUUUGCCUUAAUCUGAUAUUAGGGUGAAAAGUGAUGGCCAAAUUACUGAAGCACUGUCAGAACUGCCAUUAACCACGACCCUUUCUUUUUUUCUGUUUUUAAGCCUCUGGACUUCAAGUUAUGGUAUAUACUUUGGUCACAUCCGCCUAGAAAGUGCCACAUAUGUGCAAAACCGCCCAAGUAAGUAUCCAAAAUCUUCAUCUUUCAUCUUUUUCUUGAGUUUAGCAUCCAAAACUUAAUUUCCUGCAAAUCAUACCCAAAACACAUCAUAUCUAACAAAACAACCUAAGAAACUUACAUAUCUUCAUAAUUUUAAGCGUCGAAAAUGCUUUAAAUUUAUAAAAUAUCAAUACCCUCAACUUAGAAUAUUUGCAUGUCCUCAGGCACCAAAACAAAACAUGACGCUUAUCUGCGAGAAUUUAAGGCAUCCAAGGCAGCCAAUCAACAUUUUAGAUUCAAAUUCAUUAUCCCCUCUUAUAUCACAGUUAAAACCAUGUGUAUACAUGAAGCACACUACUAUUACAUAAAGAAAUCAAGUUAUGGCAAUUACAUUAGCAACAAACAAUGAUGCAUAUAUACAAGUUACAUUUACCCAAACAAGUAUGUGAUUAGAAAUACACCCCAUAUGCCCUCACAUCAAAAAAGUCCCUCUCACUCAUAUAGGAAAUCGACCAUAUCAAUACAGGGACAGUCAAGAGAGACUCACACUCACAAGAGAAAUUCAACUAAUGACAUCAAUUACCAUAGGCUUGCUCUUAUUUUCUUUACCUAAGUUUUCAGACAGUCAAAUUAAGAUCACUAUAGGACUUUAUUCGGCUUUUAAUGUAGGCUUAGCGGGCUGGUAUAGUAUAUAUGGAUAUAUCAAGUGACUAAGCCUCCUUGGAGCUACACUAACUUUGGGUCCACACUUUAACCAAUUUCCUUUUUAUUUCCACCCUUAUUUCUCCCUUUUUACUUUAAUGCACAUUCAGGUUAGUUGUGGUUUCUCUUAUUCAUUUUUUUUCUUUCUUCCAUACCCGCCCUACUUUCUUUUUCUUUUAUUUUUCUUUCUUCACACCCACUUUACAUUAUUCACCCCUAUGAUAGCCACCCUCAAUUUAGGCAAUUUACCUGAGUUGAGGUGCACAAUGUCCAAGGAUGACUAGGGCCAAAACGGGGUCAUUGUAAUACAAAUGGGAAGGUGAAAGGUCAAAACAAAUAAAUAGGCUAUAAGAAUCAAAACAUGGAUCAAGGGAUACAACUUCACACUAGAAAGGUCAUUUAGGCUACAAAUGGACUUAUAUCAGAAAUGGCAUACGAUCCUUUCGUAACCAUCCUAAAACCUAAGCAAGACUAAUCGGGCAAGUUUUAGAUUUAAAACACAAAGGAAACUAGGUAGCAUCUCACACACAUAUGGCACAAAGUCACAUCACAAGAUAAUACCUAUCCGAUUCAUGCACAAGUUAGUUAAGAUUAUCAUAUCCCUAAUCUAAUGCCAUAAAAAGAUUCACAAUAGUCAUGUAAUAUACAAUCACACAAUUCAAAAACAAGCAAUUAAAAGGGGUAUCAUUUUCUCAAGAAAUGAUCAAAAAAAAAAUAUGUCAACUACCCUAGAUACUCAUUUUUCUCCUACUUAAACACAAAAUAUCACAAAACAAAACACAAUAUGCCUAAACAUGCAGGCUUUACUAAGAACAGUACUGUGGGAAAAGAGGCACGGCAACAAAAACCAUAAGAGGACAUCAAGACCCACAAGCUGCCCUACCCUCAACUUAAAAUCAAGCAUUGUCCUUAAUGCAUUAUACUGCUAAAAAACAAGAGAGUUAGAAACAUACUUGUGGCACCAUAGGUGCAAAUAUCCGACAUCAAUCACAUCAAUGUGAAUACAACAACAAAAUAACUUAGGUUGUCUAUCAAGAAACACCUGAAUUUAUGUCACAGCAUGACGGGGUUUGGUUGGUACUCAGACUUCCCCAACAAGCCCAUGGGUACCUUGAUUACUCAGAAUUUGUCAAGGUAACCCAAGAGUUGGCCUCCAAUUUUCUCUUUCCACUUUGAACUCAUGAAUUUCACCCCUAAUUGUUUUACUGAUUUCCCAUUAUGCUCAAAGGGUGGUGGUAUACAAAUAAAGAAAACACGUAAUAGAUAAGGUAUGUUGUACUUCUUAACCCUUAUGAAAGGAAUGUAAUUCUUUGAUUCUAGCUCAGCAAAUUUAAGAAUGUAGACAUAUAUUUCCUCUUUCUUGCACCCUUCUUCAAGUUUAAAUGGCUUGAUCAAGAUUUGACUUUCCAGACACAAUAUGGAAAAACACUUCAAACGAGGUCCAAUAUGCCCUAACUCAAGAAUUGAAGUCUUAUUUACAUCCCAGAUAACUCUAGUAUGCUCUCUUUAAGAGUGGCAUUAUCCAUAAGAGUAUGAGUAAUUUUAGACUCCUCCAAUUUUAGCUUCUUAAGUUGGCUUUUCAGAAACUUUUUAGUCUUACACCACCCAUAACUAAGUUGUUGGGCAUUACACACAGUAGCUUUUGCUUUUAACUCUACUUGUAGGUGGUGAAUAUCUAACACAAACCUUUCAACCUUUUGAAUAAGCUCAUAAUUAUUGUGUACAAGGUGUCAGUGUUUCCAAUAGGCUAUCCCUGUGUUCACACACUAUAUUUACCACACUCCUACAAUAAUACACCAUAUCAAAAAGAAAAGGAUCAAUAAGUCUUCAUCAGUCAAAAAUUCCUCUAGCCAAGUUUUCAUCUCAAGAAGAGGUAUAGGAAAACAAACAAAACAAAAAUAUAAAAUCCGAUAACUCCAAUAACUUCAAUCAAGAACUCUGAAAUCGUAUUCCCUGGCAAUAGCGCCAGAAUUUCAUAAUGGACAAACUACCCCUCCUUAGAAGGAUAAAGUGGUCACUGUCAAAAUAUAGUAACCCAACUAAGUUGUGGUCAAUCCUACAGGGAAUACGUCAAAAAUCCUUUUCAAACUUGUUGAAAUCACUAGCAAAUACAGAAAAGUAAAUAGGGGGACUUACAAAAAUAGUAAAAGGGAUGAGAAUUGGUUGCAUUUGGUUAUAAAUAAUCAAAGACAAACACUAGGAAUGUGUUACCCAAUGCUUCUCAAUUCCGCAAUUUAUCAUACAUUGUCAAACUAUUUUGAUAUUUUGUAGACUCAUCGAUGAAUUUUACUUUUUACCUUUUGAGUCUCGGGUGAGCCUUACUAACACUUAUCCUAGAUUCCAAUUUAACUAUUAGCUUUUGGUUCUUAAGUUAUUAGAUGAAAAUAAAUUGUAUUAAGAAAAUAAUACAAGUAAGCUUAUUUUGGCAGUUAACCCCAAAUCACUGUUGUCGUCUUCUUUUCCUAGUCACUACUCCUUUUGUGAAGUAAGUAGUGAUAUCCUAGGUGGGGUAUUAAUGUGUGCGUCCACUAAGACAUCAAUAAGAACGAAGAAAACUCAAUACAUGCAAGAAUCUUUAUCUAUAAAAACAUAGCACUUCAUUAAUCCACUAGGUUCCUACAACCCUAGCUAAAGGAAUCUGCUGCACAUAGUUAUGAGAUCAAUCAUGGAAUCCACAGACAAAAUUACAAAAUCAGUCUUACAAUAAAGAAAAAAGAAAUCCUAAAGUCUUAAAUUUAAUAAUAAAACCAAGAACAAACUAAGAACAAUAAGAUCCUAAGACCACAAGUCAAUCUUGGAAUCAAAAGAUGUUUGUAACCUUAGCCCUAGGGCCUAUGAUAGAACACCCUCCCAAUAUGUGAAUAAAUAUACUAACAAAUACUAAAGGGUAUUUAUAGAUUAUAAAAAAUCCUAGAACUCAAAUCCUAAAUAAAAAUAGAAAAACAUAACUAACUGUACAUAAUAAGGACUAAAAACAUCAUAGGAGUGUAUUUAGGUUUCAUGGAAACCCUAGGAGUCAAAGCCUGAACAAAAAAAGGAAAAACGAGGUCGGUGGCCACAUACGGCCUAUAUGUACUACAUACGGUCCGUAUGUGAACCUAGGUAAAUGCCAAAAAUUUUUCUUCAGUUUCUGCACUCUCUAGAUCUUAGAUUUUGGGACAUAGCUUGGUCACAUACCGUCCAUAUGUGGACAUAGGUAAGUGCAAAGUCCUCACCAACAUAUAGAUAAUUAAAUUAUCUUUCCAACGAUAUCAAUUUUCCCUUAAUCCGAAAUUGGGGUGAAAAGUUAUGGUCAAAUUACUGAAGCACUGUCAGAGUUGCCAUUGACCACGACCCUUUCUUUUUUUUUUUUGCUUUUGAACCUCUGGACCUCAAGUUCUGGUACAUACUUUGGUCACAUCCGCCCGGUAUGUUCCAUAUACACCCAAAAAUGCCCAAAUAAGUAUCCAAAAACUUCAUUUUUCAUCAUUUUCUUGAUUUUAGCAUCCGAAACAUAAUUUCCUGCAAAUCAUACCCAAAACAUAUCAUAUCUAACAAAACAACCUAAGAAACUUGCAUAUUUUCAUAGUUUAAGUGUCGAAAAUGCUAUAAAUUUAUAGAACAUCAGCGCCUAUUAUAACCCACCAGCAGACAAGCCAAACCCGUUAUCCGAAACAACUAGUAAUAAACAACUCAAAUAGAUGAAGGAAAGAAUGUGGAAUAUCUGAAAUACAAGAUCAAUUACACAAUAUAAUCCCAAGACCUGGUGGUAUUAGUACAAGAGCUUCUACUUAAUAAGAUUUCAAGUGAAAUACAAUUUAAUACACCGAUACAACUUAUCUCUGAGUAUAACAUAGAGACUAGUCUAGUAAAUAAGAGAGAGAUGAGUAAUACUCCGAACGUUAGGAGCUCACUCUAAGUCUCCGAACCAUGGCUGCUCUAAACGAUGCACACAUCAAUGGUGAUAACCCGUACUUAUGAUCUGAAGGCUGCAGAAUUAUAGUGUGAAUACCAAAUACGUGGUACUCAGUAGGCAACUGUCGACUGAGCUUCAAAGAUAAUGCAGAUAUAUGUAACAUAUAAACAGAAUGGAAAAAUACACCCAAAUGUAUAGGAACCAUAUAAAACAACCAAUGACAUAAUAAGGAUAAACUAUCAUAUUCAUGUCCAAGAGACUAACGUAUUAAAGCUAAGGAAGUAGUAAGAAUACACUAUCCUAUUCUAGCCAAACUUAGAAACAUCAAUACUGUACCAAAUAUCACUGGCCAAUAUGCAAGUAAGAGUGGAAAGAAGAUACAUAUAAGUAUACAAGGCUAAGGAAUGAGUAUAUGAUCAGAGUAAAUGAAGGAAAAGAGGUAUAUACGGUAAUACCAUAGCAAAAUAUAGCUAAGUAUGCACAUGCACUUAUAUAUAUAUAUACAUAUAUAUAUGUAUAUAUAUGUAUAUGUAUAUGUAAUGCCCAGGAAAUACACCCUAGACGUCACACGGUGCUCAAGACUACAAGUAGUCCCAAGUUAAUGCUUUAAGCCUUCUAACAACUUUGGAGCUUAUAAUAAAGAUAACUUGACAUAUGAAAUCUCGAAAUAACUAAAUUAAUGUCUUAACUCAAAAUCUUAAACUUAGAAAUCCUAAAAUCAGCACUUUGAAUCUAAAAUAAAAAAGUCAGACAAGCCUCUACCUCUAACUAGAGAGCCACUGGGAUAAGCCUCGGCUGACUCGAACUAACCAAAAACAAAAUGACUAAAAUACUUUAUCAAUAAUAAUGUCUGAUAAAAUGGAUCCUCAAACUAUGAGGACUCACCAAGCAUUGGGAUAUAGGUGGAGAUACCCGUAAUUAAUCACGCUGCUGGAACUGAGCACCAGAACCUACAUUAUGAAAUAAUGUAGCACAUAAACGUAUAUGUGGAUCAGUACUUCUAGAAUGUACUGAGCACGUGGGGGUGAAUGCAUAAGUAAAUCAAUAACUCAAUGUGCACUUAUAUUUUCAAAUAAUGCAUGUUAAGUGUAAAUGAAUCACCUUGGGCUUGAAUUAAGCAAAAGUUGUAAAAUUAUAAACAUGCGUAAUGAAGCAAAAUGAUAAACUUUGUGAGCCAUAACACUUGGUUCUAAAAGUUUUACUCUUAUUCUUUCUUAGGGAAGUUCUUCUAACUGACAUAAACUAUGUGAGAUAUCAUAGAGUCCAACGACUUGCCCACGUUAGGGAGAGUUGUCCUACCCUUGCCAUCGGAAUAGGACUUUAACUUAAGUGAUCACUAUCUGUAACUUAAUCCAUAUUGUGAAUAAGCUUAACCUACGUUGGCUCUCCGUUAUGGGUCAUGUGACCUUGGAUGCAUACCCAACUCGGUGCUAAAUACUACUCUCGUAUUACUAAAUGCUCAUACUUUAGGAAAUCCACCUUAAAAUAGCAUAAGGGUUUAUAAUGAUGACGUAGCCCGAACUGGGGCAUUGUCGUAAUGGGAAUCCCAAGUCCAACUAGGACCAGGGACCGCCCCCUUAACCCAACCCAACCACUGUAUACCACCUUGGAUGAGCUAAAUUUUGAACAUAUAACAAGAUUCCGUAAUGCUCUCAUGAAGACUCUGGGAUAGGGUCACAAUCAUAACCGACCCAAUCGAUUCUAACCAUACCAGCCAACCAUCCAUUCUAUACCAAACUAUUUAGAAAGUAUCAAACAUAAUAUGAUAAUCAAACCCAAAAUGUAAUAUAAUAGAACAACCAACUACAUUGUCCAAUGAUGUCAUCCCCAACACCAAUGUCAAUGCUAAGGAUGACUCCAAUAUCGAUCCUACCCAUACCAACCCCAGAAAUACCACAAGACCUUUAUCCAAAAGAACACAAAUAUUCUGUAGGGAUAUGCCCCCAACCAUGGCCAAAACCAAUAUCUGGAAAGAAAGUAAAAUAUCUAAGAAUGUCCAACAUGAACUGAUGCCUUCCAAAAGGAUGGAAGCUCACUAUUUCAGUCCAAUAAGUUAUCCCAAAAUCAAGUACUAUGAAGAAAGAGUUGAAUAAUCGUUUCCUACAUAGCGUGAGUAUAUAGCCGCUAGUAGACGGGUUAGUGGGUGAACACUAGCAUGAAACUCGGGAUAAGGAUAAAGUAAUGCCACUUAUCAAAACUAAGUGAAAAUCAUCCAAUGCAAAAAAGGGUCGGGUUUAAUAUGACAUUUAAAACCUUUACCUAGGUUGUGCAUCUUAGCCGUCCUACCACCCACAGGCCAUAUGGGUUCAGCUCCCCCUGCUGAAACGGUCCCAGUAGGUAUAGAUGCACGACCAGGAAAUAUCCCUAGGAUAACAAGAAUAUCCCUCAAAUAUAAAUGUGACACUCAUAUGUGGACAUCGAAGACCCCUCAUAUUAGCAAAUAUAAUUUUUUGAUUUUGAUCCCCCCGGGAUCACCACAUUCUGUGGCUUAGCUUACACUCUUCGCUAUUAAUGCCUAAUUAAAACCGUUAACAAAUAAUCCAAUUAUCCAUUUAUUAACCAAGGCUAUUCAAUAAACCAGUGGUAUCGUCAUGCCACCAUACUUGCAAGCAUUAUCCAUAGCCAAACUAUUUAGAUUAAGAGGAUAUUUAAGUGCCCUAUCGAACCUCUUGAGAGACUACCAUGUUCUCCACAAGCAUAACCAAUUAGCCUUAAGCCUUUGUAAACCACUUGAAAACAUUUAAGGUUUCAUGCAUAAGCCGAAAAUAAGCAAGAGUUCCAUUAAAUAAGCCAAUGCAAUGAACAUAUCUUUAUAAGCAUUUUAUCAAACACCUUGGGGGAUAAUAUAACCAAAAUUAAAUUCCAUUACCAUUAAACCAUUACUAUGUAAUUCAAAUUGUCCAAAACCACCGUUAAUGCAUAGAAAACAUAAUUAAAACCAUACGAAAUCAUAACUAAGCAUUUAAUAUCAAAACCCCCAAAUCAAUAGUUGAAAGUCAUAAUCAUGCAAGAGAAAAACCAUGAAAUCAACCAUGUAACCAUGACUUUAAUAUAAAUUACAAUUAGGGAAGAGAAUCAUACCUUAUGCCAAGAAUAUUGAUGGAAAGAAUUAACCAAGACAAGCCCCAAAGUAAUCGCUUAGUUGAAACCCUAGCUCUUUGUCCUAAAAGCUCUUGAGAGAAUUAUGAUAUGUUUAGGAAGAGUUUCCAAGUGUUUAAAAAUAAAAUAAUAGGGAAAAUAACCUCCUAACUGUAUUAGAAGUCGUGGGUAUAUAUUAGGGUAAGUAGGAAAAUGUCCAAAAUACCCCCACUUAAAUCUCAUAAAAAAACAAACACAAGGUCACAACUGACCCCCUUACGAGUCGUAACAUCCCUUACGGUUGAUACCCACCCGAUCAUGACCAGACCUCAACUAUGGAUCAAACACUAUCCAGUAUAUGACUCAUCCACCCAAGUCGUAACCUCAGCAUAUAAUCAUACCCAUAAUCCUUAUCCCUAGCAGAAUGCAACACCAGGAGAAUCAAACAUUGUCUACCUUAUAAGUUACCUGUACAACUCGUACCAAACCAUAUGACACUCACCCCUAAGUCGUAUCCAUUGCAAUAAUCAAAACCAUCCCUCUAAUUAACAUUGAUCAGCUUACGAUGGGAAUUCGCCAGUCAUACCCCAGCAUACGGCUCGUACCAUGAGUCGUAUUAGGUUCGAAGAACGGGAUUAUAGAAAAUUUUCUAAGGGUCCAAACUCGUGAUGCUUCAGUCUCCCCAAGUAGGAACAUUUGUCCCCGAAUGACGAAUAAAGUAGUGGUAACCACACACAGGGUCAUUUGCAUUAUCAAACAUCAAUCCCACCUCUUGAUGUCUCUACUCUUACCUUUACAAAACGAAAAACAAAGAUGCAAGAGAUGCAACUCUUCUUUUAACAUACUCAGAAAAUAAAGAUGUGUUCAAGAACACAUAUCUUUCGCAUGAAUAUCAAGAGCAGAAAACAAAAGUAGAUACUCGAACUUUACAUCCUCCCCCACUUCCUACAUGGACUUUUCCACCUUGUAGUUCUGCUAUAGAACCUUGACUAAAGCCAUAUCCAUGGUCCGUGACAGACGAACCUGCCUAUCCAAUAUCUCAAUCGGGACCUCUUAAUAAGACAAAGAAUCUGAGAUAUCCAACACCUUCAAAGGAACAAUUGAAGACGGAUCACGAACACCCUUCCUCAACAUAGAAACAUGGAAUACUAAUGAAUCAAACUCAAGCUAGAUGGCAACUCCAACUUAUAUGAAACAUUGCCCACUCUCCGCAAAAUCUCAUAAGGUCCAACGUAUCGAGGACUAAACUUUCCCUUUUUACCAAACCGCACUACUCCCUUCAUAGGAGACACAUUAAGAAAAACUUUAUCCCCAACUGCAAACUCCAAUUCUCCACGCUUAGCAUCCGCGUAGGACUUUUGACAACUCUGGAAGCCUUGAGACUAUCCCAAAUUACCUUUAGCAUUUCCAAAGCUUGACAAACCAAAUCCAAACCAAAUAAAUCAACCUCGUCGAGCUCAAACCAACCAAUAGAAGAUCUAUACCUUCUACCAUACAAUGCCUCAAAAAUAGCCAUACCAAUACUUUUAUGAUAGCUAUUGUUGUAAGAAAACUCUACCAAAGGUAGAUGCUCCACCCAACUGCCACCAUAAUCAAUCACAUAGUCUCGAAGCAUAUUUUCCAAUGUCUGAAUAGUUCUUUCUACCUGCCCAUCCGACUGUGGAUGGAAACUAGUAUGCAGACUCACCUUAGUCCCUAACCCUUUUUGGAAAGACUGCCAGAAGUAGGACGUAAACUGCAUACCGUGAUUAGAAAUAAUUAAAAUAGGCACCCCAUCCAGUUUCACAAUCUCUUAAAGUUAAAGCUUUGCAUAAUCCUCCCCCAAAAAUUUAGUCCGCACAGGCAAGAAUUGUUCAGACUUUGUCAUCCUAUCCACGAUGACCCAAAUUGAAUCAAAUUGGUUUUGAAACCAAGAAAGACUGGUAAUGAAAUCCAUAUUGAUCUUACCCCACUUCCAUUCAAGCAACUCAAUUUCCUGAUACAAAAAACCAGGCUUCAUAUGCUCAACCUUAACUUAUUGAUACACUAUGCAUUUGGACACAAAAUCAACCAUGUCCUGCUUUAUUCUACUCCACCAAUAGAUCUCCUUAAGAUCAUGGUACAUCUUAUUAGAACCAGGAUGGACAAUAUAGCGCGAAUUAUACGCCUCAUCCAAGAUCCUUUACCACAAACUGUUUACAUCAGGAACACACAACCUCUUUUGGUACCACAAAGUACCAUCGCUGGUAAUCUCAAAAUCUGUCACCUUUCUCCCACCAAUACUACCUUUGAUUUUCAUCAAGGUAGGAUCAAACACUUAUUUCUCUUUAAUCUUUGCACCAAGAGAUGAUCUAACCACUUCUUGAACCAUCACACUACCAUCCUUGGAAUCCAUGAGAUGAACCCUAAAAUUUGCCAAACGGUGAAUAUCCUUCUCCAAUUCUCACUUUCCUUCCUCUAUAUGAGCCAAACUACCCAUGGACAACCUACUAAGAGCAUCAGCAACCACGUUAGCAUUACCUGAGUGGUAGUAAAGACUCAUAUUAUAGUCCUUGAGAAACUCAAGCCAUCUCCUCUGCCUGAGAUUAAGCUCUUUCCAUAAGAACACAUACUGUAAACUCUUGUGAUCAGAAAAGAUAUCUAUGUGAAGACUAUACAAAUAAUGCCACCAUAUAUUCAAAGUAAACACAACGUCCAGUAGCUCCAAAUCAUAAGUAGGAUAGUUCCUCUCAUACACCUUUAACUGCCUGGAAGCAUAGUCUAUCACCUUCUCAUGUUGCAUCAACUCACAACCAAGACCAACCCGAGAUGCAUCACAAUAAACCACAAACCCAUCAUUGCCUUUUGAUAAGGUCAGAACUGGAGCCAAAGUCAACUUAUCCUUUAACUUCUCAAAACUCCCCUCACACGCAUCUGACCAAGAAACUUAACCUUCUUCUGAGUUAACUUAGUCAAAGGAGUAGCUAUCAAUAAAAAACUCUCCAAAAAUUGCCUAUAGUACUCUACUUAACCUAAGAAGCUCUGAAUAUCAGAUGGAGUUGUAGGUCUAGGCAACUUCUUCACCACAGCCACCUUCUGUGGAUCCACCAUGAUCCCUUCACUAAAAAUGACAUGACCCAAGAAAGACACUACAUUCAACCAAAACUUGCACUUAGAGAACUUAGUAAACAACUAUUAUUCCUUUAAGGUUUGCAACACCACACGAAGGUGAUUAGCAUAACCCACCUUACUCUCUGAAUAUACCAAAAUAUCAUCAAUAAACACAAGGACUAAGAGGUAUGAAUACUAUUGAAAUACCCUAUUCAUCAAAUCCAUAAAGGCUACCGAGGCAUUUGUCAAUCCAAAUGACAUCACCAAAAACUCAUAAUGCCCAUACUGAGUGUGAAAAGUUAUCUUAAGGAUAUCCACCUCCUUAAUCUUUAACGGAUGGUACCCAAACCAAAGAUCUGUCUUAGAAAAGAACCUGGCACUUUGGAACUGGUAAAACAGAUCAUCUAUCCAGGGAAGAGGAUAUUUGUUCUUGACUGUUACCUUAUUCAACUGCCUGUAGUCGAUGCACAUAUGAAGAGAACUAUUUACCUUAUUCAACUGCCUGUAGUCGAUGCACAUAUGAAGAGAACCAUCCUUUUUGUGCACGAACAACUCUGGUGCACCCCAUAGAAAAAUGCUAGGACGAAUAAACCCUUUGUCUAAAAGAUCCUUAAUUUGCUCCUUGAGUUCCCUUAACUCAGUCGGGCUAUUAUAUACGGAGGAAUAGAAACUGAAAGAGUGUCCAGAAGCAAAUUUACCAAACUCUAUUUCCCUAUCCAGAGGAACACCUGGAAGAUCAUCCAGAAAGACCUCUGUAACUCCUUAACUAUCAAAACUGACUGCAACGAAGGACCUUCCGAGUUAGAAUCUUAACCCAGACCAAGUGAUAAAGACAACCCUUAGAGAUUAACCUCUGAGCUUUAAGAUUAGAAAUAAAAUUCCUUUUUGGUGCUAAGGAACAACCUUCCAAAUCUAUUUUUGGCUCAUCAGAGAACCUAAAAAUGACCCUACGGGUUCGACAAUCCAAAUUUGCAUAAAAAGAAUGCAACCAAUCUAUGCCUAAGAUUACAUCAAAAUCUACCAUACCCAACUCAAAUAAAUCUGCUGAAGUCUAUCUACCACUCACAGAUACCACACAUCCCCGAUAGACUCACUCGACAAUGAUCGGAUCUCCUAUUGGGAUAGAAACAAAAAAUGGAUCCAACAUAAUCUCCGGAUCAAAACCAAAAAACAUAGCUAUAUAAGGAGUCACAUAAGAAAGGGUAGAACCCGGAUCAAGCAAACAAUAUACGUCAUAAGAUAAAAGUUAUAACGUACCAUUAAUGACAUCAGGCGAUGCCUCAGAUUUUUGAUCAAACGCCAAAGUAUACAACCUAUUCCGACCAUCAUUAAAACCAGGAUCAGUAAUAGAAGCAGAUGCCACACCACCGAGAGUAAGAACAAAAGAUGAAGCCAUCAGAAUCUUAUUCACCCCCAUAGCAACUUUGUUAGAUAAAUAAUCCCUGAGAUGAUGGCUUACAUGGCCACACUUGAGGCAUUUAUCCCUUCCCUCCUCAUAGAAUUAUCGAUGAGGACGGUCACAAAACCGAUAAGGAGGACAUAAAAAAAUAAACUAACCUCUAUUUUUCUGAGACUGGGCUCCUUGUGCUCGAGACUUGUCGCCACCAUAAUAAAUCAUCUCGCUCGACUGUUGGGGGUAAAGAGCACUGGCAAUAGAGAAGGAACCAGACAUAGUACGUCUUUAAGAUAAUCAGACCAAUAUACGACUUAGGUACCUAGACCAAUCACCACAUCAUACGACUUAUGGCAUGAGUUGUAAGAUGAUCAGAGAGUUUAAAAUUGAGGAAAUUUACAAAGGUAAAGGUUCGGAGCAUUUCAAUCUAUGCCACUAGGAUCAUUUAUCCUCAAAGGAGGGGUUUAAGGCAACACAAGAAUGAAUUAACAAAUUACUACCCCUCAAACUUCCCUUUAAUAAUCUCAGAAAACAAAGAUGUUAAGAACAGCACAUACCUUAAGCACGAAUAUCAAGAACAGGGAACAAAUGCGGAUCCUUGGACUUCAUGUCCUCUACCACUUCCCAAGAAGCUUUCUCAACCUUAUGGUUCCUCCAAAGACCUUUAUCGAAGCAACAUCCUUCAUCCACAAACGACGAACUUGUCAAUUCAUGAUCUUAACUGGGACUACCCCAUAAGACAUGGAGUUUGAAAUACCUAACCCAUCCAAAGGAAUAAUCGAUAAAGGAUCACCCACACAUUUCCUCAACAUGGAAACAUAAAACACCGGAUGAAUGGAGCUCAAGCUAGAAGGCAACUCCAACUCAUAGGAAAUAUUACCAACCCUCUUCAAAACCAAGUAUGGACCGACAUAGGGCAUACUAAUAUUUACCUCCUUAACAAACCGCAUCACUCCCUUCUAUGUUAAGGCCUAACUCAGAGUUAAAAGUGUUAGUGAAUGUCAUGGGACCCAAUACUUUACACCACUCAGAUAAUACUGCCCCGCCUAUUACUAUAAUCAUGAAACCUCAGGUCUUAAUUAAGGAGUUAUAGCCGCAUAAUACAAUGGUUGGGUAUUUAUCAACCCUAUCAUUCAAGCCUGCCUUUCUACCCCCGCUUUACAAAUCUUUUACCUAAGAGCUAGAAACUUCAAUCACUAUCAUAAAGGUUUUCACUGCACCUCCCCCUCCUUAGCUAUCUCAUAGAACAAAUUUUAUCUUAUUCUUUCAUUUACUCUUAUAACCUUACCUCUAGUAGUCACCCCUAAGUUUCACAACCAAGGAGAUUUACUCCCUCGUCCAAAACACUACUACACUUCCACAACCACUAUCACCCUAACAUAAGAAGGGUCAUUGAGGAACUUAAGUACUAGCAUCAAAGAUAGGGGGUUUACUUCUUAACUAUUCGUGCUACUCAAGGCGAGACCCACAAAAUGAGACGCAGUACAAUAGGCAUGAGGUACUCUAUAGCAACUACCUGUGAUAUAAAUGGAGGAUCGUUCCAACAUAGACAUAUAAUAGCACAAGUCUUUAGAACUAGGCACCAAGAAAAACAUGACCGUAUAUCUCAUGGAUAAUAUAACGUAAAGACGAGAUUCAUAUUCAGGAGACAAGUUAAAGAUUUCCACUUGAAACUACUAUUUCUUGGAACUAGGCAUAACGUAAUGACAUAGAGCUUGAAUACUUCGAAGCUUGAGUUUCUGAGAACCAUUAUUUCCAUUGGUUCAGGAGAUGAAGUAUGGACAUACAUGGCAUGUAAAAUGUGAACCUUAGGCAUAAGCACUAUUAGAAUACGUGCAACACUAGUAGAGUUCCCUCUUAACCAAAAUAGGAGAGAAUCACUAGAAUAAGAGUAAGUUUAUUCGGACUUUCCCCUGAAGUCCAUCGCUAGGAGAAAAUUUAAGAUUAUCCCUCAAUCUCCAUCUUACUACAUCCAUAAGCAUAAUACUACACUAUAAGAGGUAUCACCAUGGACACGUACUAGGGACCCAUAGAUCUCAUAUACUUAAAAUCUCAUCUAUCUAGAUGCUAUGUGGGGUUAUCAUAGUCUUAAAAAAUCCAUGCCCUAACCAUUCUUUGACUUAGUCCUCAAUCCAUCAGUUAAACCUAGACCUCCAGCCUAUAUAUUAUAAGUUAUCGACUCCUAUAUCCCCUAGGUCAUUAACCUCACCUCUUUCGCACACCUAUCAAGCCUACUAAUCUACCCUCACAAAUCUCGCUUUGCUAUCCUCGAGCUAAUAUACUCCAAUCACCAAAAUUAACAUCUAAGGUUCAAACUUAGUGUCUAUCAACCAUCAUGCACUGCUAGCAGAGUACCCCAUAGGGCGUACAAACCCUUAUCAAAACGAUACUUUGACUAUUCUUUAUACUCCUUUAACUCAACUGAAAUUAGUCUAUAAAGAGGGAAUAAAAAUAGGAUGAGUGUUCAGAAUAAGAUAAAUCCUAAACUCAAUCUCCCUAUCAGGACACCAGGAAGGUCAUCAAGGAAGACCUCCCUAAAUUUAUUCACCACUAGGAUGGAAUGCAAAAAAGGACCCUCCAAGUUAGAAUUUUUAACCCGAACUAGGUGGUAGAGACUCCUUUUGGAGAUUAAUCUCUGGGAUCUAAAAUAUAAUAUAAACCUUUCCUUAGGAGCUAGGGAACCACCCUCUCACUCAAUAAACUGGCUCGUUAGGGAAUUUAAAGAUAACCUUACGGCUCCAACAAUCUAGAGAUGCAUAGCAUGAGUACGACCAAUUCACCCCCAAUAUAACAUCUAAAUCAACUAUGUAUAAUUUAAACAGAUCCACUAAGGUCUACCGACCACCCACAAAUACCACACAACCCCUAUAAACUCUUUUAACCACCACAGAGUCACCCAUGGGGGUUAAAAUAGAAAAAGGCUCUGAAAUGCACUCAAGACCAAAACCAAAAUAUAUAGCCACAAAUAGGGUCACAUAAGAGAGAGUGGAUCCCAGAUUAAGUAAAUAGUGCACAUCACUAGAAAAGAGUUUAAAUAUAACAGUCAUGAUAUCCGAUGAUGCCUUAGAGUCCUGGCGAGAAAUAAGAGCAUAAUUUUGGCCAUGGCCAGUGCCAGUACCAUGAGCAGAAGCAGUACCUUUUGGUAUAGGAAAUAAGAAAGAGGCAACGGGAACCUUGUUAGCCCUAAAUGCAACUCUAGAAGGAUAUCACGUUGUAUAUGACCAAUCUGACCAUAAAUAAAUCAUCAGUGUCUCUUUUUCUCAGACUAGCCAAAGUACAGCCGACCACAAAAUCUAUAAAGGAGGUAGAACGGAGUCGACUAAGCCUCACCAAUUUGUAAUUAGGUACCCCAUGCCCUACAUCCCCUAUUGUGUUAAAAGCGAUGAUCACCUAACCACUUUGGGUAAGGAGCACUAGUCGAACAAGAACCAGAACUUCCCCACUUCUCCUUAGGCUACUUCCCCCCUUUCUACUACUAAAACCUUAAGAAUUAACUUAAUACCAGUAAAAGUUGGAGUACCCAACUCUAUGGACUGGUCAAACCUUGUGGCCUCAGAAAAUUGAGCACUACACUCAGACUGAGAAGCUACCUAAUGAGCCAACAUAUGACUAGAUUAGGGGUGUUAAAUAGGUGGGUUUGGUUGAUAUUGAAGAUAUUAAAUGGUUUGAAUUAAAUAUCGGGUUGGGUCAUAACCCGCCCAAAUUCACUUUGGGUUAAAAUGGGUAAAAAUCAGGUUAGCUCUUGACCUGCCCAAUUUAACCCACUUAAUCUAAAAAGUAUUAACAUAUUAAUAUGUACCUCUUGUAACAAAAAAAUUUGAAUGAGUUUGAAAAGUUGGGUGAGUGGGUAGGGAGUGAGGAUAGGGUAAGAAUAUUUUUUAAAGUUUAAUUUUUUAAAAAAUAAAAAUUCAUUUUUAUGGAGGGCUUGUAGGGUAAGCGGUUGGGUUAGGAGGGGUAGGUUUUAGGAUGGGGUUGAGGCAAAAAAAAUUAAAAAUUAUUUUUAAAAAAAGAAGAAUAUUUUUUUCUUGAAUGAAAAAAAUUUGGAAGCGAACGAGGUGUAGGGGUAAAAAAAUAUACAUUUUGGGGUCGGAGGGGAGAUAUGUCGUAUAGGGGAGGAGGGUGUGGGGAUGUAGGGAGUAGGGAGAGAUGGGGGUUGGGUAGAUUAAUUUUUUUGUUCAAAAAAAUUAUUUAUUUACUUUUGAAAAUUAAAAGAUUUUUAAUUUUUUAGGUUGGGGGUUUGGGGUAGGAAAGGGGGAUGGGGGUGAGGUGGGCUGCGGGGUGAGAUGAGGUGGGGUAAUUUAAAGAGUGGGGCGACACAUUGUCAUUUUUUUUAUCUACUUUCAUUAAGAAAAUAAUUUUUCUAUUAAACGGGUGAAGUAGAGAUUGAUUGGGUUCAUUUGAACCAACUUUGAAAAUGGGUUGUGACUUAAUGGGUUGAAAUUUACCCAAUAGCAAAUUAUCUUGAACCCAACCCAUUAAGUUUUGGGCGGGUAGGGCGGGUCAACUCAAUUUGGGUUCAUUUUGACACCCAUAGAAUAGGCUGAUGAAGCUUAGUAUUUAUAACAUCAGUUUGAGGAGCUCAUAGAGGACUAGAAGGAAUAGGGGAACUUCAGAAGAGUAAUCAUAAAGCGGACCCCUAGACCAGGUUUGGACCCCAUAAGUAGGAUGUGUCUCAUCAAUAGUGUCCCCAAGUGGAAUAGAGAAGUUUCCAUAAGGUUCAGAUUGUUUGGGAGGCAUGAUCUGAAAGGCGAACAGACAGGAAUUAAAGAAAUCCAAGACCUUAGACUCCAUAUCUUGAAGUAAGUCAACAAGUAAGAGAAAUAUUUCUAAAUGCCUCGUAGCCUCUCCCUUAUAAGUAUUGCAUGCUACAAACCCAUAAAAAGACUCUACUUGACAUGGCUUGGUGGACACCUCAUGACACCAAAACCUAGGCUCCGAUACUAAUCUGACAUGACCUAAACCAGGGCCUAGACGUGUCGGGCAUAUCACUUACAACAAGGACCAGAGACCAUCCCCUAUACCUAAUCCAACCAACUAAUAUACUACUCGUGUCGAAUAAAUUUCGAAUAUAUAAACAAGAUAGAGUAUUUAGAAUUCAAUGACUUUAGGAUAUGCCUAAAAUAGAUACCAACCCAACCAAGUCAUAUUGUCUAAACCAAACCAAAAAAAACAUAAUAUACCCAAGUCCACAGUUGUCCAUACAAAGCCUCUAAAUAAUUUCAAAGAAUAUUUACUCGGGAUAUGCCCCCGACCAUAGCCAAAAACCAAUGUCAAGGGAAUAGUAAAGACAUAAGAUAAACCAUAACAUGAAAUUGUCAUUUCGAAGAAUGAAAGCUCACUACUUUAGUCUGUCUCGAGUUGUUCCCGAAUUACCAAGUCACUAAACAGGAGGUGUAAAUGUAUGAUCGGUUCCUGCAUCGCGUGAGGAUACAUCACCCAAAGAUGGUUAGCAUAGUGAAUGCUACCAUGUACUUAGGGAUAAUGAUAAAAUAAUGACAUUAUUCAAAACCAAGUCAAAUAACCAUAGAAAUCACAUAUAUACAUAUAUAUCAUGACGGGAAAGAAAACCGGGUUUAGCAUGCAUUUAAAACCUUAACCUGGGUUAUGUAGCUUUGCCGUCCUAAAACCAUCCACGAGCUACAUGGGUUCAGUUGCUCCAGUUGAAAGGGCCCCAGUGCAUGUUACCCAUAUAACCAGAGAAAAUAAUCUGAGAUAACUAUUACAUCUCCCAAAAUAUAAAGUCUGACAUCAUGCACACAGUCACCAUAAUAAAAUCUCACAUCGGCAAACAUGAGAUCCCAGUAUUGGUCCCACUGGGACCUCCACCUUCUAUGAAUUUGCUACGCACACCCCUUUAAGACCAUAUUAAAAUAAUUUACACAUUCCAAUCAUUUACCAAGGAGUCUUUUAUCAGGCAUUAAUCAUUGGUAUCCUUAUACAAAAAAUUAGAGCAAGCAAGGCUAUGCUUUUAUGCCAUACCAAAGCAAUUAAACCAAUUUGACUCCAAAGUUACCAAUUAAACUAAUACCAUUACCACCAACGACUUUCCAAACCAUUUAAAACCAACUAAACCAAUUUAAGUUCCAUUACCUUUUAUGCAAUGCAAAGAUUUUAAGAAUAGUCGAACUAUGUGCAAAAUUAUUCGCAUUGGCAUAUUAACAAAUAGGUUGAGGGCACAUAUAUUUCAAAACCAUAACCUAGUAAUUUGGGGGAAUCCAAAGUACCUCCAAAUCCAUUUACCAUUACCAUGCAUUCCACAAUGUCAAAAUGAUAUUAAAAACAUGAAAGAAACAUCAUUAAACCAUUAGAAAUAUUAUUCAACCAUGAACAUCCAAAAACCCCAACCAUUAUUUCAAACCAUAACAAUAUCAUGAAAAUCAUACAUCAAACACAUGGUCUUUGUAAAAUAACAAUGAAGGAGGAGUCACAUACCUGAGUUACGAAAAUUUAUGGAAAGAUUUUAAUCUGUACGCCUCUAAAUGACCACCUUGAAAAAACCCUAGCCUAAUCUUAUUGAGAGGUUUUUAGAGAGAGAUUAAAGAGUGUUAUAAGACGUAAGGUCUUAAGGGCUUGGGGUGGAAAAUGUCCAAAGUACCCCCAGCUUAAAGUGCAGCAAACUCAUAUAAGGUUAUGAGUUGCCCCCCACCUUGUCACCAUAACCUACGACUAUUACCAUCAAGUCAUCACCAAGACAGAAGGUUGGGCACCACACUAUCUCCAACUGAUGACUCUCUUGCUCCACUCCUUACUAGACCAUAUAACUAGUAAAGUCUAGUCAUAUCCAUGAUAGAACACCAAGAGUUAGAUGUUGGACAAUAUACGAUUGGACUAAACUCUCUCGUCACAUCAUCAUAUAACUUAUAUGGAGUCUCUCGCAACCAGGUCAGAACUUGGCCAACAACACAUUAACCAAUGUACAACUUAGGUCCCUAGACCCGUUAUCACACCAUAUGACUCAUAGCGUGAGUCAUAAGAUGAUCAGAGAGUUCAAAACUGAGGAAAUUUACAAGGGUAAAGGUUAGGGGUGUUUCACCCAUACCUAUAAUUCCAUUUUUCAUAAAAUCUGCUCAAUAGUCAAAAUAAGUCUAGAUGCCUUAGAAUCUGAACCAAGGGUCCCCUACCCUAAAUCGAUGUUCCGAAUUCAACGGUAAAGUUAGAUUUUAAUCUAAUGCUGUUUUUUAAACACCCUUGGUUUUGACCUUUAGAAAUUUCUUGAGCUUUGAGCUUACUAUCUUGUUAACGACUUAAAUAUACGAGUCAUCUGGUGUGGGUAUGAGUCAAGUGACCCAAAUUAUAAGGUGUCCAGUGGAUGGUGGUUGGGGUUCUGUUAUGAUAACAACUUGGUAUUAUAAGUCAUUAGGGGUGGUACGAGUCGUUAGGAUGAUCCUUAAUCAAAUCAGUAACUUAGUGGCUUGACUUUAUUCUGGGUACAAUUGGCUCACUAGGAGCCAUGAGGAUAGAAUACGAGUUGUGAGGUAAAGUCAUAGGUUGUCCAAUGUCUAAUCCCUUUGGGUUCUAUCUAUGAUAUGACUAGACCAUACAAGUCAUAUGGCAUGGUAACGAGUGGGAUCAUGGGUUGAUGUGGUGGACAAUGUAUGGUUGUUAAACUUACUAUCUCGGUGAUGACUCAAGAGUAUAAGUUGUAUGUUGUGUUCACUAGUCAAGGGGUUGACUAGUAACCACCUGCGAAUUUUUUUACAUCUUUAAGUUGAGGCAUUCUCGAUAUUUCCCACUUUAACUCCCUUUGAUACCAUGACUUAAAUCAUCUUUUAGGACUUUAUUUAUACAUUAUUCCCAAUCACACACUCUUGAAACCUCUUUCAAACUCUUUUCUCAAGCAAAAACCUAGGGUUUCAUCAAGAUAAUCAAUUAAGGCUUUCAAGGGUGGUUUCUCUCAGUACUUCUUGGUGUCUAAGGCAUAUUACUCCUCCUUCAUUGUUAUUUUACUAAAAGCUCAAGUUUUAAUGUAUGAUUUUCAUGGUAUUGGUAUGAUUUUGAAAUAAAGGUUAGGGUUUUUUAUGUUAAUGGUUGAAUAAAGCUUCUUAUGGUUUAAAUAUGGUUUUUCCUUAUUUUAGCAUAACUUGAAUAUUAUGGGAUGCAUGUUAAUAGUAAAUGUAUUUUAGGGUACUAUAGAUUCCCUAAAUUACUUGGUCAUGGUCUUGAAACUUAUGUGCCCUUAACCUGUUGGUGAAACUGCAUAUGAAUAUGAUUUUGUCAUAUAGUUUGACCAUUCUUGGAAUCUUUACAAUGCAUAAAUGGUAAUGUAACUUGAAUUGGUUUGCUUUGAUUUUAAAUGGUUUUGAGAAGGCCUUAGUGGCUAUGGUCAUAGAUUAAUUGGAAACAGUAGAGUCUAAUUUUGGUUUAAUGGUUCUAUAUGGCAUAAGGGAAUAGACUUGCAAACUUUAAUUCUGGUGUGAUAAUACCAACGGUUAAUGACUAAUUAAAGGGCUCCAUGGAAAAUGGUUAGGAAUGUAUAAAUGGUUUUAAUAUAGGCUUAAAGGGGGUUGUGUGGCAAAGUCAUGGAAGGUGAAGUUCCCGGGGAGGACUAAUACUGGAAACUCAUGUUUGCUGAUUUGAGGUUUGGUCUUGAUGACCUAUGUACAUGGUUCAUACUAUUGAUAUAUAUUUGUAUCGUGGAUUAACGUGGGGUCAGGUCAUUCACAUGUCUUCCUUGAUACCUCUAGUUCAACCGAGGCAUUUCAGCAUGGGAGCUAAAUCUAUAUAGCUAUGUGUGGAGGUUCCUAAUGGCAAAGCUGCACAACAUAGGUUAAGGUUUUAAAUUGCAUGCUAAACCUUUUUCCUUAUCCCAGCAUGAUAUAUAUUUAUAUAUGUGACUAUAUAUGGUUAUUUGAUUUGGUUUUGAAUGAUGGCAUUAUUUUACCUUUAUCUUUGAGUUAUAUGCUAGUGUUCACUCUGCUAACCAUCUUCGGUGCUGUAUCACCACAUGAUGUCAGAAUCGGCCAUACUAUUAUCCUUCCUACUCAGUGACUUGGAUUUAGGGAUAACUUUGAGUCAGACUGAAGUGGUGAGCUUUCAUAUUUCAAAAGACUCCAUUUCAUGUUAUGGACUUCUUUUCAUUAUUGUUAUUUCUUUGGUUUUAGUUUUGACUAUGGUUGGGGCAAGUCUCGAUCGAUUAUUCUUUGAUUUUGGUUAGAGGCUUUGUCAGACUACCAUGGACAUGGGUGAUGUCGGUAUUAGUGUUAGCAUUGGUAUUGGUAUUGGCAUUGGGAUUAGUAUUGGUUGGACACUUGGUUUUGACUGUUUGGUUUUAGUUAUAGGCUUCAGCUAAUGUCUUUAAAUUAUUAUUAUUUUAUCUUAUUGUAUAUUCUGAAUUCAUUCAACAUAGGAUGUAGGGUGGUUAACAGUGGGGUAUUAGGGGUAGUCCAUAGUCCUGGUUGGACUUGAGAUACCCGACACUAUAGGCCCUGGUUCGGGUCAUGUUAGAUUAGUAUCAGAGCUCUAGGUUCAUGGUCAAUUAGGAGUCCAUAAAUCUAUAUCGAGUAGAGUCUCUUUUAAGGGCGUGUAGCGCGCCACACUCAUAAGGAAGAAAGUACAAGGCAUUUAGGAAUAUUUCUCUUUUUUGUGUUAUAUUUUCAGGCAGUAGAGCCUAAGGUCCUGAAAUCUUCACUAAUUCCCUUUUGUUUGUUUCUUAGAUUAUGCCUCCCAGAUGAUCUAAAGCUCAUAAAAACUCCUCUGUCCCACCCGAGGAUAAUAUUGAUGGGACAUAUUUUUUUUAUGAGGUCCAAACUCGGUCUAGGGGUCCAGUCUCUGAUUGCCCUCCUAGAGCUCCACUGGUUCUCUCCAGUCCUUCUCGAGCUUCUCAUGUUGAUGUGAUGAAUGUUGAGUUUUACCAGUCUAUUCAUGUGUUUACUCAGUUGAUAGCUACUCAUCUUGAGCGUGGUACUUCUGUUACUCCAUCUUCUGAGUUUAUAAGGGUUAGCCAAUUUAUGAGUUUAAAUCCUCCAGCCUUUGCUGGAGUUGAGGUCGAGAAGGAUCCUCAAAGUUUCUUUGAUGAGAUAGACAAGAUCUUUCAUGCGAUGCAUGCCACUAAUGUAGGGGGCAAGGAGUUCGCUGCAUACCAAUUGAAAGAUGUGGCUUAUUAGUGGAACGAAAAAUGGAACCAGCCAAGGAGUGACGAUGCCGAGUUAGCUCUAUGGGGUGAUUUUUCUAAUACUUUCCUAGAUUGCUUCUUUUCUUAAGAGAUGAAAGAAGUGAAGGUGGAAGAUUUUGUUAAUUUGAAGCAAGGCAAUAUGUCAGUCAAAUAGGAUGCCUUGAAGUUUCACCAGUUAUCUUAGUAUGCUCCGGAGAUGGUUUCUAACGUGAGGGCUAAAAAGAGAAAGUUUGCUUCCGAGUUAUCCUGAGACUUGAUUUUGGAAAGUUAGGCUUCCAUAUUGAACAAGGACAUGGAUAUUUCCAGUUUGGUUAUGUACAUACAGUAGGAUGGGGAAGAGAAAAAGAAGCAGGCAGAGAUAGGGAAAAGGCAGAGCAAGAAGUUUAGAUUUUUUUAGUAGGGUAGUGGCUAGCAGCAGAGUGGCAGUUAUGGUAAAAAGUGACCCAAAAAGAAGUAGGGUAAUUUGGGAUCUUACAUGACGGCUAGUGCUCUCUACCUAAAGCCAUCAGGUGACAGCAUUUUUAUGGUGGCGAUAAUUAUAGGGCAUAGGGUGCCCAGUCUUAGGCUAGUGGGGCCCAAUCAGCUUCAUCUUAUCCUCCCUACAGAUUUUGAGGUAGAUUGUAUCAAGGUGACUGUGAUGAAGAAAAGGACAAGUAUUUCAAUUGGGAUCAACUAGGGUACAUAAUUAGAAAUUGUCCUGUUAGUAAGGUUGCUUCUGGGGAAAACAAGGGUGUUGUUGCCUCUUCUUCAGCUCCAACACCAAAGAGUGCACCAUCUGGCUCCAACACUGGUCGGAACCAACUCUAUGCUCUUACUACUCAUCAGGAGUUUGAGGUGCCACUGGUUUUGUUACCGAUAUAUUGAUACUUUUUUCCCUUGAUGUGUACUGUUUACUUGAUCUCAGGUUUACUCUCUCUUAUGUGACCCUAUUUGUGGUUGUGUAUUUUGGUUUUGGUCCUAAUUGUAUUUCGAACCCUUUUCCUAUUUCUACCUCGGUGGGUGACUCUGUGGUGGCUAAAAGAGUUUAUAGAGGUUGUGUGGUAUCGGUGGAUGGCCAGGAAAUCUUGGUAGAUCUGUUUGAAUUAGACAUGGUGGAUUUUGAUAUCAUAUUAGGGAUGGAUUGAUUGCACUCGUGCUAUACAUCUUUAGAAUGCCGGACCCGUAAGGUCAUUUUUAAAUUCCCUAAUAAGAUGGUUAUUGAAUGGGAAGGUAGUUCCCUAAAUCCUAAAGAGAGGUUCAUAUCAUAUCUUAGAGCUCAGAGAUUAACCUCCAAGGGGUGUCUCUAUCAUUUAGUUUGGGUUAAAGAUCCUAACUCGGAGGGUCCUUCUUUACAUUUCAUCCUAGAGAUGAAUGAAUUUCCUGAGGUCGGCCCUGAUGACCUUUAUAGUGUUCCUCUCGAUAGGGAGAUUGAUUUUAGGAUAGAUCUUAUUUUGAACACUCAUUCUAUUUCUAUUUCCCGUAUAGAAUGGCUCCAGCUGAGUCAAAGGAGAUUAAGAAGCAACUAAAGAAUCCUUUAGACAAGGGUUUUAUCUGUCCUAGUGUAUCUUCAUAGGGUGAACUAGUGUUAUUCAUGCAUAAGAAGGAUGGUUCCCUUCGGAUGUGUAUUAAUUACUGGCAAUUGAAUAAGGUAAUGGUAAAGAAUAAAUACCCCCUUCCAAGGAUAGAUGAUUUGUUUGAUCACUUCAAGGUGCUAAUUUUUUAUCUAAGAUUGAUCUUCGACUGGGGUAUCAUCAGUUAAAGAUUAGGGAAGUAAAUAUCCGUAAAACUAUCUUUCGAACCUAAUAUGGGCAUUUCGAGUUCUUAGUCAUGUAUUUUGGCUUGACUAAUGCCUCGACAGCAUUCAUAGACUUGAUGAAUAGAGUUUUUCGUUAUUUUUUAGAUUUGUUCGUCAUUGUAUUCAUAAACAAUAUUCUGGUGUACUCUAAGAGCGAGGUGGAUCAUGUUGAUCACCUUCGCAUUAUGUUAUAGACCCUGAAAGAUCAGCAGUUGUAUGCCAAAUUUUUAAAAUGUGAGUUCUGGUUGAACGUUGUCACUUUUUUGGGUCAUGUCAUUUCUAGUAAAGGGAUCAUAGUGGAUCCACAGAAAGUUGUAGUGGUUAAAAAAUAGCCUAGACGCAUGACUCUAAUCAUAUAUUUGGAGCUUCUUGGGUUUAGCCAGUUAUUAUAGAAGGUUUAUGAAAAAUUUCUCUUCUAUAGUUACCCCAAUGACUAAGUUGACUCAGAAGAAAGUGAAGGUCUUAUGGUAUGAUGCUUCUGAGGGUAUUUUUAAAAAGCUGAAGAAUAAACUGACUUCGGCUCCAGUCUUGACUUUGCCUGAAGGCACUGAUGGGUUUUUGGUCUAUUAUAAUGCAUCCCGUGUAGGGAUUGGUUACGUCCUGAUGCAGCAUGGAAAAGUGAUAACUUAUGCCUCCAAAUAAGGUGCAUGAGAAGAAUUAUCCAACUUAUGACUUGGAAUUGUUGGUUGUGGUAUUCGCAUUGAAAGCUGGCAUCACUAUUUGUAUGGAGUGCCUAUGGAUAUCUUUUCUGAUCAUAAGAGCCUCUAAUGUGUGUUUGCCCAGAAAUAGCUGAACCUCAGGCAAAGGAGAUGGAUUAAGCUGCUCAAAAAUUAUGACAUAAGUCUUCACUACCAUCCAGGUAAAGCUAACAUAGUUGUUGAUGCUCUUAGCAGGUUAUCUAUGGGGAGUCUAGCUCAUAUAGAUGAAGAGAAGCAGGAGUUGGCGAGAUAUAUUCACCAUUUGGCUAACCUUGGAGUUCGUCUCUUAGACUCUGAAGAUAGUGAUCUAUUUGUGUAGAAGGUGGUACAGCCAUCUUUUGGUAUGGAAAUAAAGGAGAAAUAAGUGUUGGAUCCUGUCUUGAUGAGGAUUAAGGAUAAUGUAGGUGGGCAGAAGGUGAUGGCCUUUGAGAUUAGUGGUGAUGGUACCUUGCGGUACUAAGGGAGGUUAUGUGUUCCUGAUAUAGAUGGAUUGCGAAAGGAUCUUUCUUGAUUGAGGCACAUAAGUCGCGCUACGCUGUUCAUCUCGAUUCGAUGAAAAUGUAUCAUGACCUUAAGCUGAUGUACUGGCGAAAUAAUAUGAUGCGGGAUGUAGCUAGUUUUUUAUCUAAGUGCAUGGUGUGACAACAAGUAAAACUUUAGCACUUGAGGCCCAAAGGAUUGUAUUAAGAAAUUGAGUUACCUGUGUGGAAGUGGGGGUGAUCAAUAUAGACUUCGUUACCGGUCUUCCUCGAUCUCUGAAUCAAUUUGAUUUGGGUUGGGUCAUCGUGGAUAGGAUGACAAAGUCUGCUCAUUUCUUACCAGUAAGGACUAAUUUUUCGACAGAGUAUUAUGCGAGGUUGUACCUCUAAAAGAGUAUGAAUUUGUAUGGGGUACCUAUUUCUAUCAUCUCGGAUUGUGGUAGGCAGUUUUCAUCGCACUUCUGGCAAUUAUUUUAGAAAGGUUUGGGAACUAAGGUGAUUCUUAAUAUUGCUUUCGACCAGCAGUCGGAUGGGCAAGCGAAAAGAACUAUUUAGACAUUGGAAGAUAUGCUUUGAGCUUGCGUGAUUGACUAUGGUGGUCGUUGGGUUGAGCAAUUAUCUCUUAUAGAGUUUAUGUACAAUAACAUCCACUACUCUAGCAUUGGGAUGGCUCUAUUUGAGACCUUGUGUGGUAGGACGUGUAAGUCUCCUAUUGAGUGGUUUGAGGUUGGUGAGGCGGAGAAGUUUGGUUCGAAUUUAGUUCAUCAAGCCAUGAAUUAAGUAAAGGUGAUUCGGGAUAGGCUUAAAGCCACCUAAAUUUUCCAAAAGUCCUAUACGGAUGUGAGGUGUAGGAAGUUAGAGUUUGAGGCUGGGGAUAGGGUAUUUUUGAAGGUGUCUCCAUGAAGGGAGUGAUGCAGUUUGGGAAAAAGGGAAAGCUUAGUUCCUAGUAUGUUGGUCCGUACUUGGUUUUGAGAAGGGUUGGUAAUGUUGCAUAUGAAUUGCAGUUGCCUUCUAGUUUGAGCUCCAUUCACCCGAUGUUCCAUGUCUUAAUGUUAAUAAAGUAGGUGGGUGAUUCAUCGCAAAUUAUGUUUAUCAAGGAUAUUGGUAUUUUGGAUUCCUUGUCUUAUGAGGAGGUCUCGGUUGAAAUCUUUGAUCGGCAAAUUUAUCGGUUGUGGAUGAAGGACAUAGCUUCGGUAAAGGUUUUAUUGAGGAACCAUAAGGUUGAAAAGGCUAAUUGGGAAGCUAAAGAGGACAUGAAAUCCAAGUAUCCAUUCGUGUUUUCUGCUCUGGAAGAUCAUGCGUAAGGUAUGUGUUAUUCUUAACACCUUUGUUUUCUAACUUAGUUAAAAGUAAGAGUAGAGGCGUUUGGGGUUUUGAUCGUUCUAGUCAAUGUCUUGUCCCAUCAUUCGGGAAUGAAUGAUCCAAGUAGGGGAGGAUUAAAACACCUUAAGUUUUGACCCUUGGAAAUUUCCUAAGCUUUGAGCUCACAAUCCUGUUGAUGACUUAACCAUACGAGUCAUAUGGUGUGGGUACGAGUCAAGGGACCCAAAUCGUGAGGUGUCUAGUAGAUGAUGGUUGGGGUUCUAUUAUGGUAAUGAAUUGGUGGUACGAGUCGUUAGAGGUGGUGAUGAGUCGUUAGCACGAUCCUUAAUCAAAUCAAUAACUUAGUGGCUUGACUUUACUUUGAGUACAAGUGGCUCACUAAGAGACGUGAGGAUAGGUUACGAGUUGUGAGGUGAAGUCGUAGGUUGGCCAGUGUCUAAUCCCUUUGGGUUCUGUCUUGGAUAUGACUAGACCAUACGAGUCGUAUGAUCUGGUAAGGAGUAAGAUCAUGGGGUCAUGUGGUGGACAGUGUAUGGGUGUUCAACUUACUGUCUUGAUGACGAAUCAAGGGUACGAGUCUAUGUUGUGGUCACAAGUCAAGGGGUCAACUCAUAACCACCUGCAGUUUUUUUACAGAUUUAAGUUGAGGGCAUUCUGGAUAUUUCCCACUUUAACUCCCUUUGAUACCACGACUUAAAACAUCUUUUGGGACUUCAUUAACAUAUUAUUCCCAAUCAAACACUCUUAAAAUCUCUCUCAAACUCUCUGCUUAAGCAUAAAUCUACAGUUUCAUCAAGAUAAUAAAUUAAGGCUUUCAAGGGUGGGAUCUCUCUGUACUUCUUGGUGUCUAAGGCAUGUUACUCCUCCUUCAUUGUUAUUUUACUAAAAGCUCAUGUUUUAAUGUAUGAUUUUUAUGGUAUUGUUGUUUUAAUAGUGGGGUAUUGGGUGUGGUCUCGGAUCCUGGUUGGACUUGUGAUACCCGACACGACUAGACCCUGAUUCGGAUCGUGUCAGUUUCGACCAAAUAUACGUCCUACACCCAUAUUACCAAUUUUUCAACUUUCCGAUCAAUAGGUCGAAAUGAGCUCGGGUGCAUCGAGACCCGAAUCAAAGGUCUACCUAGCCUAAAAUCGAUAUCUCAGAGUUAUUGGCGCAGUCAAAAUUUGCAUCCGAGAUUGUUUUACUAAAGUUUUUACUCAGUGGCCAUUUAGAACCACCGAAGACUUGUAAAUAAGGAAUUGAUUCUAAAAAUCAAACGAACUGGUCGGUAGCUAGACUGUCAAUUCCAGCAAGUCAUAUAUAACUUGGGGCAGCUAUGGAGAAGAUAUAACAACGGAAAUAAACAAAAAUAUGAAAAAUGAACGAAAAGGUCAUUACACUCAUCUAUACCACUGUCGUUACAUAAAGGUUCAUUCGUGUCAUUAUUUUUGUAAUGGGUGAUUUUACCAAAUCAUUUUCCACAUAGCCUCUUAUUAGAUAUCCACAUCACCAAAACUAAUUCAACCAAUAUUACUUAAAAUUUAAAUAAAUUCAAUCCAUUAAAAUAAAACCCAAUACAAUUAAUGGUAUAAUUUUUAUUAUUAAUGAGCCUAAUUUUUAUUUUAAUGUUGUGGAUCGAAUUUUAAUUUAAUGAGUUUAAUUUUUAUAUUGAUUUUAAAUAAUAUUGAUUGAUUUGGAUUUGGUAACGUAGACCUAUAAUAAAAGGUCACGUGAAAAAAUGAUUUCGCAAAACCACAAUUACGAGAUAAUAGCAUAAAUAGACCUUUUUGUAAUGGCAGUGACAUAGAUAAGCCAAACUUUUAAAAGUGGUGGCAUAGAUGAGUUAUUUCUAGUAGUAUUCUUUCCCUUAAAAUAAGGCGAGUUUGAAAGCUUGACCAAAUAAGCCAUUAAUAUAUAUAUAUGUGUGUGUGUGUAUGUAAUUUUAUUCUAUCAUCUCCAAUAACUACUCCUAAGAAAUUAAUACUAUUUUUACAUAAUUUCAUUUUCUUUCUGUUUAUUAUUAUUCCAUUAUCUACAAAUAAUUUAAAAACUUGAUGUAAAUGUCCCAAAUGUUCUCUCAUAUUAUUACUAAAAAACUGUUGUUAUUCUCUCAGGGUGUGAUUAAAGAAGAUAUUGCUAAAAUACAUAUAUAUGUGUGUGUAAUUUGAGGAGCUUAGGGUCAAGUUCUCAAAAUGACAAUUAAGUUUCUCAAAGUCCAUUUAUUAUUAUUUAAAGGAGUUUUCAAAAUAUCAACUAAGCUCCUCAAAGUUUCACUUAUUACGAUUUGUAGAUUUCUCCAAAAUUACUUAUAUUUAUUUAUAAUUUAUGUUAAAAGAAUACUAUAAAUUACAAUAAUUAAUUCUAAAAUAUUUAAAGGGCAUAGUAAAAAAAGAACUGAUUCUCAAAAUUAAACCAGUACUGCAUAACUUGAGAUAAUUAUUUGAAAAUGAUAUAAAAUGUAUUAUAAAGCAUAAUACAUAACAAGUAUUUUAAAGACAUAUAAAAAAUGAAAUGAGAGGAGCUCAGGGUCAACUUUUGAAACUUACAAAUAAACUUCUCAAAGUCCCACUUUUUAUUGUUUGAUUUUGAGGAGUGAGAGGAGCUUAGGGUCAAUUUUUAAAAAUGACAACUAAGCUCCUCAAAGUCUCACUUACUACUAUUUGAAAAGCUUAGGAUUAGUUUGUGAAAUGAUUAUUUCGCCCUUUUACUUCUCCAAAAUUACUUAUAUUUCUUUGAAAUUUAUGUAAAAAUAUAAUAAAUCACAAUGAUUAACUUUAAAAUAUUUUGAAAGACAUAAUAAAAAAUCAGUUGGCUCCCGAAAUUCUAUCGAUACCACAUAAAUUGGAACAAUUAUUUUGAAGUGAUAUAAAAAUGCUAUAAACUAAAAUAAUUAAUAAUUUACAAAUAUUUGAAAGACAUAAAAUGUUCGAUUAACUCUUAAAAUUCUAUCAGAGUUAUAUAAAUUGAGACAUAAUAAGAAGUAACAUAUAUUAUUUAUAAAUUAUAUAAACAAUACUAUAAAUUACAAUAAUUAACAAUAUAAAAUUUUUGAAACGUGAGAACAUAAAGUAGCUUAGGGUCAGAAGGUAAUUGACUGAUUCGCCUUUCUAUUUUUAUUUUUAGUUUGUGGAAAUCCAAUUCAUAUAAUUUAACCAAAACAACCGAUAAUUUCUCUCUUCAUUAUUAACUGGGCCUACUUUUUGAAAUUUGAGCAUUUCAAAGAUGUAAAGAGAGAAUUAUAUUAUUUUCAUUCAACAUGAUGUUUUUCUCUUACACAUCAAAAAAAACAAAAAACUAAAUAAAGAAAAUAAUUCAACAUUUUCACGAAAAUUAAAUACUUCUAUUAAAUAAAGAAAAUAAUUAUGUAAAAGUAAUUUAAAUUAAAAUACUAAACCAAUAAAAGUAUGUAAAAGGUAUAAAAAAAAAUUGAUUAACUCUUAACAUUCUAUCAGUGUCACAUAUAAAGGUACUAUAAAUUACAAUAGUUAACAAUUUAAAAUAUUAAAAAGACAUAUUAAAAAUUUGGUCGAUCCUCCAAAUCUUAUCAAUGCCAGGUAAAUUAGAGUAAAGGAAGUAACAUAUAUUAUUUGAAAAUUAUGUAGAAAGUACUAUAAAUUAUAAUAAUUAACAACUUAAAUAUGUAAAAAGUAUAUUAAAAUUAGUUGACUCUCCAAUUCUAUCAGUACCACAUAAAGUGAGACAGAGAGAGUAUCAUAUAUUAUCGAAAAAUUAUGUAAAAAAAAUACUAUAAAUCACAAUAAUUAACAACUUAAAAAUUAAACGAAACAUUUCGAUCGACUCUUAAAAUUCUAUCUAUGUAACAUAAAUUGAAACAUAAUAGAAAUUAUGUAAGAAAUACAAUAAAUCGUAACACUAAUUAAUAACUUAAAUUUUUUUAAAUCAUACAAAAUUAAUUGGUGAUUUAAAUUUCAUUUGUGUUACAUAAAUUAGGACUAAGUAAACAACAUGGGCUCGGAGAGUUAGGGAUCGUUUGAUUGUGAAUAAGUUACUUCGGGAUAAUUAAUCCUGGGAUUAAUUAUUCCACCAUGUAUAUGAAAUACUUAUUGUAUCACUAAGAUAUAAAUGAUGGAAUAAAUAACCUCUAAUAACUUCAACUAAACAUGGUAUGUAAAAUAAUCCUAUACUUUAUUCUGAGACUAUGAUAACUUAUGUGUCACACCAAAACAUGUGUAAAGCUUGGAGGCUAAUUUUUUUUUAAAUGGUUUCCAACAAUAGUAGUAGUUUAUAUUUUAAAUCCAGAAAAUUACAUGGUAUAGCCCCAAUAGUGGAGGGCUUUGGAUUUUUAACCCCAAUAAGAAAAGUCUUUAGAGACUAGCCUUCCUUCCUUUUAAGUAUAAUAUAAGUAUAAUUUUACCUCUCAACACCUCAAAUAUUUUUAAACUUUCCAUACUCAUUUAUCUCUCAAAUUCUAUUUUUAUUUUUAUUAUUUUAACUUUUUUAUUUUUCUUUUAAUUUUAUUUUCAUGUUUUAAUUCAUUUGUCUCAACCUUUAUUUUUCGCUUUUUUUUUCUCAAACAUUAUCUAUUUCAUCAUUUUUUUUCUUUUUUUUUAAUUCAUUUGUCUCAACCUUUAUUUUUCUUUUAUUUUUGGUCUUUAUCAUUUCUCUUUUUUUCCCUCAUUUUUCUUAAACUUUAUUUUUAUUUUUUUCAUCUCAUUUUUGUUUUUCUCAAUUUUUUAAUUCUUCAUUUUUUUCUUAAUCUUUAUUUUUUCUUGUUUUUUUCUCAAUCUCUUUUUUUAUUUCUCUAUUUUAUUUGAUCGUUUUUUUCUUUUUUCUCAACUUCUAUUAUAUUUAGUUAAUAAAUAAAAAAUUGGAUAAUCCGCAAAGAGAUAUUCUUUUUUUGACGUCAAAACAAAUUUAAAGGCGUGCAUUAUUGUUAAGAAGCUCCUUGGGAUAAGUUUUGCCGCAAAGGCAAAAAUUAUAGAACAACUCAUAAAUCAAAGCACAAUGCGGUAGCGUCAAGUCUUGCUUAUGGAGCAUAACUUGUUGUUUGAAAAAUCCUUGAGUUAAGUCUUACUUCUAAGGCAAGAGUUAUAGAAUAUCUCAUAAAUAAAAAAAACAAUGUGGUAGUGUCAACACUUGUCCAUUGGGUAUAACUUGUUCUUUUGGGAGGUUCUUAGGCUAAGUUUUGUCUUAGAGGCAAGACUAAUAGAACAUCACAUAAAUCAAGACACAAUAUGAUAGUAUCAACUCUUAUUCAUGGGGCGUAACUUGUUGGCUAAGUCUUGCCUCUAAGGCAAGAGUUAUAGAAUAUCUCAUAGAUCAAGGCACGAUGUGGUAGUAUCAACUCUUAUCCAUGGGGCGUAACUUACUGUUUGAAAGUCCUUAGACUAAUACAAGCCUCUAAGGUAAGAGUUAUAAAACAUCUCACAAAUCAAGAUAUAAUGUGGCAGUGUUAACUAUUACCCAUUGGGCAUAACUUAUUGUUUAAAAGUCCUUAAUUUAUAAAAAAUCUCAUAAAUCAAGACACAGUGUGGUAGUCUCAAAUCUUGUCCGUAGAGGGUAACUUGUAAUUUAAAAGUCCUUGGGCUAAGUCUUGCCUCUAAAACAAGGGUUAUAGAACAUCUCAUAAAUCAAGACAGAGUGUGGUAGUCUCAAAUCUUGUCCAUGGAGGGUAACUUGUUAUUUAAAAGUCCUUGGGCUAAGUCUUGCCUCUAAAACAAGGGUUAUAGAACAUCCCAUAAAUCAAGAUACAGUGUGGUAGUCUCAAAUCUUGUCUGUGGAGGGUAACUUGUUAUUUAAAAGUCCUUGGGCUAAGUCUUGCCUCUAAAACAAGGGUUAUAGAACAUCUCAUAAAUCAAAACAUAAUGUGAUAGUGUCAAGUCUUACCCAUGGGGAGAAACUUGUUACUUGAAAGUCCCUGGUAUAAAUCUUGCCUCUAAGGGAAGAGUUAAUAAACAUCUCAUAAAUUAAUACACAGUAUGGUGGUAUCAAUUCUUGUGCAUGGGGCAUAACUUGUAGUUUGAUAGUCCUUAGGUUGAGUCUUACCUCUAAGACAAGAGUUAUAGAGCAUUUCAUAAGUAAAAAACACAAUGUGUUAGUGUUGACUCUUGCCCAAUAUACACUUGUUUGAAAAUUCUUGGGAUAAGUCGUGCCUCUAAGGUGAGAGUUAUAGAACAUCUCAUAAAUAAAGAUAUAACAUGGUAGUGUUAACUCUUACCCGUGAGGCAUAAUUUGUCAUUUGAAAGUCUUUGAGCUAAGUCUUGUCUGUAAGCCAAGAGUUGUAGAACAUCUCAUAAAUAAAGACAUAACGUGGUAGAGUCAAUUCUUGCCGGUGGGACAUAAUUUGUUCUUGAAAGUCCUUGAGCUAAGUUUUUCCUCUAAGGUAAGAGUUGCAAAACAUCUCAUAAAUAAAGACAUAACGUGGUCGAGUCAACUCUUGCCCGUGGGACAUAAUUUAUAGUUUGAAAGUCUUUGAGCUAAGUCUUGCCUCUAAGAUAAUAGUUGUAGAAUAUCUCAUAAAUGAAAAUAUAACGUGGUAGAGUCAACUCUUGCCGGUGGGACAUAAUUUGUUUUUGAAAGUCCUUGAGCUAAGUUUUUCCUCUAAGGUAAGAGUUAUAAAAUAUCUCAUAAAUCAAAUAACAAUGUGGUUGUGUCAACUCUUGCGCAUGAAAUAUAACUUGUUGUUUGAAAGUCACAAGUGUUGCCUCUACAAUGUAGCAAUGUUAACUCUUGUUCAUGAAACAUAGCUUGUAAUUUGAAAAUCAUAAGUCUUGCCUUUAUAAUGUGAUAGUGUCAACUCUUACUAAUGAAAUGUAACUUGAUUAGAGGAAAUCGAAGAAAAGAAUAAAAAUAAUAAAAAAUUACAGAAAAAAUAAAGAAAAAUAUUAAAAAAUAAAAAUAAAAUAAAAUGUAGAAGUUGAAAGAGAAUGAGAAAAAACUAAAGGUUGAUAAAAAUAUAAAAAAGAUAAAACAAAAAUAGAGGCCAAGAAAAAUUUAAAAAAAAAAAGAAAAGAAAAAUAAAAAUCAAAGAAAAAUCAAAAAAGUUUUUCUUUUUAUAGAAGUAGAUGUUGAGAGGAAUAAAGGAAAAAAGUAAGGAUUGAGAAAAAUUAAAAAGAACAAACAGAAGAGGAAAGAAAAAAUUAAAAAUUAAAGUAAAAUAAAAAAUAAAAAAAAGGAGAAAUUGAGAGGAAAAAAGAAAACAAAUAAGGAUUGAAAAUAAUUAAAAAUAAAAUUAAAAAAAUAUAUCUAAAAAUAUAUCAACUAAUAGCUGAAGUUCAGCUGAAGGUUGGUUUUAUAAUUUUUUUUUUACUUUGGAGUCAAAAGUCAUUUAUUUUGGGGCUACCUACCCAAGAAGGUAGUCCAGUUUCCCCUUGGUAUCUUAAAAGAGCGGAGCAGAAAGUGUUUUCUUUCUCAAAUUUAAAAUUAGUUAAUGAGUGAGCAUUGUUUCUUGUUUACAUGAAUUUCCGGCGAUGAAUAGGGCUGCUUUAAUAAGCUCUCAGGGCAACACUUUUCAGCUAAGGGCCGCCUCUCUUUUUCAUUCUUCCCCAAUGUUGGAACGCAGAAGACGCACUCAUUGGGAUUCUGUUAGUGUCUCUUUCUAUUACAUAUAUAUAAUUUCGUUUAUUUAUUUGGUUUAUCUCGAGUUUUCAGUUUGUCGGACUCAUUGGUUUUGCGAUGUAUGAAAUUUCUAUGUGCAACAAGUUUGGUUUUGGAAGUGGAAAUUCAUGUUAGUUGUUUGCAUAAACAUAAUAUAUUGUAUUUAUUAUAGAGAAGAAAGCAAACGUUGCACAGCAAGCCCAUGAAUUGGUGAUUUCUGGAUUUUCAUUUGUGGCAAUCGAAAGAACUAUUGUAAAGUUUGAUGAAGUUUGCUCUUUUUCCUUGUUGUGCAGGGGAGUGGUGCUUAUAAAGGCUCUUCAAGGGUGAGCCAUUGGCGCUAUGUUGCUUCAAUAAACCUUGUUCAAGGAAUUUUUCUGAUAGACAUGUUUGAUUUACUAUUUAAUGCUGCAAAAUAGGUUUCUCCCUUUGGUUUGGUUAAUGAGGACUAAAAUCCAGUAAAAUACCUACCCCAUCUGGUAGUUUGCCAAGGUUAGCUUCUUAAGUUACAUACAAUUAGGAAAUGAAGAGGAUUAAGGAAGAGGCUAACCUUGUUGUUUCUGUUUCUUCUUGACAUGGAAUUCUGCAAAAUCCCUAGAGUUUAACACAAUGAACUAGCAAAAGCUUGUGCAUUUUCUAAUAAAUUGGUAAAAACUUAGAAAUAUACUUGAAAUAAAUAAAAGUUAAAACAAAAAGAAAUUGAGAAUGCUUAAUUUUUGUCCUAAGUUGUUAGUUUUUCAUGUAUCACACAGUUUCUUGAGUAGUUUAACAUUCCAUGAAUGCAUGGCUGGUUACUUAGAGCAUUUUGUGUCUCUGAUUCCUGUUUAACCUCGGAACCAUUGAACUAUUAAUUUACAACAAAUCGCUUGAUUUAUGUCUUUUCAUGUCAUUGUACAACAACAUAUCCAGUGUAAUCUCACAAAUACGUUCUGGGAGGGUGAUGUAUACACAACCUUACCUAUAUCUUGUGAAGGUAGAGAGGCCAUGUCACGACCCGAACUAGGGCCUAGUCGUGACGGGUAUCUUGAGCCCACCAUGGACCGGAGAUCACCCCCUUAGCCUAACCUCAAGAGCACAAUAAUCAUAAAAUAAAGCGGAAGACAAUCAAACCAAUGAUAUUAGUAAUAGGAAUAGAUGAAUCAAAUGACGGUUCAAAGAAUUCAAAUAACAAUCCACCCACACUUGUCCACAAAAGCCUAUAAAAUCAGAAUAACACCAAAGUCGGGACAUGCCCCCGACUGUGAUAAAAAAGAAUCCAAAAGUACUAUGAAAAUAAAGCAAGAAUAGUGAAAUGACAAGGUCUUCCGAAGGAUAGAGGCUCACCACUUCACAACAAUUCAACAAACGUGCUCAACCACCUAACACUGCGCAGGAGCAACAGAAAACCCUUUAGACCCUACAUCAUAAAGCGAUGUUGAGUCCAGGGACGGUCAGUGGAUAAACACUGGCAUGUAACUCAGGGAAUAAGGAUAAAAUAAUGCAAUUACCAAAAUUCAGUCAUAAAUCAUAUGCACCACAUUCAUAUAUAUAUAUAAAUAUAUAUAAUGAUGUAGCUUCUAGGGAGGGACGGUCAGUGGAUAAGCAUUGACAUGUAACUCAGGGAAUAAGGAUAAAAUAAUGCAAUUACCAAAUUCAGUCAUAAACCAUAUGCACGGAGAAGCAGUACAAAGAGAAGACAGGAAAAUACUUAUAUAGAUAGAUAGAUAGAUAAAGAGAGAGAGGAUGUCGGGAUCAGUGUUUUGAAAAGCGAGAGGCGAAAAAAAGCGACGAGGGUUCGCUUCACAGAAGCGAGAAGCGUGAAGCGAAGCGCACUCUUUUUUCCAUUAAAGCGCUAUUUAGUACAAAAUUCAAAAAUAUUAAACAUGCAUAAAUAAAUAACCAAGAGCUCAUUAAAUAACAUAAUCAUUCAAUACUCAAAUUAAAAAGAGAAUAGAUAGUCAUAACAAGCAUUUAAGCAAACUACUAAAAUACUAAAAAUCAAUCUUGCGUCUUAAUCAACCAACACAAAUAGAGAAGAAGAAAAAAAAACAAAGGAAAAAACAAAGUUGGAAGUCAGAUUACCUACAGCAAAAAAAAAGUAAAACAGAACUGGAAAACAGAGAAGAAGAAGAGAAAUAGAGAAGAAGAAGAUGAAAAAGAGUAAUUGAGGAGAAGAGAACAAAAAACUAGAAAACCCUAAUAGGAGAAGAAGAAGAGGAGAAUUAGAGAAGAAGAAGUCGCAUACCUUCAACAGUUCUUCCAGAAAAGUCGCAGCAGCAGCAAUGCAGUCGUAUAGUCACUUAAGGGUUUUAACUAAAAUAAAUUAAAUAAAGUAAUAAAACCCUAAAAAAAAACCUUAAAUAUCCAUUUAAGCGAGCUUUUCUGCGUUUUUUUGCUUCAAUGCUUCUCGCUUCUGGACAUAAAGCGAGAGUUUUUUUCUCGCCCCAACGCUUCAAGUGUAAAAAGCGACCCACUGUCGCUUCGCUAAGCUUCACGCUUUAAGCGGGCGCUUCAGCGCUUUUGGGCCCAGUGCGUGUUAGCCGCACGAAUCGAAGAAAAAAUCGAGGGAAAACUAAAGCCACCAAGGCAAUAGCCGUCUCAAAAUAUAUAUAUCAAGUGUGCACCAAACAUACAGUCAUAUAGACCCCCCAAUGCCGGCAAACGUGGUUUUCAGUGUUCGUCCCCCCGAGACUUACACCUUCACGGUGAGAUGCACAAUUCCCUUUAAGCCCAACUUAAAACAAUUUGCACAUAAAUCAAUCCAUUAACCCAGGAGUCAUUCACUAAGACAUUUACCACAUGCUUGCAAGCUAAAAAAACAAGUUAAACCAUGCAAUUUUUCAUAUUUAAAAUCAAGUUUACAAAGUGAGUUGAAGUUAAUGCAAUUAUCAAGCCAAAAUUCCAUCAAUUUGGGGAACUCGUUCCCCCAUUCCAACUAUUUAUACCAUGCACCAAGUCAGUCCUAAAAACAUUAAUUUGAAGCAUGAAUAAUCAAUUUAGAACAUGAGACAAGUAAUUCAAUUCGUAACAACCAAAACACCUCAACCCAAUUUCAAAACCCACAAUUAAAUCACAUGAAAAUCCAUUCAGUUAAUGCCACAAUGUAAAAUUANNNNNNNNNNNNNNNAAAGAGAAACAUGCCUGAAAUUCACAAGGAACUGAAAACAAUUCAAAGUUUGGAGUCCGGAGGAUGAAUUUACUAUAAAACCCUUGAAUGUUCUUGGAUUUUGAGUUUGAGAGAGGGAAUGUUUGAUCUUUGAAAACUGAAAGAAUGAGGUUAUUUUAUGUUAUUAGGUCGUAUAAGGGGUAAAAAGACUAAAAGCCCCCCACCCUAAGUGAUAAAAACAAAAACUAGAUGAAUUUAAAAUAGCGGCGUGACACGCCAAUAUCGUGGAGGUUAGUCUCCAUGCCACACCAAUAUCGCGGAGGUUAACCUCCAUGACACGGCCUUGUUGCUGAUGCUUACUGCCUCGGGGUCCUAAAAUGAUCCCUACCCCCUUUCAAAAAAUUCUAAAAUUUUCCAAAACACCAUUUUAACAUUCCUAAACAUAAUUCAAGUAAAAAAUCGACAUUACAUAUGCGGGGGUGGGGGUCAAAAUAAAAUGAUCGAAAUUUUAAGGGGUCUUACAUUCGUCCCCGAAUGAUGAGUUAGGACACUUUUAAGCAUGAGAAUAACAAGAAUACAUCAGAAUCAAAUGACAAAUUUAGAAAGUGAUAAGAGGAAAACGAAAAUCUUACUUUAAGCACAUUCAUCCAAUAUGUGGAACAAGAACGGAUACUUGGCCGUCAUAUCUUCCUCAGCUUCCUACGUAGCCUUUUCUACCUUUUGAUUUCUCCACAGAACCUUCAUCGAGGCUACAUCCUUGGUCCUCAAUCUACGAACUUGUCUAUCCAGUAUCUCUACCGAGACCUCCUCAUACAACAAUGAAUUUGUAACACCAACAUCCUCAACAGGCACUAUCAAGGAAGGAUCACCCACACUUUUUUCAGCAUGGACACAUGAAAAGCAGGAUGAAUCGAAGCUAAACUUGCAGGCAAAUCUAACUCAUAAGCGACAUUCCCAAUUCUCCUCAAAAUCUGAUAUGGACCAACGUAACGGGGACUGAGCUUCCCCUUCUUCCCAAACCUUAUGACUCGUUUCAUAGGAGACACCUUCAAGAACACCCAAUUACUUCAAACUCCAAUUCUUUUUGCCUCGCAUCCACAUAAGACUUUUGGCGACUUUGAGUAGUCUUAAGUCUUUCCCUGAUCACUUUAACCUUCUCCAUGGUUUGGUGAACCAAGUUAGGAACAAAUUCUUCAUGGCUUGGUGAACCAAGUUAGGACCAAACAACCUAGUCUCACCAACCUCAAACCACCCAAUAGGAGACCUGCACCUCCUACCAUAAAGAGCCUCAAAAGGAGCCAUUUGGAUGCUAGAAUAGUAACUAUUGUUGUAAGCGAACUCAAUAAGGGGCAAAUGAUCAACCCAACUCCCUUUAAAAUCAAUCACACAGGCCCUUAGCAUAUCCUCCAAAGUUUGAAUAGUACACUCCACUUGCCCAUUAGUUUAAGGGUGGAAAACGGUGCUAAGGUUUACAUGAGUACCCAAACUUUUCUAAAACAAAUGCCAGAAGUGAGAAGAAAACUGCGUACCUCAAUCUUAGAUAAUAGACACUGGCGCACCAUGUCACUUCACAAUCUCCUGAAUGAACAACUUAGCAUAAUCCUCUCCUGAGUAGUUAGUCCUCAUUUACAAGAAGUGAGCAAACUUAGUCAUUCUAUCCACAAUAACCCAAAUAGAAUCAUACUGAUUGCGAGACCGCGGAAGACCCGUAAUGAAAUCCAUAUUGAUCAUCUCCCACUUUUAUAUGGGCAACUUUAUCUCUUGAGACGUGCCACCAGGCCUCAAAAUGUUCAACCUUAACUUGCUGAUAGAGCAACAUUUGACAACAAAAUUUGCCAUAUCUCUCUUCAUAUUGUUCCACAAGUAGAUUUCCUUCACGUCAUAAUACAUCUUAGUCGAACCCGGAUGAACUGUAUAUCUGGACUCAUGAGCCUCAGUCAAAAUCCUUUCCCGCAGCCUAUUAACAUCAAGAACACACAACCUGCCUUGAUACCUCAACAUGCCAUCUUCCCCAAUUUUGAAAGCCAUAACUUCUUGCUGACCACAUCAUCCUUAAUCUGCAUAAGUAUGGAAUCCAAAGCCUGCUUCUCCUUCACCUUAACACCAAGAGAUGAUUUAACCAUUUCUUGAACCAUCACUCCUUUAUCCUCAGAGUCCAAGAGACGAACUCCUAAAUUAGCCAACCUGUGAAUAUCCUUCACUAAUCCUCUCUUCUCCUCUUCAACAUGAGAUAGACUCCUCAUAGACAACCUGGUAAGAGCAUCAACAACUACAUUAGCUUUACCUGGAUAGUAGUGCAAGCUCUUGUUGUAAUCCUUAAGCAAUUUGAGCCAUUGCCUCUGCCUGAGAUUUAACUCCUUCUGCGUAAACAUAUGCUGCAAGCUCUUAUGAUCUGAAUAGAUGUCUACAUGCACUCCAUACAGAUAAUGGCGCCAAAUUUUCUAGGCAAAGACCAUGACCGCCAACUCUACCUACUCUAGAUCGCGAAAUGGGUAAUUUCUCUUAUGAACCUUAAGCUGCCUGAAAGCAUACGAUCUUACUAUGCUAUAUCAAAAUACAACCCAGUCCCACACGGAACGCAUCACAAAACACACUAAAACCAUCAAUACCCUCCGGUAGGAUCAAAACUGGCGCCGAAGUCAACUUAUCCUUCAACUUCUCAAAACUACCUUCACAAGCAUCAGACCACAAAAUCUUAAUCUUUUUCUGAGUUAACUUCGUCAACGGAGCAGCAAUAAACGAGAAACUCUCCACAAAUCUCCUAUAAUACCCAACCAAGUCCAAGAAGCUGUUAAUGUCGGUUGGAGUUGUGGGUCUAGGCCAUUUCUUAACUGCCUCGACUUUCUGUGGAUUCACCUUGAUCCCCUCACUAGAAACAACAUGCUCAAGUCACAACAUUCAGCUAAAACUCACAAUUAGAAAAUUUCGCAUACACACCUCUGGUCUUUAGGAGUCUACAAUACAAUUCGAAGGUAAUUGUCACGAUCCUCCUCACUUUUGGAGUACACCAAGAUGUCAUCAAUGAAGAGUAUAACUGUUGUUCUACAGAAUGCAGAGAAGAACAAAAAAAUACGUUUGAUGAUAAAAAUAUUCUGCUUGUUUAUUCUUUCACAUCUUAGAAAAUAAAUAGGCAAAAGACUCCUAUUCUAUUUCAACUAGGGUACUAAUAAACUCCUAUUGUAUCUCAGCUAACUAACUGAAUUUCAAAUAUAUAAAUACUAGACUAAAAAGAAAUGAUAACAACAAAUAACUCAAUACUUCAAGACUCCUCGUUGAGAUGUUUGCUGGUAACUCCAAGUUGUUCAUGAAGAGUUUCAAAUCUGUAUUUGGGAAGGGCUUUGGUAAAUAUAUCAGCGAGUUGAUCCUCCGAACUACAAUGGACAAGCUUGAUUUCCUUAUUUUUCUCAGCUUCUCUAUUGGCAUGAUACUUGACAAGGAUGUGCUUUGUUUUACUAUGCUUCACUGAAUUUUCAGCAAUUGCAAUUGCAAUUGUUGAGGUGUUAUCACACAUGAUCUUAGUUACAACUUGCGAUUCCAUUCCAAGAUCCUUCAGAAUUUUCUUUAACCAAAUAGCUUGAUUUGCUACCGUAGAUGCUGCCACAUACUCUGCCUUUGCAGUGGAUUACGCCACUAUUUCUUGCUUUUUUGAAUUCCAAGAAAACACACUAGAACCCAAGGAAAAAGCAUAGCCAGUAGUGCUCUUCAUAUCGUCAAUAUGUCCGGCCCAAUCACUAUCAACAAAGCCAAGCAAAACACCUUCUUCAACUGGUCUAAACCAUAUUCCAAGUUGUAAAGUACCUUUUAAAUACCUAAGCACUAUUUUCGCAGCAGCAAAAUGAAUGUCGCUGGGACUCUGCAUAAAUUUUGAAAGCAAACUAGUGACAUACAUUAAAUCAGGCCUUGAAGCCAUUAAGUACAAGAGACUUCCAAUCAAACUUUUAUAUAAUGAAGCGUCACACUUCUCUGCUCCGUCUUCUUUUGAGAAUUUUGUAUUCAAAACCAAUAGUGUAAGAACAGGUUUACAAUUUUUCAUUUUGAACUUUUUCAGAAUCUCCAAAGCAAACUUGUGUUGAUUGAGAAAAAUUUCAGUUUUUGAUUGGCAUACUUCAGCCCCAAAAAAUACUUCAUCUCUAUCAAAUUUUUGACAUUUCAAACUGUUUCUCCAUUUUCACUUUAAACUUCUACAACUCUUCCUCAUCACUGCCUUAACUUCCUUGAACCACAAAACCUUCUGGUUGGUCUACAUUAAUUUCCUCUUCUAGAAAGCCAUUCAAGAACGGCAAAUUUGACAUCUAAAUGCCAAAUUUUCCACUUCAUCUAUGCUGCUAUUGCUAUCAAAAUUCUGGUGGGGUCCAUCCUUGCAACCGGUGCAAAAGUAUCCGAGUAAUCAACUCCAGGCUGUUGAGAAUAACCUUUAACGACCAACCUCGCUUUGUGCUUGUUGAUAGAUCCGUCCGCAUUUAGUUUCACCCUGUACACCCAUUUAACUCCAAUAAUUUGCUUUCGUUCUUCUCAAUCAUGACCAUUUCCUCCUCCAUCGCUUGCUUCCAUUCUUCAACCUUGCAGGCAGCUUAAAAGUUUGAAGGUUCCAGGACAACAAGAUUACAUCUUUCAUAAAUUUCAGCCAAUUGUCUGGUGCCUCCAACAGUAAAAUGUUCAUUUUUCUCUGUUUCCAAGUCUUCACUUGAAUCUUGAAAAGUAGGUUUAACAACCAUCUUUCUGACUUGAGAGAUAUUCCAAUCCCAAUAAGCAUCUUCAUCCACCUUCACAUCUCGACUUACAAAAACUUUCCCAGAUUCAAUAUUGUAGAUUUUAUAGCCCUUUGAGAUAGAGCUACAUCCAACCAAAAUUUCUUUUUCAGCUUUUUCAUCAAGCUUACUUCGUUUGACAGCUGGUACAUGAGUAUAACAGAAAGAACCAAACACCUUUAGAUGCCCAAUUGAUGGCUUUAUACCAUUCCAAGCUUCAACUGGUGUCAUUCCAUCCACAACCCUUGUUGGCAGUCUAUUUUACAGAUAAAUUGAUGUGUUUACCGCCUUCGCCCAAAAAGACUUCGGCAACUUUUUCUCAAAAAUCAUACACCUAGCCAUCUCAAGAACAAACCGAUUUUUUCUUUCAGAUACUCCGUUUUGCUGGGGUGAGUAAGUGACUGUAAGUUGAUGCUUAAUUCCCAUAUCAUCACAAAAUAAAUGAAAUUCACUUGAAGUAUACUCCUUCCCAUUGUCUGUUCGGAGAAUUUUCAACAAGCAUCCACUUUGAGUUUCCCCAAAAGCUUUAAACUUCUUAAAAACAACAAAUACUUCAAGCUUUUGCUUAAGAAAAUAUACCCAGGUCAUUCGAGUAAAAUCGUCUAUAAAAAGAAUAAAAUACUUGCUGUCAUUGAUUGAAAGAGUUUUCAUCGGUCCAAAAAUGUCAGAAUGAACAAGUUGUAACUUCUCACUUGCUCUCCAUGUUGCUGACUUUGGAAAAGGCAAUUUGUGUUGCUUCCCUAGUUGACGACUUUCACGCACAUUUGAUCAUAACUCAAUUUCAGGCAAGUCCUUCACUAAAUCAUGCUUCUGAGCAUAUUGAAUUGAUUUCAAGCUAUAAUGGCCAAGUCUUUUGUGCCAUAAUUUUGAAUCCUGCUCACAUCGACUACUUCGACAAACUUGCUCAGAAUUUGAGUUCCAAUUCAAAGGAAAACUACUUAUCAUUUCAACCGUAAUCACUUCUUGGCCGCUAGAUUCAGAAACAAUACAUUUUUUGUCUUCGAACAGUAACAUAUAAUCUUGUUCUUGCAUUUGAUCAAUGCUCAACAGAUUUUGGUCAAGAUCAGGUACCAACAAAACAUCUUGAAUAAAUUUAGUACCUUUGGGAGCUUCAAUUGCCACAAUUCCUUUACCAACAAUCUCCAACUUGGUUUUAUAAACCAACUUAACACUAUCUUUGGCAGAUUCCAAUUUCGUAAAAUAUUCUCGUUUGCUGGUCAUGUGUUGAGUGCAACCACUGUCCAGAAACCAUGUGUUGUCAUCAUCCAAUCUUGUUGCUGCCAUCGCCGUAAACACACUCCUCUUCUUCAACUUCCGAAAUAUUGACUUUUUGAGUUUAUUGGUUGUUCUCCUUCUUCACUCUGCAAAACCUUUCAAUAUGACCAAGCUUAUUGCAAUAUCUACACUGGAGAGGUGGUUUCUUCCCCUUAAACCAACAAUCAUCCUCUUUAUGAUUGUUUUUUCUACAGUACUUGCAUGGAGGAAAGUUUUUUUUCUUUUUGACUCCAUUGCGAGAAUCGCCUUGAUCUUUUCUACUAGAAUUAGUGGAGGUUUCUGAGAUUUUACCUUCCUUUUGCAUCUGCAUCUUCCCUUUGAACUUGGCUUGAAGAGCAGUUUCAGUAGCUUCUUCUAGUCUCAAGGAUCUUCUCUGCUCUUGAGCUUGAAGAGCAUGUACAAGUUCUGAAGGUGACAUUUUUGUGAGAUCCUUCGAAUCUUCGAGUGAGGAGAUCUCUGCUUCAAAUCUUUCCGGCAAACUCACAAGAACCUUCUUCACGAUUCUUGAAUCUGUAAGCUCUUCUCCCAUAAGUCUGAUUUGGUUUACAAUCUUCAUCAACUUGUUGGAGAAUUCUUCAAUAGUUUCUGGAUCAUUCAUUCUGAGAAUUUCAAACUCUCUUCUUAGAUGUAUCACUUUUAUUUGCUUGAUCUUGUCGCUUCCUUGAAAUUCUUCUUUCAACUUGUCCCAGGUCUCCUUUUCAAUCUCACUCGUCAUAACUCUUGCGAAAAUUACUUCCGAAAGUGCUGAUUGUAUGCAAGAGAGAGCUUUAAAUUUUUUUGAAACCUGUUCUCUGUGAUUCUUAAUUUGCGCCAUAGUUGGAUUAUUUGGCAUAGGAUUUGCCUCUCCUCCAGCCUUUAUCACUUCCCACAGAUCAUAUGUUUGCAAAUAGGUUCUCAUCUUGACAACCCAAAUUGGAUAAUUCUCACCAGAAAAAAUUGGGGGUGAAGGAAUUGAGAAAUUGCUGGAAGCUAUAACAAUGUUGGCUUUUACGCAGGUUUUUAUAUUUUUGGGUCUUCUUUAACUCACAAGCCCUUCGAAUCAAGUAGCUCUUGAUACCAAUUGUUGUUCUACAGAAUGCAGAGAAGAAGAAAAAAAUACGUUUGAUGAUAAAAAUAUUCUUCUUGUUUGUUCUUUCACAUCUUAGAAAAUAAAUAGACAAAAGACUCCUAUUCUAUUUCAACUAGGGUACUAAUAAACUCCUAUUCUAUCUCAGCUAACUAACUGAAUUUCAAAUAUAAAAAUACUAAACUAAAAAGAAACGAUAACAACAAAUAACUCAAUACUUCAAUAAUAACAAACCAAUUCAAAAACUGUCUAAAAACCCGAUUCAUGAGAUCCAUGAACGCAUCCGGAGCAUUAGUCAACCCAAAUGACAACCAAAAACUCAUAGUGACCAUAUCGGGUUCGGAAAGCAGUCUUGGGAAUAUCAAUCUCCUUAAUUUUCAACUGAUGAUAGCCCGAACGGAGAUUAAUCUUAGAGAAACACCUAGCACCCUGAAGCUUAAAAAAUGAUCAUCAAUCCUAGGAAGAGGGUACUUAUUUUUCACGAACACCUUAUUCAGCUGACGAUAGUCUGUACACAUUCGAAGAGACCCUCUUUCUUUCGCACGAAAAGAACAGGAGCACCCCACGGAGAGACACUAGGACGAAUGGACCCAUUAUCAAGAAGAUCUUUCAAUUACUCCUUUAGCUCUUUUAGUUCAGCCAGAGUCAUUCUUUAAGGAGGAAUGAAAAUGGGACGGGUAUUCGGCAGAACAUCGAUCCCAAAAUCUAUCUCUUUAUCGGGAGGAAUUCCAGGAAGAUCAUUGGGAAAAACUUCAGGAAAUUCAUUAACCACAGGGACAGAUUGCAAAGAGGGACUCUUAGAGUUAGAAUCUUUAACCCGAACUUGAUGAUACAAACAUUGUUUAGAAAUCAACAUCGGAGUUCUAAAAUAGGAAAUAAACCUCCCUUUAGGUACUAAGGAACUCCCCUCCUAUUCUAAUAUCGUUUCAUUAGGGAAUUAGAAACUGACCUUUCGGGUCCUACAAUCCAGAGAAGCAUAGCACGAAUGGAGCCAAUCCAUCCCCAAGAUAACGUUAAAAUCCACUGUAUCAAGAUCUAUCAAAUCCACUAAUGUCUCCCUAUGAAAGAUGGACACCACACAACUCCUAUAGGUUUUUCUAGCAACUGUGAGUAAAAAUGAAAAAGGGGUCGGAAAUAUUUUCAGGACCAAAGCCAAUGUGUACAGCCACAUAAGGGGUCACAUAAGAUAGGGUAGAACCCAGAUCAAGCAAACAAUAAACAUAACGAGAGAAGAGCUAUAACAUACAAGUAACAACAUCUGGGAUGCCUCAAAUUCCUAAUGGGUAGCAAGUGCAUACAGAUGAUUCCCGCUAGUGCCGGUACUAGAGUAGCGCCCUUUGGCACAGGAGCUGAAGAAGUGGCAACCGAAACUUUAUUAGCCCCAGUGGCAACCCUGGUUGAAGGAUAAUCUCGUUGUAUGUGACCAAGCUGACCAUAAUUAUAACAUCGAUUUCUCCCUUCCUCACAAUAUCCAUGGUGAAGCUGCGCACUAAAACGACAAGGAGGAUAAGGUGAGUCUGACUGAGUUCCACUAGCCUGAGAUUGGGCACCCUGUGCCUUAGGACCACUGCUAGUCUGAAAACAACGAUCACCAGAAGGCUUAGGAUAAGGAGCACUAGCUGUCGAAUACGAAUUUCCCCUAUUCUUCUUCUUACUCCACUGUCUACCAUCUCUCCUAUUGUUCUGCUGACCUGUACCCUGCUCUAAAUAUCUAAACUUCUUAUUCUGCCACUCUCCAUCUCUACCUGAGUCUUUUUCUCAUCCUCAACCCACUGCAUAUAAACCACUAGCCUAGAGAUGUCCAUACCAUUAUUCAACAUAGCAACCUUAUAUUCCAGUACCAAAUCACGGGACAAACCAGAAGCAAAUUUUCUCAUUUGGGACCAACAUUAGACACAAACUUUGGGGCAUAACAAGCCAAUUGUUGAAAUAUCUAAACUUCUUAUUCUGCCACUCUCCAUCUCUACCUGAGUCUUUUUCUCAUCCUCAACCCACUGCAUAUAAACCACCAGCCUAGAGAUGUCCAUACCAUUAUUCAACAUAGCAACCUUACAUUCCAGUACCAAAUCACGGGACACGGGACAAACCAGAAGCAAAUUUUCUCAUUUGGGACCUAACAUUAGACACAAACUUUGGGGCAUAACAAGCCAAUUGUUGAAACUUCAGAGCAUACUUCCCGACACUCAUCUUACCCUGUUUCAGAUUAACAAACUCCUCAGCCUUGAACUUCCCUCAACUCCUGAGGAAAGAAGUGAUCAAGAAGCCCACCAGAAAAGUCACCCCCUGUUCAGCAUUAUCACCCCUCACCACUUUCCAUUCCUUAUACCACUAGCAAGCAACAUCUUUCAACUGAUAGGCAACAAACUCCAAACCCUCCAAAUCAGUAGCAUGCUUCACCUUAAAAUUUUCUCCAUCUCAUCAAUGAACCCCUGCGCAUCAUCCUCAACCUUAGAGCCUGUGAAAGUUGGGGGAUUCAACCUCAUAAACUAUUCAACCCGAGUGACCUCAGAUGAAUGAGCAACAAAACCAACACGAUUUGAUUGACCAACUGUGUAACCAUAUGAAUAGACCGACGGAACUCCGCAUUAGAGAUAUCUCCCUGAAGCUGCUGAUCAUAAGUAUCACCAGGCCGGGAAGCUCGAGGGGGACUAGUAGGGACCCGUGGAACCCCACGUGGAGCGGCACAUCAGGAGCAAGGAUCGUAAAUCGGGUCUGCACUCCAUAAACAGGGCGAGUCCCCUCCAUAUUCUCCUCAGGUAGAACAGAGGUUCCAACGGAGUUUCUACGAACAUCAGAUCUUCAGGGAGGCAUGAUUUGAAAUGCGAGGAGGCCAUGAGUUAGAGAAGUUUCAAGACAACUAGAAUCUAUAGCCCUAAAAUAGAAUACAAGAAAGGAAAACAAUCCUAAAUGCCUUAUAAGUGUGGCGCGCUACACACCCAUAAAAGGGACUCUACUCGACACGGCUUGUGGACACCCAAUGACCCUAAACCGUGCUCUGAUACCAAAGUUGUCACGACCCGAACCAAGGCCUAGCCAUGACAGGUAUCUCGAGCCCACCAUGGACCGGAGACCAGCACUUUAGCCUAACCUCAAGAACACAAUAAUCAUAAAAAUAAAGCGAAAGCCAAUCAAACCAAUGAUAAUUGUAAUCAGGAUAGAUGAAUCAAAUGACGGUUCAAAAAAUUCAAAUAACAAUCCACCCAUACUUGUCCACAAAAGCCUCUAAAAUCAGAAUAACACCUAAGUCGGGAUAUGCCCCCGACUGUGAUAAAAAAGAAUCCAAAAGUACUAUGACAAUAAAGAGAGAAUACUGAAAUGAGCAGGCUCACCACUUCACAGCAACUCAACAUGCGUGCUCAACCACCUAAUGCUAUGCAGGAGCAAUAGAAAACCUUUCAGACCCUACAUCAUGAAACGAUAUAGCGUCCAAGGACGGUCAGUGGGAUAAACACUGGCAUGUAACUCAGGGAAUAAGGAUAAAAUAAUACAAUUACCAAAUUCAGUCAUAAACCAUUUGCUGCACAUUCAUAUACAUAUAUAUAUAUAUAUGUAUAUAUAUUACAUAUAUAUGUGUGUGUAUAUAUAUAUAUAUAUGAUGUCGGGAUAGGGACAAGGGUCAUGAACAUGAGAGUUUAAAUAUUUAACCUGAACUGUAUAGCUCGAUCCGUCCUAAAGGCACCCAUAGGCUAUAUGGGUUCAGCUCCCCCUGCUGAAAGGACCCAGUGCGUGUUAGCCGCAUGAACCGAAGAAAAAUCGAGGGAAAACUAAAGCCACCAAGGCAAUAGCCGUCCCAAAAUAUAUAUAUCAAGUGUGCACCAAGCAAACAGUCAUAUAGACCUCUAACGUCGACAAACGUGAUUUUCAGUGUUCGUCCCCUUGGGACUUACACCUUUACGGUAAGCAGCACAAUUCCCUUUAAGUACAAAUUAAAAUAAUUUGCACAUAAACCAAUACAUUAACAAAUGAGUCAUUCAUUAAGGCAUUUACCACUUGGUAUUGUCAUACCACUUUGCUUGCAAGCUAAAUUAAUUAUGCCAUGCCAAAUCCACAUAACCAAAUCCAAGAGAAACAUGCCUGAAAUACACAAGGAAUUGAAAACAAUUCGAAGUUUGGAGUUCGGAUGAUGAAUUCGCUGUAAAAUCGUUGAAUGUUCUUAGGUUUUGAGUUUGAGAGAGAAAGAAUGAUUUGAUCUUUGAAAACGGAAAGGAAUGGAGUUAUUUUAUGUUAUAAGGUCGUACAAGGGGUAAAAAGACAAAAAUCCCCUCACCCUAAGUAAAAAAACAAAAACUAGAUGAAUUUAAAACAGCGGCGUGGGACGCCAAUACCGUGGAGGUUAGCCUUUGUGCCACGCCAAUAUCGCGGAGGUUAACUUUCGUUGCACGGCCUUGUCGCAAAGGCUUACUACCUUGGGGUCCCAAAAUGACCCCGAACCCUUUCUUAAUAAUUAGAAACUUUCCCAAAACACUCUUUUAACAUCCCUAAACAUAAUUCAAGUCAAAAAUCGACAUUACGCACGUCGGAGUCAAAAAUAAAAUGAUCAAAAUUUUAAGGAGUCUUAUGGGCUGCUUCUGAUAUACUUUCAAGUCAGAUAACACAUCAAAAGUCAAAUAUGUAAAACAAACACAAUAGUGAAAAAGUCAUACUAAAAAACAAUGUAGAUCAAACAAUAGCAACAUGAUACACGACUAACUACGAAAACUAAGAUUUAAGUGCGGAAACUAAAGAUAUAAUGAAGAUAGAUGAGAGAUAGAGAGAGAUAGACAUAAAUAAGAAAAGAAUUAAGAACAAUAUGAUAUAUGAACCCUAAAACCCCUAAUUACUCCAACGUUGAUCAUAAGGGAUUGAAUGCCCUCAAACCCAAACAUUUCUAAGCCAAAGUUCAACACAAGCUCACCAAACUCUCUCAAAGAAGAAGUAUUCAUCAAUAUUCAACAAAAACUCCUUGGAGCGCUUGAAGUUCCCGAGCUUAGCUUCUAGUAAAGGGUCUUGAGCUCACCCAGAUUGUAUUAUCCUCUCUAUCUUUAGAAGAGUUUGACCUCAAAUUCAAGGGGUGAUCGUCUUCUAUCAUGUCAAAGAGUGAAAGACCACACACAUUGAACGUAUUGUGCACUUCAUAUUCCGGAAGAAGGUCAAUCUUUUAGGCAUUGUCGUUUAUCCUCUCAAGUACUUGAAAUGGGCCAUCACCUCGAGGCAUCAGUUUGGCUUUUCUUUUGGUUGGAAACCUAUCUUUCUGGAGGUGCACCCACACCCAAUCACUCUGUUCAAGUACAAGUCGCUUUUGUCCUUUGUUUACUCUUUUGGACACCUUUUGGUUCUUUUUCUCUAGGCGAAUCCUUACUUUCUCAUUCAUCUUCUUCAUGGCUUCCGCCCUCUUGUUCCCAUCUAAGCUAAUCACAACAUCGCUAGAUAAAGGAGUGAGAUCCAAAGUGGUGGGUAGUUUGAAACCAUAAACAUAUUCAAAGGGAGUCAUACCAGUAGUCGAAUGGAUAACACGAUUAUAAGCAAAUUCAACUAAAGGUAGGUGGCUCUCCCAAGAGGACAUUUUUCGUUUAUCUAAGAUACCUAACAUAGAACCCAAGGUUCUAUUUACCACUUCCAUUUGCCCAUUGAUUUGUGGGUGGCAAGACGUUGCGAAAAGGAAUUUGGCGCCAAGCCUACCCCACAAUGACCUCCAAAAGUGACUAAAUUUUCCAACAUGAUUCAUUAACCGCAUAAAGGUCCUAGGAGCAUUGGUGAGCCCAAAUAGCAUAACCAUCCAUUCAUAGAGACCAAAUUUGGUCUUGAAGGCGGUUUUUCGUUCAUCACCGGGAUUCAUUCAGAUUUGAUGAUAUCCACUCCUAAGAUCAACUUUUGAAAACACACAAGAACUAUUCAAUUCAUCCAACAUAUCAUCUAAUCUAGGAAUAGGAUGGCGAUACCUUUCUGUUAUCUUGUUGAUACCUCGACAAUCAACACACAUACGCCACAUCCUAUCUUUCUUUGGCACUAGCAACAUCGGGACUGCACAUAGACUCAUGCUCUCUUUGAUGUAUCGUUUGUUGAGGAGUUCCUCAACUUGCCUUUGGAGCUCUUUAGUGUCCGAUGGAUUGCUUCGAUAAGCCGGUUUGUUGGGCAAUUAAGAACCCGACACAAUCAAUUUGAUGCUCAAUUUCCCAAAGUGGGGGUAAUCCCUGGGGUAUCAAAUUCCUGCAAAAACAAGAGAAAUAGAAUGGGGAAUAGGAAAAGUAGAGUGUUUAGUAUGCAAAGCAUGGGCUAGGAGGAGCAUGGGUGCUCUGUCAUCAAUUUCCUAGCCAACAUCACCAUGGGACUCUUCUCUUUCAACCUCCUCUUCGUCAUUUUUCUCCUUGGUUUGGACUUCUCCCUCACCUUAUUUCUUACCCUUCUCUUUUAAUUCUCUCAUUCUUUGGUGAACCUCAUUCACUUGAGAUGGUGAAACUGGACGGAGAGUGAAUUUUCAAUCAUUCAACUCAAAAGAAUAUCGAUUGGUCCUCCAUGAUUGAACGAUCGUAUUGCCAUGACCUCCCAAGCAAGAUAUGAUAAACUUGCAUGGGUAUCACAUCACAAAGCACCUCAUCAUGAUAAAUUUCGACCUUGAAUCGAAUCACUACUUGUCUAGCCACCUUCAACUCUCCACAUUCAUUUAACCAUUGAAGCUUGUACAGUGUGGCAUGUUUGGUUAUGGGCAACUUCAAGAAAUUAACUAUACUAGCCACAUUAGCACAACUCUCACUAUCAAUGACCAAGGAGCAUACAUUCUCCUUGAGACACUUAGUAUAGAAUAGAUUCUCCCUUUGACUAGGAUCAUAUAUUGUCUUACUAAUCAUUGCUCGUCUCGCGACAAAGUUUGGAACCUCAAACUCUCCAUCUUGAGGCCAAGCAUCCUCAUUAUCUUUCUUUACUUGCUCAUCUUCUUCGGGCCCCUCUCCAUCUUGGGCUUUUUCAUCAUUCUCAUCCUCCAACCCUACCUCUUCUUUGAGGUAAUACAACCUUUCUUCCCUUAGGAUCAUAUUUCUCCAGUUGUCUCUUGCUUAUUUCCCCAUCCUUAGCAUUUUAAAACAUUGAAAACCUUUAGAAUUAGGAGUAGGAUAUUUGUUACCUUCAUUCCUUGGUGGGUACUUUGGAGUGGUCUUCUCUACGAGCAUCUUUCAUAGGACGUGUUGCAGUCCUUGUUCUUGUUCCACCCUGACGAAGAUUGAGCUACCUUUUUGUUCUUACCCGAAGGGUUGGUAGAUAGUACCCUUUGGGUUUGAAAGAUGUCCUUUCUUUGAGAUCCCUUUCAAUUUUCAAGGCCGUUUGGAAGAUUUUUUCUAAGGUUUCAAACUUGUGGAUAGUCAUUGAUAAGGAGAUCUCUUUGUUUCAAUCCAACCUUGAAGCGUAUGAUGGCAUGUUGCAUGUUCUCAUGAUACUCGAGCUUCAAAAUCAGUUGUUGAUAGGACACUAUUGUUUCCUUGCCUCAAGUUGUAUAGCUUGGCAAGUAACUCGUGUCUAUACCUUUCCGACAAGUACUUUAGUCUCAUGAGUCCUUUCAAUUCAUCCCAUGGGGGUGGUUGUCCCUCAUUCAACACAUUUCCAAACCUCUUGGCAUAAUCCCACCAUGUAUUGGCAAACCCCUUAAAGUGGGCUGUGACAUAGCAACUCUUCUUCUUAUCGGUGAGAUCAUUGACUUGGAAGAUCCUUUCACAGGCGAACUCUCACGUUAGAUAAGCCUCGGGAGCACUUUCGCCUUUGAAGGUAGGAAGACUAAUCUUGAUUGAAUUGAUACGCAUAUCUCGAUCCUUAUUACGUUGUUGGUUCCAUUGAUCAUGCCCUUGCCCUUGGGGUCAAUAUCCCAAGUUUUCUCUCCCACAAGGCAUCAGACCAAAUCUUCCUCCUCGACCUCUAUGACCUCCUUGACCCAUUGGCCUAUCCCUCAUGUUCACCCAUACAUCCUCUUCAUCGAAAACUCCAAACUCUGCUUGAGGUUCCUCCCUCCCUUUUUCUUCGACUUGGGUGGGUUGGUUGUGGUUAUGGGGUACUUGGAAUGGGUGAUUUUGGUUUGGUGGAGGCUGGGGUAUUUGAUUUUGUGGGUAGGUAGUGGUUAGUAGGAUCUUGUGUCAGUCUUGGUGGAUUAAACAUUAAACAUGGUGAAGUGUUUCCGAGGUGAUGUUAGCGGAAGUGUUUUAAGCAUCUCCGCUAGAAGAUGUAUGGACGUUUCAAGAGGUGGCUUGGUUGGAGUGUUGACGCCCUUCCAUGUUAUCCGUCCUUCCACCCAAUACCGUCACUUGACUUCAAACCUCACCUAGUUCUUGUUUCAUACUCAAGAUGGUCACCAUUAUAGCUUCCAUGUUCAUUUCUCGUGACGAACUAGGAAUGUCAUCUUCCAGCGCCAUAGUACCUAUUAGAAUAGACACUAAUCACAACAACAGACACGUUAGCGUUAGAGAAAUAACCUCACAACUCUACACACCUUUGUAGGCCUCACACUUGGGUAGCAAAUGUUGAAGGAUGGCUUAUACUCUGGGUGGUAGUCGAGGUGUCAAAUGCUACCCUUGAUCGGAUUGGAUUCUUGUUUGAAAGGCUGAAAUAAAUGCGUAUGAACUUGGAUCACGAACUAACGACAAACGAGAAAAGCUUGAAAGAAGUGGGACGACGAAAGAAUUCGGACUCUAGAACUAAUCAACUAACUUAGUAGGUGAAUUACUAGUUGUUGAGUAGUUUAAGAAUCAAAAUAUGAAUUCAAGAAUCAAGAAAUGAAACUAGAUGGAUUGAACUAGAGCAAAAAUGAGUUUGGGAGGCUUGAGAUGCGUUUUGGACAAGCUAGAGUAGAUUGGGCGCACCUCAGGCACACCUUGGGUGCAGAAGGUACUGGUUUGACCUGCUUUAGCAGGUCAGGCGCACCUUGGGUGCAGAGUGCGUCAGCCCAGCUCGAAUAUGGUCAAAAAUGUCCUACUUAUGGGUCGUCUUUGCCUCUCUUUUGGAAUAUUCCUUGGACCCUUUGGAUAUGCUUUUAGACCGACACUUUUGCUUACUUUUCCUUUCUCUUUCUCGGAUCAAACAACAACUUUGAGAUGAAUUUGUCUCUUGAAGAUUUUAAGGUCUUCAAGAACACUAUGAACACCAAAAUUUUUCAACUAUUGCAUCUUUGCUCCAAAUGCGCUGAAAUUUUAAUCGUAGGUUCCCUUCAACGUAAGGAACACUUUCCUACCAACCAUAACUCUCAAUUCCACACCAAAGCUUGUAGAUCUAAAAAUCCAUUUUCUCUUUUCUUCAAGUUUCAAAACAAUGGUGGGUUUUCUCUUCAAUUUCUUUAUGCCACUCCUUUAACUCAAGUUCCGACUCAAAAUACUAGAUGAAGCUAAAUCUAGUAUUGAAACUUCAAGAAUGACUUAAAACUCAAACUAUUUUUUUUCUUUUUUCUUUUUUGAUUUUCGAAUUUCUUGAUACCUAACCAAGACUAGAAUCGUUAGAAUCGUUAGAAUGAUUCUAAGUGUUGCUCUGCUACCAAAUGACAUGCGGCUAACUACGAAAACUAAGAUUUAAGUGCGGAAACUAAAGAUAUAAUGAAGAUAGAUCAAAGAUAGAUAUAGUUAGACACAAACGAGAAGAAAGAAUUAAGAACAAUAGGAUAUAUGAACCCUAAAACCCCUAAUUACAAUCUCCUUCCUAGUCACACCUAACUCCUACGGUGAUCAAGAGUGGUUGAACGCCCUCAAGUCCACACGUUUCUAAGCCAAAGUUCAACACAAGCUCACUAAACUCUCUCUCAAAGGAGAACUAUUCAUCUAUAUUCAACAAAAACUCGUUGGAGCGCUUGAAGUUCCCGAACUUGGCUUUUAGUGAAGGGUCUUGAGCUCACCCGGAUUGUAUCACAGAAAAUACAAUAUGAUAACUGAAGCAAAGGGAACAACAAGUACUACCAAAAUCAAAGAAUAAGUUAGUAGGAAAGUAAUAAUAACAACACUGAUAAGAAAAUUAGACAAUGCUCGACUACCUGCUAAGUUUCAACCCUAAUACUCAACCUCCAUAUGUUUUAAUCUAGGGUUAUGUCCUCGGUAAGCUACAAGUGUGUCAUAUCCAGUCCAAUCGCCUCUCCCUAUACUUCUUCAACCUACUCCUCGGUAAGCUACAAGUGUGUCAUAUCCAGUCCAAUCGCCUCUCCCCAUACUUCUUCAACCUACUUCUUCCUCUCAUACUCACCAUAGUCAAUCUCUCGCAUUCCUUAUCAGGACAUUUGUACAUCUCUCUUGAACCAUCUCAGCCUUGCUUCCCUCAUCCCAUCCCCUACGGAGACUAUUCCCACCUCAUUGGGGAUAUCUUUAUUCUUAAUUCUGUCUCUCCUAUUAUUCCCUUACAUUCAUCUCAACAUCCCUAUUUCCACUAUUUUUAUCUUCUAGAGAUGCAAGUUUUUGACCGGUUUUGUCCUAUACAACAUAAUUGGUCGUUGUUUUUAAAGUAAAUGUGAAUUGUCUCGUCUUCUCUUGUAAUUGGUUAUUUUAAUCCCAAAUGUGAAAUACAUUUAUCAAAUAGUUAAUGAUCAAGUUGAGGGGCAAAAAGUCUUGUUUGAUGGAUGGAGUGAAUGACGUGAUACUCUAGUAGGAGUUUAUCCCGUAAAUACUUUGUUUUGCCGAUCCAUACGUACCCAUUUUUUUCAUCAUAUACCAAUGUCAAAGUGCAUAACAAAAUUCUACUGAACGGUGUUCUGUCUACAUGUUUUGUUGCUACCGAGUAGCUUUCGCAAUCGUCCGAGUACACUGAAGCUGAAAAUCAGCUACAUGACAUGAAGCUUUAUUUUAUACUAGACCAAAGAGAAUGGCAAUAAUUCUUUGCCCUCUGCUUGUGGAGACUUUUGGCUUUAGGAAACUUAGUUUUCUGGGUGGAGUUUACCUAAGUCUAAUAAAUAUUGUCUUAAUUGGGAAUAUAGGCUUUGAGUUGAUUGAAGCUCAUAGAUUGAAAAUGAAGCUUGUUUAUGGAAGUCAGACGACAGAUCUGUUCAUGUUCCUAAUUGGCAAAAAAUUGUGCUCAUCUUGUGAUUAAACUAUGCAAUAUAGCUCAUUCUGUUGGGAUCACAGAGUUUCAAACUAUAUGAUGCAGUUUCUCUAGGUGUAUAGAAGCUAGAAUUUUUUUUUUUCCUGGUGCUGAGUGAUGUUUGCUUGUGUUAGUUAAGGAUGUUCAUGUUUUUUUUGGGUCAGUUUUUUUCGUUAAAACCAAAAUCAAACCAUUUUUGUCAUUAUUUAAUUACUAAAACCAAAUCAAGUAUAAUUCAAUUCAUCGGUUUGGUUCGGUUCGAAGAGAAAUAAUGGUAUUUUUCUCUUCUAUUUUUUCCCUACAAUUAGAAAAGAAUUUUCCAUCCCUUUCCAACUUAGAUCCGUUAUAAUCCUUUUAUCGUGGUAGCUAUAAUUUUCUUGGAUUAUCGUGGUUUGAUUUUUUCUUUGUAUUUUUUUAGUAAAAUGAAACCAAAUAAUACUGGGGUUUUCAAACAUAAAUCCUAACAAAGCCAAAAUCAAAUAAAAAUUGGUUUCGUUCGAUUUUAUUUUGGAUCAGCUUUUAACCAAACUGUGAACACCCCUAGUCUUAGUCUAUAGAUUUUAUGGGGUAAUACUAGUUUUAUUGCAUCAGAAUCAUUAAAUGAUGCAAUAUAUGGGAGUAUUACCUAAAUUUAAUGAUUCUGAUGCAAUAAAACUAGUACUUGUCCCCUAACUACGUGUGUUGCACGAUUUUUCAAUAUCCAUUUUGUUCCAUCUGUAUCUGUUUCAUCCCAAUACUCAAAGGGUGUUUGGAUUGGCUUAUUAUUUUAAGUAGUUUUUGGCUUUUAUGCUUUUUUUUAUUUUUUGAGGUGUUUGGGAAUGACAAAAAAGUGUUUUUAAGUACUAUUUUUUAGGCUGAAAAAGUACAAAAAUAACUAAAAGCCAAAAGUUGGGUAUUCCCAUUUUUAUGACUUUUAGCUUGUACACUACUUAAAAAUAACCAAUCCAAACACCCCAUCAAUAAUUUGUCUUCUAAAACAAGUUUCUUUGAAGUUCUAUUUCAAAAAAAAAAAUUUCUUUUAAAACAAGUACAAAGUAAAGGUUCUAAUAAGCAUAUAAAAUCCUACUCUUUAGUUACAGUGCAAUGCUUCGUUUAUGAUGUUUUAGGAAUAUUGUUAUAUUGAUUGCCAGCUAUUGUUGCAGAAAUCAAACUUCUACUCAAGAAGAUAUAGGAAGCUUAACUCAAGGCAGGCACUGUUUGAGAGUGUCAAUGGAUUCGCUGAACAGUUUUUUCAGGUCAUUCAUGAGCCAAAUUAGAUUAUUUAUAGCGGAAUUCACAUUCCUUUGAAAUGCUUAUAGUGGUAUAUAUGAUUUUUUUUCAAUUUUUUAUAAUUUGCGGAAUGGUCAUAGGAACUUUUUAAAUGCUAAAAUACAGUCUUGCGUGUCUGAUUGUUGUAACAUGGACAUGGAAGUUUCAUUUAGGAGGGAAAAAGGAAACCCCAAGCCAGGUAGGGCUAGUGUUGGCAAAGGCGAGCUUUAAGCGCGCUUAAGCCCUGAAGCGAGGCACAAAUAUGUUGAGUGCUUUGCCUCGCUUAAUGUGCGCUUUAGUGUCAUCAUCAAGGUUCUAAGAAUACUUUCCCUUGUCAAUAAAUCUCCUUUGAAGAGGAGACACUAAACAAUUGAGAUAGCACUUUAUCAUAUUUUUUAUUUUCAAUUUCUUUGUUCAUAUACUUUGUAAUUUAUGCUUAUAAUCAUUGGUCUUGGACUAGACAUAUAUAUUUGUAUUCUUAACUAUUUGCUCCGUUUUUCGUUAAAGCGCAUGCUUAUAAUCAUUAGUCUUGGACUAGACAUAUGUAUGUGUAUUUUUCACCAUUUGCGCCUGUUUUCGUUAAAGCCCAUGCUUUAUUUGCGGUUUGCGCUUAGAGCCCCCAUGGACCCUAGAGCUUUUUUGCGCUUUUUGCUUCUGAUAACAUUGGGUAGGGAACAGUUACGGAGCUCCGUAUUUUAAGAUGGUUCUCUGCAAGGAAGCUGUUAUAAGUUUGACUAUGGCUUGGGUUGAACUGAUGGGAAUGGUGCAAGGAAGCUGUUAUAAGUUUGACUAUGGCUUGGGUUGAACUGAUGGGAUUGGUGCUUAGCAUAGUCCAGAUCUUUUUUAGUCGUGCAUUACUUUUCGAAUGGUCAGUAAGAAAUGCUUCUGUGAUUAACUUCUCUGUGGCUACAAGUAAAUCCAUGUACUUAUUGAGCUACUAAGGUUUCGCAUUCAAGAUCCAAGGUCCCAAGAAUGAGGAUCUUCGAGGUAAGUUUAUAAAUUAACUAGUGCACAUGAGAGAGUUUAGUCCUAGCUCAAAGAGUUACGUAAUACCAAAUGUCCUUAGAAUUUGUGUUCUUAUUUCUAGAAAAGAGUCCGCAGCAAAUCUAAAGGAAUGUGAAAAUAUCUGCAAAGAUUAGAAUAUACUAUGACUAGUCCAGUUUGUGUUGGAAUUUGUUGGCUUGGUUGGCGGAUACAUAAUUGCGGAAUACUUUUACUUGGCUUAGUACACACCCCAAUAGCAGAUGCGUAUUUAGCUAGUUGAACGAAUCGGCAACUUCAUUGAAUAACUACUAUUUCUAAUUAAAUAAAUUGGAGAAGGGUCAAAAAAAUGCUCUUAGACUACGUGAAAUUGAACAAAAAUGCUCUGUGAUAAUAGCCUGGUCUAAAAAAUCUCCUGAUGUUAAUAGUUUGGUCCAAAAACACCUCUGUUACUAAUAAUAUGGUUCAGAAAAGCCCUGUUAUUGCUUUUGGUUCUAAAAUGCCCUUUUCCUAAUAAACAUAUUAUUUCUUUUAUUUUUAAACACAUUUGUUUCUGAUAAAAUAUUAUUUUUAAAGAACCUUUGUCUUAUUUCUUUUCUUUUAUAAUCCCUUUACCUUAAAAAUGUGCGAAGUAUUUGUUUUCUUAAUUUUGUAAUAUCAAUUAAAAUAAAAUAACCCCAUUUUCUUUUUACAAUGACAAUAUAGGUCGAAUAUAUAAGAUUAUAAUUAUCUCAUCAUUAAUUUUCAUUAAGAUAAAUGAUAAAUUUCUUUUUUUUUCUAAUAAAAUGAAAAAUAUUUUUAUUUCUUAAUCUAUUCAGAAUUCAACAACUACAUACCAGUAUAAUCCCAUAAAGUGGCGUUUCAACAACCACCUUGAUACAAGACUAACUAAGAAAACCGAAAUGAGAAGAGAACACUAAGAUGAAGCCGAGAACACAAUAACAAGAAUCAAACUCAAAACAUACAAUAAAGGAAAGAUAGUUAACUUGACAUAAGAAUCCACAAAGAAAUAAGAACCUAAGGGUGUAUCAAACCCUAAGACCCCUAAGUUUUGUAGAAACAAACACCAAGCUCUUACGUGAACCUCAAGGGAAUCGGAAUCCCCAAGCAACCCACGUUUCUAAACAAGUAACCAACACAAACGAUUCCACGUUUGUCACAAGUGAUUCUAACUUGCAAAACAGUCAUAAGAUUAUUCUCUCAAAAUAUCAUCAAAGUUGCUGAAAAUGAACCUAAUAAGAGAUAUUUAAAGUCUUAGGCUAAACUAUUACAUAAUAAAAUGACCAAAAGACCCUUAGUGAAGUACUACUCUCCAUAGGCGCCUCUUAUGCUCCAAAGUAAUGACAAAAAGGCCCUUAAUGAGGGGCGGCAUUGGAGUGUAAUGAAGCUCUUCUUCACACUUCAACACUUGUUCUCUCGGUUAGGUAGCCCUCAAGCUUGAGUCUUUACGUGUUGGCCUCCAAUGGUGUCAUCGAAAGCUAAGAUGGCCAUUUGACUCGUAUCAUCCUCCCUUUUUUGUAAAGGAUUCAACCUCGAAUCUACACCUUGCAAAACCAAAGAAAGGAAAAACAAGCACAACAUCCUCAUGGCAUGAGGGUUAGGGUUAGUACAAUCAAUCAUAGCAUCAUGCCAAGGUUGCACACACUUCACAUAUAACCAAGCAUCCUUCAAAAUAUUGGAAGAAAAGUCAACAUUCAAAGUGCAAAGGAGUUGCUACGGAGAGCACCAAGAAAUUCUCCUAAGUUAGUCCCAUUAACAAAAUUAUCAAGCAAAUCAUCACAUGUUGGAACAACUAAGGGUAAAAGCAAGGGGUCUUUAGGGAGUAGAAUACCCUUCCAAUCACAAAAACCCGAACACCCUUCCAAGAAAGAAUCAAUUUGUCUAUCCACAUAAGUGUGACAAGAAACAAAGAACAAGAGUUGUUUAUCAAGUGGAAACCAUAGAUUCUUCUUGGAACAACAAUUAGACUUGCCAUCCGAAAUAGGAAGGCCAUACAUUCCAUGCACAUUCAAGUCAUUCCCAACCAUUGUUUGAAAGACAUCAACAUCACCUAUGGUUGGCUUGUCUUCUUUUCCAAGCACCAAGUGGAGUGGAGAAGAACCACCAUAUUCCAAAUAAUCUUCGAGAUCAAAUGGGUGGAGUGUCCAUGGACAUGGGUUUAGAAAACACUUCUUUUCCCCAAGAUAAACACCAAUACAAUCAUUUGUACCCUCUAUACUAGCAUGAUCAUCAACAAAGGCAAUUAGAGGGUCAUUCCUAUUCAAUCGACCAACAUUCUCAACAUCACCAUUCACGAGGUCCUUUAAACAUUUCACAAACAUUCCUAAGUGAUGGGCUAGGUUCACACACAAGUUGGUCCAUAUCAUUUCCAUAAGACAAUGUACCGUCACUCAUCACAAAGGCUUCAACACUUAGUGGACACCAAUUGAUCUUACUAGAAGAGUCAAUUUGUCAUCAUAAGGGUCAACUAGUGUAUCUACGCUUUCAAGUUGUACAUUAUCAUCAUGAAGUAAAAGAGACAUUAGGCUCACUUAAAAGAUAAACUAUCUUUCACACUUAGUUGGCUACUAGCCUCAUUUACUAAAGUGCAAGAGUUAGUUUGAUUACCUUGAAGUGCAUUUGGAGCAUGUCCACUCAAGGGAGCUUGAGAAUUUGGUGGAUUGGAAAGGGUGGAUUUGGGAAAACUUGGAUGCUCUAUCAUGUUAUGCAACCUCUUUGAAAGAGAGUUUCCCAUUCCUUCCAUUCUUCCUUCAAGAGAUUCCAACCGGCUAUUAACACUCAUUAUGGCGGCCAUCAAAGCUCCCAUGGUUACCUUUUCCGAUGCCAUAGUACCUAGCAAAUAAAUACUAAAACAAAAACAAAAGCAACAAACAAGUUAAGGUUAGGAAAACUUAUACCAAUCAAGCUACGGAAGGCACUAAAAUGACAUAAAAACAGUCCACAAACAACAAGGUAAACCGAGGACCAAAUGAGACCUUGUCUCGGCUUCCACAACAAUACUACAAGAACAAGAACAACAAGAUAUCAAGGUUUUCAACACCUAAUUCAACCAACCAACAAACUAACAAAUAGAUUACAACUACACAACAAGCUCUCAGGUUCUCACACACACAAGCCGAGGGUGAGCACUAACAAUAAUAAAAUGGAUAGAUAGAUAGAUAACUUGACAUACAAAUGUAUAAACACUAUGAACCUAAGUGUGUAUCAAACACAAAGACCCAAAGAUUCACAUAAGUGUGUAUCAAACACAAAGACCCAAAGAUUCACACAAGUAACACCAAGCUCUUACGGAGACCUUAAGGGAACCGAAAUUCCAAGCAACCACCGUUUCUACUUGUACCAACACUAGUGAUAUCCACACUUGCAUUAACACCCAAAGAGUAUUCUCACAAUAUUCAUCAAAGUUGUGGACUAAAGACCUAAUAUGUUCUAUUUAUAGUCUAGGUUAAGCUUAUUAUACAAAAUGACCAAAAGGCCCUUAAUGAACCUUUACAAAGGGGCGGCCUUGGAGUGUACAUAUGGACGGCUUUGGAGUGUUGGGACUUGUUCUCCACACUUCAAAGCUUGUUCUCUUGGUUGGGCAGCCACCCGAGCUCGAGUCUUUACGUAUUGACUUCCAAUCAUGUCCUUGAGAGCUAAGAUGCCUCUUUGAUUUGUAUCAUCCUCCCCUUCUUGAAAAGGAUUCGACCUCGGAUCCGAACCUUGCAAAACAAUAGGGUACACAAGAAAACACACAUUCCUCAUGGCAUGAGGGUUAAUGUUAGCAUAAUCAACUAUAGUAUAAAACCAAAGUUACACACACUUCAUAAGCCGAAGAGUCUUAGGGAAUAGGAUACCCUUCCAAUCACAAAAACCCGAAUACCCUAAAGAAGAAACAAUUUGUCUACCCACAUAAGUGUGACGAGAAACAAGAGAGGCUUGGAACAUACCUUUGGAGUGAAAACCAGAGCUUGCUCUUGGCUUGGAACUUGGCACAAUGCUAGUGCCGAAUAUGGUGAAUAACAAGUGCUUGGUUUUGGGUACCAAGUUCUUCCUCUUGAACCCGAAAUGCAUCACCUCCAACAUCCGGGUUCUUCUUCAUCAUGAGGUUAAAGUUCAAGACCUCUCCUUUUUCAGGCCAAACAUCUUCAUGAGGAGCUUUCAUUAUCAACCCGCAAGGCACACUAACAUUUUCUUCUUCCACUACCAUCUUGGCUUCAUCAUCAUUGUCAUCCUCCUUUUGAGGGAUUUCCUCACGAAUAUCAUUUAUUGUCACUUUACCCCUAACAAAGUAAGGAUCACCCUCCACCAACACAAUGUUCCUUCGGUUUGGGCACUCACUAGCUUUGUGACCCCAACCUUGACAUUUAAAACAAACAAUACCUUUAGGAUUAGGAGUAGAAGAUGGGUUACCUUCAAGCCGUGGUGGAUAGCUUUGGAUGGUCCCAUCAAUCGGCCUCAUCUAAGGAAUUGUAUGAGUCUUUAGGCUUGUUCUAUCCGAAGGUCUUCUUGGCAUAAUUGUUUCUUUCAACUUCAAUGACCGCUUCAACAAGGUCCUUAAUUCGGUCAAACUUGAGGACAACUAGUUGAGAAACAACUUCAUAGCACAAGCCACCUUUGAACCCAGCUAGGCAAUGAUUUGGAGGUUUAACAAUAUCAAGGCGAAGGAUCAAGUUUUGAAACUCAUCAUAAUACUCCUCUACACUUCUAUCUCCUUGCUUUAAAUUGUAGAGCCUUGUUAAUUGCUUUUGUUUGUACCUCUCUGUGACAUAUCUCUCUCAUAAGAGCUUUCAAUUCAUCCCGAUUCGGAAGGUCAAGAUUGCUAUUCCUUGCUCUUUGCAACCGCUUUGUCUCCCACCAAGUAGAUGCAUAUCCUUCAAAUUGAGCAAUGGCAUGCGUGGCUUUCUUUUGGGAAGUUAACUCAUUGAGUUGGAAAUUCCGAUUAUAUUGCAACUCCCAAUCAAGAUAGAUUGAGGAGUCACUAGUUCCCUUGAAAGUAGGAAGAGUGAUCUUGAUGGAGUUGAGACCUGUGUCUCUACCCACAUUGCCUCCUUGGUCCCCUAGACCUUCUUGAACAUGAGGUCGGUGUCCCAAGUUGCCUCUACCAUGAGGAGCCGGACCAAACCUUCCCCCUCGGCCCUUAUGCCCUUCGCCAUAAGCUCCUCUUCUAUUGCACACAAAUCCCGCAAAGAAAGUCACUUUAUCUAACUCCUCACCUCCAUAAGAACACUCACGCUCCACAUCAUCAAUUUGGAUAGGUUGGUUUCGGUUUAGUGGUGCUUUCGGCAUUUCAAGGUGGUCUCGGUUUUGUGGAGCUUCUUGGUGGACUUGGUUUCGGUUAUUUGGAUAAGUAGGGAUUUGGUUGACGGGCUCAUGGACUUGUCUAGGUGGGUUGAACAUUUGGUGAAGUGUAUCCGGAGUUAUAGUAGGGGAGGCGUUGGUAGCAUGUCCACUGGAUGAGGUAUGGUAGUUUUUAGGACUUGAAUGGUUGGACACUAGACGGACUUCUAAGGUAUCCAUUCUCCUUGAGAAAGAACCUUCCGUCCCUUCUAUCCGUCCCUCUAUCUUCUCCAUUCGACUACUAAGAUCAUGUUUUACCCCAUUAUGGCUGCUAUCAAGUCAUCCAUAUUUCCUCUCCUGAAGUCUUGGACUACCUUCACCCGAAGCCAUGGUAUUUAACAAAGAAAUGCUACACACAACACAAACAACAAGUUAAGGUUAGCAAAAAUCAACCUCACAAACUCUCAAGCUCACACUUUUACAAGUAUCACUCAAAUGAUCUCACAAGUAUUGGUACACCAUCCAUAUUUCCUCUCCCGAAGUCCUUGGACUACCUUCACCCGAAGCCAUGGUACUUAACAAAGAAAUGCUAAACACAACACAAACAACAAGUUAAGGUUAGCAAAAAUCAACCUCACAAACUCUCAAGCUCACACUUUUCCAAGUAUCACUCAAAUGAUCUCACAAGUAUUGGUACACCAUUUAUACUCCAAUGAGGUUACUUGGUCCCAAUUGCGGCUUAAGGUCGGAAUAGAUUUUUGUUGGCAACGACUCAAAACAAAUAUGUACGUACUUGAAUCAAGAAGCUACAAUGAAUUUCAAAAAGAUAAAAGCCCGCAAAGAAACGUAGACACGAAUUAAACGGACCUAAAACUAACUUACAACCUAAUAGACA